AACAACAACAACAACAACAACAACAACAACAACAACAACAACAACAACAACAACAACAACAACAACAACAACAACAACAACAACAACAACAACAACAGCAGCAGCAGCAGCAGCAGCAGCAACAACAACAACAACAACAACAACAACAACAACAACAACAACAACAACAACAACAACAACAANNNNNNNNNNNNNNNNNNNNNNNNNNNNNNNNNNNNNNNNNNNNNNNNNNNNNNNNNNNNNNNNNNNNNNNNNNNNNNNNNNNNNNNNNNNNNNNNNNNNNNNNNNNNNNNNNNNNNNNNNNNNNNNNNNNNNNNNNNNNNNNNNNNNNNNNNNNNNNNNNNNNNNNNNNNNNNNNNNNNNNNNNNNNNNNNNNNNNNNNNNNNNNNNNNNNCAACAAUAACAACAACAAAUUUUGCAACAACAACAACAACAAAUUUUGCAACAACAACAACAACAACAAAUUUUGCAACAACAACUGAUUCCAUGCAGGGAUGUUGUAUUGCAACAACACAACAUAGCGCAUGGAAGCUCACAAGUUUUGCAACAAAGUACUUACCAGCUGGUGUAACAAUUGUGUUGUCAGCAGCUGUGGCAGAUUCCCGAGCAGUCGCGGUGCCAAGCCAUCCACAAUGUUGUUCAUGCUAUUAUUCUGCAUCAACAACAACAACAACCGUCGAGCCAGGUCUCCUUCCAACAGCCUCAACAACAAUAUCCAUCAGGCCAAGGCUCCUUCCAGCCAUCUCUGCAAAACCCACAGGCCCAUGGCUCUGUCCAGCCUCAACAACUGCCCCAGUUUGAGGAAAUAAGGAACCUAGCGCUACAGACGCUACCUGCAAUGUGCAAUGUCUACAUCCCUCCAUAUUGCACCAUUGCUCCAUUUGGCAUCUUCGGUACUAACUGAGAAGAGAAGAACUCUAGUACUAGAUAUAUGAAGCAUUGUUUUCUUAGUCCAUGGUUUGGUCGUUGUUGCUGUGAAAAAAUAAAGUGGCAUGCACUAUCAUGUAAGAACCCGAACUAUACUAGUUCAAACUUGGGAAUAAAAGACAAACACAAGUCUUGUCUACAUAUGAUUCUUUGUUUGAUUUCCAUUCAUGUGCGCAUUCACAAGUUCACCCCUAAUUAUAUAUAUAUGCAUUAAGUAGAUAUUUAUGUUGCAUUAAUCUAAAGAUAACAAAAUGACUCUAAAAUUUGAAUUAAAUUGAAGUAUUUCCUUGGAAUUUCAAAUGGAAUAUUAUUAAAGUAGUAAGGACUAUCCACAUCCUUGGCUUGCCCUUGAUCAAUUAUUUGCAGAGAAGCAUUCAAUUUGUCAAUCAACAUGAGUAUAUUCAUCGCGGCUACUCCAAAUCGGCAUGAAUGAGGUACCGGUGCUCUGGAGCACUACUAGCUAACUGCUUCUCAUGUGAAGGGGUGCGGGCGCGGGAGAGGUGUUUCUGGUGGGGCAGGGGAGUAUGAAGCGGCCGUGGCAGCGGUCCAGAUGCCCACAAAGACCCGUAGUUUGUUUUUGGUUUACAGGAAAGUGCACAUCCAGACCGGCCUGCGGGCCGAUAUAGGACCGUAUUGGAUGGCAAAACAUGUCCGGAUGGUUGCGAGUGGUUUGGGGGUUAGCUUUUGUAAUGCCCGGUUAGUUAUGCUAUAGUAAUUCCCUGCUAGUGAUGCCACGUCACCCUGAUUACUGUUGUUAACCUCACAAUUAUUCAAUCCCAUUCAAAUUCAAAUUUAAAAUAAAGGCAAACAUCAAAAGUUUUCAAACAUUAAAACUAAAAUCUUCGAGAGGUGAAAAAUAAUGCGUAAGUAAUUAUGCUGGAGAAACCACACUUUUACAAAAUGUUUAAAUACUAUAAAAUGAAUAAAACAGUGGCUUAAACUAUUAUUAAAAUGCUUUUAAAAUAGUAAAAAUGUUAUAACUAAAUUAAUUGGGUGCCAAACUUUUGGUGGCAGUGGUAUAUUUAGUAGAACUAAUUUAGAUGCUAAUUAUAUAAUUUACAAAAUUAAAGUAAAUUGAAAACAGGAUAAAACAGAAAAGGAGAGACAAAACAAAUAAAAGCAAAAGGGGGCAACUCCUCGCUGGGCCUCGGCCAAGCUGGCCACUGGGCUAGCUAGGCCGACCCAGCCGCCUACAUUAACCCACCACUCCCCAUCGAACCCUAGCCCGAUCUCCCCACUUCCCCCACACCCCCUUGAUGUCUACUACGCAACUUUAUUCUUAUAGACACGUGUUGGGCCUCCAAGCGCAGAGUUUUGUAGGAUAGUAGCAAUUUUCCCUCAAGUGGAUGACCUAAGGUUUAUAAAUCCGUGGGAGGCGUAGGAUGAAGAUGGUCUCUCUCAAACAACCCUGCAAUCAAAUACAAGAAAUCUCUUGUGUCCCUAACACACGCAAUACAAUGGCAAAUUGUAUAGGUGCACUAGUUCAGUGAAGAGAUGGUGAUAAAAGUGUAAUUUUGAUGGUAGAAAUAUAUUUUUAUAAUCUGAAUAAAUAAAAACAGCAAGUUGGGAAAUAGUAAAUGGGCACAAAAACGGUAUUGCAAUGCUUGAAACCAAGGCCUAGGGUCCGUAAUUUUGCUAGUGCAAUUUCUCAACAGUGCUAAUAUAGUUGGAUCAUAUGAUUAUCCCUCAAAGUGCAAUAAAGAAUCACUCCCGAGUUCCUAAUAGCGGAGAACAAAAGAUAGAAAUUGUUUGUAGGGUAUGAAACCACCUCAAAGCUUCGGUUCGAUCUGUUCAAGAUUUCGUACUAAAAUAACACAAAGCUAUUUUUUCCGUUCGAUCUGUCCUAGAGUUCGUACUAAAAUAACACCAAAGCAAAUUCAUAUUCAUAAUACACAAUCCACACAAAGAACUACAAAGAGACCCCAAAGUUUCUAUCGGAGAAAAGAUAAUAAAAACGUGCAUCAUCCCCUAUGCAUAGAUUACCCCAACAUCACCUUGGGAAACCGCAAGUUGAGUGCCAUAACAUAUAUCAAGUGAAUCAAUACGAUACCCCAAUGUCACCUCAAGUAUUCAUACCGCAAGACAUACAUCAUGUGUUCUCAUAUCUGAAUAUUCAAUCCGACAAGACAAAACUUCAAAGGCUAAAGAUUCAGAGUAUAGAGGGGAGAAACAUCAUAUGAUCCAUCUAUAUUAACAAAGCCCAUGAUAUAGAUCACGAGAGAGAGAUUAAACACAUAGCUACUGGUACAAACCCUCAGCCCCGAGGGUGGACUACUCCCUCCUCAUCGUGGUGGCCGCCAGGAUGACGAAGAUGGCCACCAAAGAUGAUUCCCCCCUCCGGCAGGGUGCCAUAAAGGGUCUAGAUUGGUUUUCGGUGGAUACAGAGCCUAGCGGCGGCGGAACUUCUGAUCUAGGUUAACCCCAAAGGGUUUCGGAAUAUUUGGGAAUUUAUAGUGCAAAGAGGGGGUGCGGGAGGCCACCGAGGUGGGCACAACCCACCUGGGCGCGCCAGGGGGCCCUGGCGCGCCCUGGUGGGUUGUGCCCCCCUCAUGCUUCUUCGGCCCACUGUUGGUCUUCUAGUCCAUAAAAAAUCUCCAUGAAGUUUCAUUGCAUUUGGACUCCGUUUAGUAUUGAUUUCCUGCGAUGUAAAAAACAAGCAAAAACGGCAACUGACACUGGGUCAAUAGGUUAGUCCCAAAAAAUGAUAUAAAGAUGCUAUAAAAUGAUUGUAAAACAUCCAAGAAUGAUAAAAUAACAGCAUGAAUACUUCAUAAAUUAUAGAUACGUUCGAGACGUAUCAGCAUCCCCAAGCUUAAUUCCUACUCGUCCUCGAGUAGGUAAAUGAUAAAAGAAAUAAUUUAUGAAGUGUGAAUGCUAGGAAAGUGCACAAGUUUGAUCAAUCACAAUUUCAAUCACUUUUCCUAGCAUCAUAACCGCGAUUCUUUCUUAUAAAACUUCUCAUGAUACAAUGGCAACCAAUUCACAUAUUAAGGUUCAAACAGUGAAUUCUCUUAAAACUCAACAACCUAUGUUCUUAGUCACCAAGCAAUUGCAAUUCAACUUAUUCAACGGAGUUUAAGUAAGAGCUCCACAUACUCAACCAUCUUAUAGUCUUCUAUGAUUGCUAACACUCACCGCAUACACAUGGGCAAAACGUUUCAACCGGACACAUAGAAAGAUAGGGGCUUAUUGUUUUUCCUCCCAACGUAUUCACCUCAAGGGUGAUGUCAACAAUAAUAACUCAUGCUACCCAUAUUCAACUGGACAUAUGUGCCUAGAUCUUUCCUCACCACAUGAUGCUUGCCAAAGGAGAAAAAUAGAAAGGAAUAGAGAGAAAAACUUUGACUCUUUGCAUAAAAGUAAAUACUGGAAAGUAAAAGAUAGGCCCUUCGCAGAGGGAAGCAGAGGUUGCCAUGCGCUUAUUUGUUUGUAUGCUCAACCCAUUAGUGAAAAAGAACGUCACGUUAUAUUGCCCCUUAUGAUAGCAACCUUUAUUAUGCAUUCUGUCGCUUUUAUUCUUUGCCAUCACAUGUUCGUACAAUGCUCAAUUUUCUCUUACACUAAAUGAUCUCACACUUUUAGAAGCAAUUUUUAUUGCCUUAUUGCACUGAUGACAACUUACUUGAAGAAUCUUAUUGAAUCCUUAGGUAGGUAUGGUGGACUCUUGAAAAUAAGAUUUGGGUUUAAGGGUUUUUGGAUGCACAAGUAGUAUCUCUACUUGGUGCGGAAUUUUUGGCUAGCAAAGAUGGGGGGCAAGCACCACAUGUUGAAGGAUCUAUGACAAUAUUACUUCUAUGUGAAUAUGAGCAAACAUAAAUCAUUAUGUUGUCUUCCUUGUCCAACGUCAACAAUUUUGGCAUAUAAUAUUUUGAUGGGGGCUCACAAUCACAAAAUAUUUCCAAGAUAGUGUGUUUGCAUGUGAAAGUUCUCUUCCUUAUACUAAUUAUUCGUGAAUUGAUUGUAUGACCAAAAUUUUGAUUGUCAAGCCUCAGAAGAUUUCACUUUCUAAACCCAAUGUGAAGCUACCACUAGGAAUGAUAUGAUUUCAUCUUCAUGACAUUCAAUUUAUUAAAAAAUUUACUCAUAGGAUAUAAGUGAAGCACAAGAGGAAUUCCAAAGAAAGAGCUUCGUUGACGGGAUGUGAAUGUCGCUUACUUAGCUUCCUUGGCAACUAUUUGAGGACUCUAUUUUUUUUAAAACUUUCAGAUCUAAGUAUUUUAUUAAAACAAUAAGGAAAACAAAAUAAAAUGACAUUCCAAGGAUAGCACAUAUCAUGUGAAGAAGCAAAAACUUAGGCUCAACCGAUACUAACCGAUAAUUGUUGAAGGAAAAAGGUGGGAUGCCUACUGGGGCAUCCCCAAGCUUAGAUGCUUGAGACUUCUUGAAAUAUUAUCUUGGGAUGACUUGGGCAUCCCCCAAGCUUGAGAUUUUGUGUCUCCUUAAUUUUUCUCAUAUCACGGUUUUCCUAAAUCUCAAAAGCUUCAUCCACACAAAACUCAACAAGAACUCAUGAGAUAAGUUAGUAUAGACCAAUGCAAAAGCCUUAUCAAUCUCUACUGUAGCAAAUCACUAAAAUUAUUAUUCAACAUUGCAUACUAAAUGCCUCUUCACAUUUAAUACUCCUAUCCUUAAAUAGAGUCAUUAAACAAGCAAACAUAUGCAAACAAUGCAAACAUAACAGCAAUCUGCCAAAACAGUAUAGUCUGUAAAGAAUGCAAGAGUAUCAAUACUUCCCUAACUCCAAAAAUUAUGAAAUUCUACCAUACUGUAGAGAAUUUAUCAGAUCUUAUUACGCAAAAAGUUUCAACAUUUUAUCACACUCUGACUUUUCUAGGGAAUUUUUGCAACAGCGGUAAACUUUCUGUUUUCAAACAGCAACAUGUAGACUUGUAAAAUAAGCAUAGUAAAGGUUAUCCUUGACAUUUUUAUUGAAAUAAAAGAUGCAAAACAUUAUUAUAAAUAAAAUAAAGCAAUUCCUAACAAAAAAACUUUACACUCCAAGCAAAACUCAUAUCAUGUGAAGAAUAAAAACAUAGCUCCAAGUGAGGUUACCGAUAAUGUUGGAGACGAAAGAGGGGAUGCCUUCCAGGGCAUCCCCAAUCUUAGUUGCUUGGAUAUUCCUUGAGUAUUAUUUUGGGGUGCCUUGGGCAUCCCCAUGCUUAGGGUCUUGACACUCCUUAUUCUCCUCAUAUCGAUAUCUCACCCAAAACUUGAAAACUUCAAUCACACAAAACUUAACAGAACUUCGUGAGAUAGGUUGGUAUAAUAAAGAGCAAACCAUUUCACUUUUGGUACUGUGAAAGACAAGAUUCAUAAUUUUUCUCACACAAUUCCUACUGUAGAAUAUCAUUUCCACAAUUUAUAUUGAGCAAUAUAAGCCAUAGAAACUAGAAAGCAAGCAAACUAUGCAUUGAAAACAGAAUCUGUCAAAAACAGAACAGUCUGUAAUAAUCUGGAUAACUGCCAUACUUCUUGUACUCCAAAAAUUAUGAAAAAAUUAGGACCACGUGAGAAAUUUGUAUAUUAAACUUCUGCAAAAAUAAUCAACUCAAAAUCACUCUUCUGUUAAAAAUGAGACUUAUUUUCAUGAGCGCAAAAGUUUCUGUUUUUCAGCAGGGUCAAAUCAACUAUCACCCAACAUGAUCCCAAAGGCUUUACUUGGCACUUUAUUGAAACAAAAGCUAUAAAAAUGAUCAAUGCAGUAGCAUAAUCAUGUUAACACACAAAAACCGUAAGUAAAAGUGUUGGGUUGUCUCCCAACAAGCGCUUUUCUUUAAUGCCUUUUAGCUAGGCAUGAUGAGUUCAAUGAUGCUCGCAUAAAAUUAAGAUAAGAAUUGAAACACAAAGAGAGCAUCAUGAAGAAUAUGACUAGCACAUUUAAGUCUAACCCACUUCCUAUUUAUUGGGAUUUUGUUAGCAAACAAUUUAUGGGAGCAAGAAUCAACUAGCAUAGGAAGGCAAAACAAGCAUAGCUUCAAAACUUUCAACAUAAAGAGAGGAAACUUGAUAUUAUUGAACCUAAUAGCAUAUGUUCCUCUCUCGUAAUAAUUUUCAGUAGCAUCAUGAAUGAAUUCAACAAUAUAAACAUCACAUAAAGCAUUCUUUUCAUGAUCCACAAGCAUAGAAAUUUUGUUACUCUCCACAUAAGAAAAUUUCUUCUCAUCAAUAGUAGUGCGAGCAAACUCAACAAAAUAACUCUCAUGUGAUUGGAAAUUAAAAUCAUGAUGACAAGUUUCAUGUUUAUAAUUAUUCAAUAUAGCAUAUAUGUCAUCACCAUAAUCAUCAUAUAUAGGAACUUUGUUGUCAUAAUCAAUUGCAACCUCCUCCAAAAUAGUGGAUUCAUCAUUAAAUAAAGUCACGACCUCUCCAAAUCCACUUUCAUCAAUAUAAUCAUCAUAAAUAGGAGGCAUGCAAUCAUCAUAAUAAAUUUUCUCAUUAAAACUUGGGGGACUAAAAAUAUCAUCUUCAGCAAACAUAGCAUCCCCAAGCUUAUGGCUUUGCAUAUCAUUAGCAUCAUGGAUAUUCAAAGAAUUCAUACUAACAACAUUGCAAUCAUGCUCAUCAUUCAAAUAUUUUGUGCCAAACAUUUUAUUGACUUCUUCUUAUAACAAUUGAGAACAAUUUUCCGAUCCAUCAUUUUCAAGAAAGAUAUUAUAAAGAUGAUCAAUAAUAUGAUGCAACCUCAAUUCCAUUUUUUAUGUAGUUUUCUUUUAUAAACCAAACUAGUGAUAAAACAAGAAAGUAAAAUAUUUAAUUGCAAGAUCUAAAGAUAUACCUUCAAGCACCCACCUCCCCGGCAAUGGUGUCAGAAAAGAGCUUGAUGUCUACUACGCAACUUUAUUCUUGUAGACACGUGUUGGGCCUCCAAGCGCAGAGUUUUGUAGGACAGUAGCAAUUUUCCCUCAAGUGUAUGACCUAAGGUUUAUCAAUCUGUGGGUGGCGUAGGAUGAAGAUGGUGUCUCUCAAACAACCCUGCAAUCAAAUACAAGAAAUCUCUUGUGUCCCCAACACACCCAAUAAAAUGGCAAAUUGUAUAGGUGCACUAGUUCGGCGAAGAUAUGGUGAUAAAAGUGUAAUUUUGAUGGUAGAAAUAUAUUUUUAUAAUCUGAAUAAAUAAAAACAGCAAGGUAGCAAAUUUUAAACGGGCACAAAAACGGUAUUGCAAUGCUUGAAAACAAGGCCUAGGGUCCGUAAUUUCGCUAGUGCAAUUUCUCAACAAUGCUAACAUAGUUGGAUCAUAUGAUUAUCCCUCAAAGUGCAAUAAAGAAUCACUCCCGAGUUCCUAAUAGCGGAGAACAAAAGAUAGAAAUUGUUUGUAGGGUACGAGACCACCUCAAAGCUUCCGUUCGAUCUAUUCAAGAGUUCAUACUAAAGUAACACAAAGCUAUUUUUCCGUUCGAUCUAUCCUAGAGUUCGUACUAAAAUAAGACCAAAGCAAAUUCAUAUUCAUAAUACUCAAUCCACACAAAGAACUACAAAGAGACCCCAAAGUUUCUAUCGGAGGAAAGAUGAUAAAAACGUGCAUCAUCCCCUAUGCAUAGAUUACCCCAACGUCACCUCGGGAAUCCGCAAGUUGAGUGCCAUAACAUAUAUCAAGUGAAUCAAUACGAUACCCCAUUGUCACCUCAAGUAUUCAUACCGCAAGACAUACAUCAUGUGUUCUCAUAUCUGAAUAUUCAAUUCGACAAGAAAAAACUUCAAAGGCUAAAGAUUCAAUUCAUCACAACAAGAGUAUAGAGGGGAGAAACAUCAUAUGAUCCAUCUAUAUUAACAAAGCCCAUGAUAUAGAUCACGAGAGAGAGAUUAAACACAUAGCUACUGGUACAAACCCUCAGCCCCGAGGGUGGACUACUCCCUCCUCAUCGUGGUGGCCGCCGAGAUGAUGAAGAUGGCCAUCAGAGAUGAUUCCCCCCCUCCGGCAGGGUGCCAGAAAGGGUCUAGAUUGGUUUUCGGUGGAUAAAGAGCCUUGCGGCGGCGAAACUUCUGAUCUAGGUUAACCCCGAAGGGUUUCGGAAUAUUUGGGAAUUUAUAGUGCAAAGAGGGGGUGCGGGAGGCCACCGAGGUGGGCACAACCCACCUGGGCGCCAGGGGGCCCUGGUGUGCCCUGGUGGGUUGUGCCCCCUCGGGGCACCCCUAGGUGCUUCUUCGGCCCACUGUUGGUCUUUCGGUCCAUAAAAAAUCUCCGUGAAGUUUCAUUGCAUUUGAACUCCGUUUGGUAUUGAUUUCCUGCGAUGUAAAAAACAAGCAAAAAACAGCAACUGGCACUGGGCACUGGGUCAAUAGGUUAGUCCCAAAAAAUGAUAUGAAGUUGCUAUAAAAUGAUUGUUAAACAUCCAAGAAUGAUAAAAUAACAGCAUGAAUACUUCCUAAAUUAUAGAUACGUUGGAGACGUAUCACCACUCGUUAGCCUCCCCACCUCUCGAUCCCAUCUGGAUCGGGGAGGUGAUCGCCCCCAUCAACCCCAUUACCGUCACCGGAUCGCUCGCUCGCCCAUUGCCCACCGGCGUCGCCGGGCCUCCUCCCCGCCCCCCCGUCUCUGGCUCGCCUCCCCCUCGCUCCUCUUCCCCGACCCGAUCUGGAUCCGGAAGGGGCAAUGAGCCUGACGCGCCCCCUUCACCGACGCCGUGUGCCACUACCGCCGCCCAAAGACCUCGCCGUCGCCGGACCUCGCGUCGCCUCCUCGUAUCCUUCCCCGACUCGCCUCCUCAAGCCACGCCGGACCCCUUCUCGGCAAUGUUGUGAGCCGCCCCCCGUUGCCUUCCUCCUCUUUCCACCGCGUUUACCGCGCCGCCAACCGUGCCCCUCGCCGCGCGCACGCCCACCACCACGCCAGCCCCCGCUUCGCACCCUCUCCUGCACGCUUGCGCGCGCAUUACCCUAGCCGUGCCCGUGGCACGAUCCCCUUGUUCGCCCCGCCUUCGUCCCGCGCUCGCCGCGGUCCCCUGCUACCUCUUGAGCACUGCGUUGGUUUUCCCUUGAAGAGGAAAGGGUGAUGCAGUAAAGUAGCGUAAGUAUUUCCCUCAGUUUUUGAGAACCAAGGUAUCAAUCCAGUAGGAGACCACGCACGAGUCCCCCGCACCUACACAAACAAACAAGAACCUCGCAACCAAUGCGAUAAAGGGGUUGUCAAUCCCUCAACGGUCACUUACGAGAGUGAGAUCUAAUAGAUAUGAUAAAAGAUAAUAUUUUUGGUAUUUUUAUGAUAAAGAUGCAAAGUAAAAUAGAAGGCAAUAAAAAUAGCUAAGUGUUGGAAGAUUUAUAUGAUGGAAAAUAGACCCGGGGCCAUAGGUUUCACUAGUGGCUUCUCUCGAGAGCAUAAGUAUUACGGUGGGUGAACAAAUUACUGUUGAGCAAUUGACAGAAUUGAGCAUAGUUAUGAGAAUAUCUAGGUAUGAUCAUGUAUAUAGGCAUGACGUCCGAGACAAGUAGACCGACUCCUGCCUGUAUCUACUACUAUUACUCCACACAUCGACCGCUAUCCAGCAUGCAUCUAGAGUAUUAAGUUCAAAAGAACAGAGUAACGCUUUAAGUAAGAUGACAUGAUGUAAAGGGAUAAACUCAUGCAAUAUGAUAUAAACCCCAUCUUGUUAUCCUCGAUGGCAACAAUACAAUACGUGCCUUGCCGCCCCUACUGUCACUGGGAAAGGACACCGCAAGAUUGAACCCAAAGCUAAGCACUCUCCCAUUGCAAGAAAGAUCAAUCUAGUAGGCCAAACCAAACUGAUAAUUCAAAGAGACUUGCAAAGAUAACCAAUCAUACAUAAAAUAAUUCAGAGAAAAUUCAAAUAUUGUUCAUAGAUAAACUUGAUCAUAAACCCACAAUUCAUCGGUCUCAACAAACAAACCGCAAAAGAAGAUUACAUCGAAUAGAUCUCCACGAGAAUCAUGGAGAACUUUGUAUUGAGAUCCAAAGAGAGAGAAGAAGCCAUCUAGCUAAUAACUAUGGACCCGAAGGUCUGAGGUAAACUACUCACACAUCAUCGGAGAGGCUAUGGUGUUGAUGUAGAAGCCCUCCGUGAUCAAUGCCCCCUCCGGCAGGACGCCGGAAAAGGCCCCAAGAUGGGAUCUCACNNNNNNNNNNNNNNNNNNNNNNNNNNNNNNNNNNNNNNNNNNNNNNNNNNNNNNNNNNNNNNNNNNNNNNNNNNNNNNNNNNNNNNNNNNNNNNNNNNNNNNNNNNNNNNNNNNNNNNNNNNNNNNNNNNNNNNNNNNNNNNNNNNNNNNNNNNNNNNNNNNNNNNNNNNNNNNNNNNNNNNNNNNNNNNNNNNNNNNNNNNNNNNNNNNNNNNNNNNNNNNNNNNNNNNNNNNNNNNNNNNNNNNNNNNNNNNNNNNNNNNNNNNNNNNNNNAAGUCCUUUGGAUCACGUUCGUUCCGAAAAUCACGUUCCCGAAGGUUUCAUUCCGUUUGGACUCCGUUUGAUAUUCUUUUUCUGCGAAACUCUGAAAUAGGCAAAAAACAACAAUUUGGGCCGGGCCUCCGGUUAAUAGGUUAGUCCCAAAAAUGAUAUAAAAGUGUAUAAUAAAGCCUGUUAAACAUCCAAAACAGAAUAUAAUAUAGCAUGAAGCAAUCAAAAAUUAUAGAUACGUUGGAGACGUAUCAAGCAUCCCCAAGCUUAAUUCCUGCUCGUCCUCGAGUAGGUAAAUGAUAAAAACAGAAUUUUUGAUGCGGAAUGCUACUUGGCAUAAUUUUCAAUGUAAUUCUCUUAUUUGUGGUAUGAAUGUUCAGAUCCGAAAGAUUCAAGACAAAAGUUUAAUAUUGACAUAAAAAUAAUAAUUCUUCAAGCAUACUAACUAAGCAAUUAUGUCUUCUCAAAAUAACAUGGCCAAAGAAAGUUAUCCCUACAAAAUAAUAUAGUCUGGCUAUGCUCUAUCUUCACCACACAACGUAUUUAAAUCAUGCACAACCCCGAUGACAAGCCAAGCAAUUGUUUCAUACUUUUGGUGUUCUCAAACUUUUUCAAUCUUCACGCAAUACAUGAGCGUGAGCCAUGGACAUAGCACUAUAUGUGGAAUAGAAUGGUGGUUGUGGAGAAGACAAAAAGAGGGAGAAGAUAGUCUCACAUCAACUAGGCGUAUCAACGGGCUAUGGAGAUGCCCAUUAAUAGAUAUCAAUGUGAGUGAGUAGGGAUUGCCAUGCAAUGGAUGCACUAGAGCUAUAAGUAUAUGAAAGCUCAACAAAAGAAACUAUGUGGGUGUGCAUCCAACUCGCUUGCUCACGCAGACCUAGGGCAUUUUGAGGAAGCUCAUCAUUGGAAUAUACAAGCCAAGUUCUAUAAUGAAAAAUUCCCACUAGUAUAUGAAAGUGAUAUCAUAGGAGACUCUCUAUCAUGAAGAUCAUGGUGCUACUUUGAAGCACAAGUGUGGUAAAAGGAUAGUAACAUUGUCCCUUCUCUCUUUUUCUCUCAUUUUUUAGCUGGGCCUUUUCUCCUUUUUUAUGGCCUCUUUUUUUUAGUCCGAAGUCUCAUCCCGACUUAUGGGGGAAUCAUAGUCUCCAUCAUCCUUUCCUCACUUGGGACAAUGCUCUAAAAAUGAUGAUCAUUACACUUUUAUUUACUUACAACUCAACAAUUACAACUUAAUACUUAGAACAAAAUAUGACUCUAUGUGAAUGCCUCCGGCGGUGUACCGGGAUAUGCAAUGAAUCAAGAGUGACAUGUAUGAAAGAAUUAUGAAUGGUGGCUUUGCCACAAAUACGAUGUCAACUACAUGAUCAUGCGAGGCAAUAUGACAAUGAUGGAGCGUGUCAUAGUAAACGGAACGGUGGUAAGUUGCAUGGCAAUAUAUCUCGGAAUGGCUAUGGAAAUGCCAUGAUAGGUAGCUAUGGUGGCUGUUUUGAGGAAGGUAUAUGGUGGGUGUAUGAUACCGGUGAAAAGUGCGCGGUAUUAGAGAGGCUAGCAAUGGUGGAAGGAAGAAAAAUGUGUAUAAUCCAUGGACUCAACAUUAGUCAUAAAGAACUCAUAUACUUAUUGCAAAAAUCUACAAGUUAUCAAAGAAAAGUAUUACGCGCAUGCUCCUAGGGGGAUAGAUUGGUAGGAAAAUACCAUCGCUCGUCCCCGACCGCCACUCAUAAGGAAGAAAAUCAAUAAAUAAAUCAUUCUCCGACUUCAUCACAUAACGGUUCACCAUACGUGCAUGCAACGGGAAUCACAAACUUUAACACAAUUAUUUCUCAAAUCCACACCUACUCAACUAGCAUGACUCUAAUAUCACUAUCUUCAUAUCUCAAAACAAUUAUCAAGCAUCAAACUUCUCAUAGUAUUCAACACACUCAUAAGAAACUUUUUGUUAAUCUCGAAUGCCUAUCAUAAUUAAAGCAAAUUACCACGCUGUUUUGUAGGACUCUCAAAAUAAUAUAAGUGAAGCAUGAGAGAACAAUAGUUUCUAUAAAACAAAUCCACCACCGUGCUCUAAAAGAUAUAAGUGAAGCACUAGAGCAAAAACUAUAUAGCUCAAAAGAUAUAAGUGAAGCACAUAGAGUAUUCUAACAAAUUCCGAAUCAUGUGUGUCUCUCUCAAAAGGUGUGUGCAGAAAGGAUGAUUGUGGCAAACUAACAAAUAAAGACUCAAAUAAUACGAGACGCUCCAAGCAAAACACAUAUCACGUGGUGAAUAAAAAUAUAGCUCCAAGUAAAGUUACCGAUGGAAGUAGACGAAAGAGGGGAUGCCUUCCGGGGCAUCCCCAUGCUUUGGCUUUUUGGUAUCCUUAGAUUAUCUUGGGGUGCCAUGGGCAUCCCCAAGCUUAGGCUCUUUCCACUCCUUGUUCCAUAAUCCAUCAAAUCUUCCACCCAAAACUUGAAAACUUCACAACACAACACUUAACAAAAAAUCUCGUGAGCUCCGUUAGCGAAAGAAAACAAAACACCACUUCAAGGUACUGUAAUGAACUCAUUAUUUAUUUAUAUUGGUGUUAAACCUACUGUAUUCCAACUUCUCUAUGGUUUAUAAACUAUUUUAUUAGCCAUAGAUUCAUCAAAAUAAGCAAAGAACACACGAAAAACAGAAUCUGUCAAAAACAGAACAGUCUGUAGUAAUCUGUAACUAACGCAAACUUCUGGAACUCAAAAAGUUCAGCCAAAAUAGGACAACCUAUACCAUUUGUUUAUUGAUCAGAAGCACUUGGAAUCAAUAUUUUAUCUCGUUCCGGUGAUUUUUAACAAUUGUUUUCGUGAACAGAAAGUUUCUGGAAUUUUCAGCAAGAUCAAAUAACUAUCAUCCAAGAAGAUCCUAUAGGUUUAACUUGGCACAAACACUAAUUAAAACAUAAAAACAAAUCUAACCAUAGGUUAGAUCAAAGAUUUAUUCCUAAACAGAAGAAAAAAGUAAAAAACUAAAAAUAAAAUUGGGUUGCCUCCCAACAAGCGCUAUCGUUUAACGCCCCUAGCUAGGCAUAAAAGCAAGGAUAGAUCUAGGUAUUGCCAUCUAUGGUAGGAAAUUCUUCAAUAAGACACCUAUCACCCUUAGGAGUUUCUUUCUUUCUAUUAAUUAUCAAACUUCUAGGCACAAAAUCGAAAAAAGCAUUUGCAGCAAAUGGUUCCUUAAUGAUAGCAAGGAGAUUGGGAUGAACACUUAUUGAUUUGAGAUCCGCAGUUUCCUUAUUAGAGGAUUCACCCUUAUUUUUAGGAACAUACAUAAGCUUAGCAAUUUUAGUAGGAGGACUUGGGGUAUUCUUUACGGAAGAAAAGGCGGUUCCCAAGUUGGUAAUGAUACCCUCAAGUUUUUCUUCAUAAGAUUGCAUCAAAGCAUCAACGAUAUGUUUAGUAAAAGCUUUAUUUUGACUAUAAGCAUGUGGAGAAUUUAUCACGGAUUGCAACAAGGAAAUACAAUCUAUCAAAGAGCAAUUAUCAUAAUUAAAUUCCUCGAAAUCCAAAAUAGUGGGUUCAUUAAUAUCUAGAGUUUUGAUCUCUUCAAUCCCACUUUUACCAAUUUUUGCAUCAAGAUCUAUCAACUCCGAAUUUUUGGAACGCCUUCUAGGUAAAGGUGGAUCAUAUUCAGUCCCAUCAUUAUCAAGAUUAAUAUUGAAAAACAAAGAUUUAAUAGGGGACACAUCAAUAACUUUUAGAUCUUCAUCUUUAUUUUCAUAGAAACUAGAAGAACACGCUUUCACAAAGCAAUCUUUCUUAGCACGCAUCCUAGCGGUUCUUUCUUUGCACUCAUCAAUGGAAAUUCUCAUGGAUUUGAGAGACUCAUUGAUAUCAUGCUUAGGAGGAAUAGAUCUAAGUUUCAAGGAAUCAACAUCAAGAGAAAUUCUAUCAACGUUUCUAGCCAAUUCAUCAACUUUAAGCAAUUUUUCUUCAAGCAAAGCAUUGAAAUUCUUUUGCGAAUUCAUAAAUUCUUUAACACUAGUCUCAAAUUAAGAGGGCAUCUUAUUUAAAUUUCCAUAAGAAUUGUUGUAGGAAUUACCAUAAUUAUUAGAGGAAUUACUAUGGUACGGCCUAGGAUUAAAGUUUCCUCUAUACGCGUUGAUACCAAAAUUAUUCCUACCAACAAAAUUCACAUCCAUAGAUUCAUUAUUAUUCUCAAUCAAAGUAGACAAAGGCAUAUCAUUAGGAUCAGAAAGAAACACUUUUAUUAGCAAAUAAUUUCAUAAGUUCAUCCAUCUUUCCACUCAAAACAUUAAUUUCUUCUAUCGCAUGCACUUUCUUAUUAGUAGAUCUUUCAGUGUGCCAUUGAGAAUAAUUAACCAUAAUAUUAUCUAGGAGUUUAGUAGCUUCUCCUAAAGUGAUUUCCAUAAAAGUGCCUCCCGCGGCCGAAUCUAAAAGAUUUCUAGAAGCAAAAUUCAAUCCGGCAUAAUUUUUUUGUAUAAUCAUCCACAGAUUCAAACCAUCGGUAGGGCAAUUACGCAUCAUUAAUGAUUUUAGCCGGAGGAAAAUACUUAGAAUUCAUACAAAACUUAGAGAUAAAAUUCAUAAUAUCGUUUCUAAGAGAGAUGAUUUUAGCCGGAGGAAAAUACUUACAGAUAAAAGCAUCUUUGCACUUAUUCCAAGAAUCAAUACUAUUUUUAGGCAAAGACGAAAACCAAGAUUUAGCACGAUCUCUAAGCGAAAAAGGAAAUAGCUUCAAUUUAACAAUAUCAUUGUCCACAUCUUUCUUCUUUUGCACAUCACACAAAUCAACGAAGCUAUUUAGAUGGGUAGCGGCAUCUUCACUAGGAAGGCCAGCGAAUUGAUCUUUCAUGACAAGAUUCAACAAAGCAGCAUUGAUUCCACAAGACUCAGUAUCGGUAAGAGGAGCAAUCGGAGUGCUAAGAAAAUCAUUGUUGUUGGUAUUGGUAAAGUCACACAAUUUAGUAUUAUCUUGAGCCAUCGUGACAAGCAAGCAAUCCAACAAACGAGCAAACAAGAAGCAAGCGAAAAAGAGGCGAAUGGAAAAGAGAGGGCGAAUAAAACAGCAAGGGUAAAGUGGGGGAGAGGAAAACGAGAGGCAAAUGGCAAAUAAUGUAAUGCGAGGGAGAUGAGUUUGUGAUGGGUACUUGGUAUGUCUUGACUUGACUUGACUUGGCGUAGAUCUCCCCGGCAACGGCGCCAGAAAUCCUUCUUGCUACCUCUUGAGCACUGCGUUGGUUUUGCCUUGAAGAGGAAAGGGUGAUGCAGUAAAGUAGCAUAAGUAUUUCCCUCAGUUUUUGAGAAUCAAGGUAUCAAUCCAGUAAGCGACCACUGUCACGCCCAAGAUGCGACCCUAUCCUAAAGUAACUUGAAGGUCCCACCAAGGAUAGAAGUGCAUCUUGAAGACGCUUUUGCAAGGUGGAUAUCAUUACAUCGACAUUACAUAAUAGAUGGGGAUACAUACAAGGCAAACAAAUGUCGCAAGAAUACAUCAAUAGAUCAUGAUCAACAUCCGACUACGGAUGAAACACAAACAGAAACUCAAACGACAUCCACCCUGCUAGCCCAGGCUGCCGACCAGGAACCUAACCCAAGAUCGGCGAAGAAGAAGAAGAACUCCAACACAAGCAAUCGAGCAUCGCUCUCACGUCAUGAGCAUCACACAACCUGUACCUGCAACUGUUGGUGUAGUAAUCUGUGAGCCACGAGGACUCAGCAAUCCCAUUACCAUGGGUACCAAGACUAGCAAAGCUUAAUGGGUAAGGAAGGGGUAAAGUGGUGAGGUUGCAGCACCGGCUAAGCAAAGUAUGGUGGCUAACUUACAAAACAAGAGCGAGAAGAGGAGCUAAGCAAACGGUCGCCAACUAGUAAUGAUCAAGAAGUGAUCCUGAACUCCUACUUACGUCAAACAUAACACAAACCGUGUGCUCCUCCCGAACUUCCUCGAAAAGAGACAAUCACGGGUACCCACGCGGUUAGUGUAUUUUAGAAGAGUUUACUUCAAGUUUACUACAACCGGAUAUUAACAAAUUCCCAUCUGCCACAUAACCGCGGGCACGGCUCUCGAAAGUUUAUACCCUGCAGGGGUGUCCCAACUUAGCCCAUCACAAGCUCUCACGAUCAACGAAGGAUAUUCCUUCUCCCGGGAAGACCCGAUCAGACUCGGAAUCCCGGUUACAAGACAUUUCGACAAUGGUAAAACAAGACCAGCAAGACCGCCCGAACGUGCCGACAAAUCCCGAUAGGAGCUGCACAUAUCUCGUUCUCAGGGCACAUCCGGAUGAGACAUCCUACGAGUGAAACCAGCCCUCAAGUUUCCCCAAGGUGGCCCCGCAGUCUACUCAGCUCGGACCAGCACUUAGAGGAGCACUGGCCCGAGGGGGGGGGGCUAAAAUAAAGAUGACCCUCAGGCUCCGGAAACCCAAGGGAAAAAUUCUUAGGUGAGGCAAAUGGUAAAACCAAUGUUGGGCCUUGCUGGAGGAGUUUAUUCAAGGCGAACUGUCAAGGGGUUCCCAUAACACCCAACCGCGUUAGGGACGAAAAAUCCGGGAACAUAAUACCGAUAUGACGGAAACUAGGGCGGCAAGAGUGGAACAAAACACCAGGCAUAAGGCCGAGCCUUCCACCUUUUACCAAGUAUAUUGAUGCAUUAAUAAUAUAAGAGAUAUUGUGACAUCCCAACAUAAACAUAUUACCACAUGGAGCAAUCUUCAUCUUCACCUGCAACUAGCAACGCUAUAAGAGAGGCUGAGCAAAUGCGGUAACAUAGCCAAACAACGGUUUGCUAGGAAGGGUGACAAAGGUUAGAGAUUCAAGGCAAUUUGGGAGGCUUGAUAAGCAAGUGGUAGGUAACGCGGCAUAACGCUAGCAUCGAGGCACCUAGCAUAGCAAUGAUAGUAAUGAGAUCCAAGGUGACGGUAAUCUUGCCUGAAAUCCCGCUAGGAAGAAGAACGGCUCCAUGAAGAAGAUGAAGCCACGAAGACGAACCAAGCGUAGACGAACAAAUCCUCACGAUCGCAACAAAACGGGAACUAUCGAGAAGAAGCACACAACAUGGUAAACACACCACACAUGAACAAGGCAUGAUGCUCAAUCAAGUAUGAUGCAUGGCAAGGCUACAUGAGGCUACGCAUGGCAAGAGAUGAUGCAUACAAGAGCAACACAUCAAAGCAAGUUUAAAUGAGGCCGGAAACAACAUAUAACAAUUCCGGUAAGUCCUAUGCAAAUUUUGAAAUUGGUCCAGAUCUGAAUAAACCUUAUGUUCAAGUUGUUAAACAGCAGUCUACUCGGUUCGGACCAGCACUGGCCCCGGUGGGGGGGGGGCUAAAAUAAAGAUGACCCUCGGGCUCCGGAAACCCAAGGGAAAAAGGCUUAGGUGAGGCAAAUGGUAAAACCAAUGUUGGGCCUUGCUGGAGGAGUUUUAUUCAAGGCGAACUGUCAAGGGGUUCCCAUAAAACCCAACCGCGUUAGGGACGCAAAAUCCGGGAACAUAAUACCGAUAUGACGGAAACUAGGGCGGCAAGAGUGGAACAAAACACCAGGCAUAAGGCCGAGCCUUCCAACUUUUGCCAAGUAUAUAGAUGCAUUAAUAAUAUAAGAGAUAUUGUGAUAUCCCAACAUAAACAUAUUACCACAUGGAGCAAUCUUCAUCUUCACCUGCAACUAGCAACGCUAUAAGAGAGGCUGAGCAAAUGCGGUAACAUAACAACGGUUUGCUAGGAAGGGUGACAAAGGUUAGAGGUUCAUGGCAAUUUGGGAGGCUUGAUAAGCAAGUGGUAGGUAAAGCGGCAUAGCGAUAGCAUCGAGGCAACUAGCAUAGCAAUGAUAGUAAUGAGAUCCAAGGUGACGGUAAUAUUGCCUUAAAUCCCGCUAGGAAGAAGAACGGGUCCAUGAAGAAGAUGAAGCCACGACGACGAAUAAACGGAAGACACCUGGCGCAUCCCAUUCCGAGAACAUUCAAAUGCCACUCACGAAACGAGGUCUGAGAGGGGCAACGGGUGCGUGUGGGAGUGUCGGAACGCGAAACGGACAACGGGGAAAAAGACUGGAUGCAAGCUUUGAAAACAUGAGGAUGCAAUGCAGAUGAUGACAUGACAAAAUGCAACACGCAAGCAAAUGACAUGGAAACGACGAUGAAUAAACGGAAGACACCUGGCGCAUCGGAUUCGGGGCGUUACAACCACGCAUGAGUCCCUCGCACCUACACAAACAAACAAGAACCUCGCAACCAACGUGAUAAAGGGGUUGUCAAUCCCUCAACGGUCACUUACGAGAGUGAGAUCUGAUAGAUAUGAUAAGAUAAUAUUUUUGGUAUUUUUAUGAUAAUGAUGCAAAGUAAAAUAAAAGGCAAUAAAAAUAGCGAAGUGUUGGAAGAUUUAUAUGAUGGAAAAUAGACCCGGGGGCCAUAGGUUUCACUAGUGGCUUCUCUCGAGAGCAUAAGUAUUAUGGUGGGUGAACAAAUUACUGUUGAGCAAUUGACAGAAUUGAGCAUAGUUAUGAGAAUAUCUAGGUAUGAUCAUGUAUAUAGGCAUCACGUCCGAGACAAGUAGACCGACUCCUGCCUGCAUCUACUACUAUUACUCCACACAUCGACCGCUAUCCAGCAUGCAUCUACAGUAUUAAGUUCAAAAGAACAGAGUAACGCUUUAAGUAAGAUGACAUGAUGUAGAGGGAUAAACUCAUGCAAUGUGAUAUAAACCCCAUCUUGUUAUCCUUGAUGGCAACAAUACAAUACGUGCCUUGCUGCCCCUACUGUCACUUGGAAAGGACACCGCAAGAUUGAACCCAAAGCUAAGCACUUCUCCCAUUGCAAGAAAGAUCAAUCUAGUAGGCCAAACCAAACUGAUAAUUCGAAGAGACUUGCAAAGAUAACCAAUCAUACAUAAAAGAAUUCAGAGAAGAUUCAAAUAUUGUUCAUAGAUAAACUUGAUCAUAAACCCACAAUUCAUCGGUCUCAACAAACAGACCGCAAAAGAGGAUUACAUCGAAUAGAUCUCCACGAGAAUCGCGGAGAACAUUGUAUUGAGAUCCAAAGAGAGAGAAGAAGCCAUCUAGCUAAUAACUAUGGACUCGAAGGUCUGAGGUAAACUACUCACACAUCAUCGGAGAGGCUAUGGUGUUGAUGUAGAAUCCCUCCGUGAUCAAUGCCCCCUCCGGCAGGACGCCGGAAAAGGCCCCAAGAUGGGAUCUCACGGGUACAGAAGGUUCCGGCGGUGGAAUUAGGUUUUCGUGGAUGCUUCUGUUGGUUUGGGGGUACGUGGGAUAUAUAGGAGUAAGAAGUACGUCGGUGGAGCAACAUGGCCCCCACGAGGGUNNNNNNNNNNNNNNNNNNNNNNNNNNNNNNNNNNNNNNNNNNNNNNNNNNNNNNNNNNNNNNNNNNNNNNNNNNNNNNNNNNNNNNNNNNNNNNNNNNNNNNNNNNNNNNNNNNNNNNNNNNNNNNNNNNNNNNNNNNNNNNNNNNNNNNNNNNNNNNNNNNNNNNNNNNNNNNNNNNNNNNNNNNNNNNNNNNNNNNNNCCCCUACCUCGUGCCCUCCUCGUAGCUUUCUUGACAUAGGGUCCAAGUCCUCUGGAUCACGUUCGUUCCGAAAAUCACGUUCCCGAAGGUUUCAUUCCGUUUGGACUCCGUUUGAUAUUCUUUUUCUGCGAAACUCUGAAAUAGGCAAAAAACAUCAAUUUGGGCUGGGCCUCCGGUUAAUAGGUUAGUUCCAAAAAUGAUAUAAAAGUGUAUAAUAAAGCCAGUUAAACAUCCAAAAUAGAAUAUAAUAUAGCAUGAAGCAAUAAAAAAUUAUAGAUACGUUGGAGACGUAUCAUCCCCAUGCCCCCCGCGCACUCUUUCGGGGGCGCCGGCUGCCCCUGUCCCGCUGCUCACCGUCGCGCUGAAGGAAAUAUGCCCUAGAGGCAAUAAUAAAUUUAUUUUUUAUUUCCUUAUUUCAUGAUAAAUGUUUAUUAUUCAUGCUAGAAUUGUAUUAACCGGAAACUUAGUACAUGUGUGAAUACAUAGACAAACAGAGUGUCACUAGUAUGCCUCUACUUAACUAGCUCGUUGAAUCAAAGAUGGUUAAGUUUCCUAGCCAUAGACAUGAGUUGUCAUUUGAUUAACGGGAUCACAUCAUUAGAGAAUGAUGUGAUUGAAUUGACCCAUUCCGUAAGCUUAGCACUUGAUCAUUUAGUAUGUUGCUAUUGCUUUCUUCAUGACUUAUACAUGUUCCUAUGACUAUGAGAUUAUGCAACUCCCAAGUAACGGAGGAACACUUAGUGUGCUACCAAACAUCACAACGUAACUGGGUGAUUAUAAAGAUGCUCUACACGUGUCUCCGAUGGUACUUGUUGAGUUGGCAUAGAUCGAGAUUAGGAUUUGUCACUCCAAUUAUCGGAGAGGUAUCUCUGGGCCCUCUCGGUAAUGCACAUCACUAUAAGCCUUGCAAGCAAUGUGACUGAUGAGUUAGUUGCGGAAUGAUGCAUUACAGAACGAGUAAAGAGACUUGCCGGUAAUGAGAUUGAACUAGGUAUUGAGAUACCGACGAUCGAAUCUCGGGCAAGUAACAUACCGAUGACAAAGGGAACAACGUAUGUUGUUAUGCGGUUUGACCGAUAAAGAUCUUAGUUGAAUAUGUAGGAACAAAUAUGAGCAUCCAGGUUCCGCUAUUGGUUAUUGACCGGAGAUGAGUCUCGGUCAUGUCUACAUAGUUCUCGAACCCGUAGGGUCUGCACGCUUAACGUUCUGUGAUUAUCGGUAUUAUGAGUUUAUGUGUUUUGAUGUACCGAAGGUUGUUCGGAGUCCCGGAUGUGAUCAAGGACAUGACGAGGAGUCUCGAAAUGGUCGAGACAUAAAGAUCGAUAUAUUGGAUGGCUAUGUUUGGACAUCGGAAUGGUUCCGGUGAGUUCGGGCAUUUACCGGAGUACCGGGCGGUAACCAGAACCCCCCGGGGAGUGUAUGGGCCUUAUUGGGCCUUAGUGGGAGAGAGGAGGAGGCGGCCUAGGAGGGGGCGCACCCCCCAAGCCCAAUCUGAAUUGGGAGGGGGGCCGGCCCCCCUUUCCUUCCUCCCUCUCUCCUCCUUCCUUCCUCUCCUACUCCUACUUGGAAGGGGGGAAUCCUACUCCCGGUGGGAGUAGGACUCCCCUAGGGCGCGCCAUAGAGAGGGCCGGCCCUCCCCCUCCACUCCUUUAUAUACGGGGGAGGGGGGCACCCCAUAGGCACACAAGUUGAUCAUUGUCUUAGCCGUCUGCGGUGCCCCCCUCCACCAUAAUCCACCUCGGUCAUAUCAUCGUAGUGCUUAGGCGAAGCCCUGCACCUGUAGCUUCAUCAUCACCGUCAUCACGUUGUCGUGCUGAUGAAGCUCUCCCUCGACACUCAGCUGGAUCGAGAGUUCGUGGGACGUCACUGAGAUGAACGUGUGCAGAUCGUGGAGGUGUCGUACUUUCGGUACUAGGAUCGGUCGGAUCGUGAAGACGUACGAUUACAUCAACUGCUUUGUCACAACGCUUCCGCUUACGGUCUACGAGGGUACGUGGACUACACUCUCCCCUCUCGUUGCUAUGCAUCACCAUGAUAGAUCUUGUGUGUGCGUAGGAUUUUUUUGAAAUUACUGCGUUCCCCAACACGCGCCUCCCCUGCCCGUGCCUCGCCACCGCUCUGCUGCUACGCUACUACUGCGUUGUGGCUGCCGCCGCUUCCCGCUGCUCCGCCAGCGCCGUAGUUCCCGGUUGGCUCCGCCNNNNNNNNNNNNNNNNNNNNNNNNNNNNNNNNNNNNNNNNNNNNNNNNNNNNNNNNNNNNNNNNNNNNNNNNNNNNNNNNNNNNNNNNNNNNNNNNNNNNNNNNNNNNNNNNNNNNNNNNNNNNNNNNNNNNNNNNNNNNNNNNNNNNNNNNNNNNNNNNNNNNNNNNNNNNNNNNNNNNNNNNNNNNNNNNNNNNNNNNNNNNNNNNNNNNNNNNNNNNNNNNNNNNNNNNNNNNNNNNNNNNNNNNNNNNNNNNNNNNNNNNNNNNNNNNNNNNNNNNNNNNNNUAACCAUUUAAUAAAUUAAAACUCUUAAAUUAACAUUAGUGUAUGACAUGUGGGUCCCCUAUUAAUUAAACUGAUUUAAUUAAUUUCUAUUAACUUUGAGUCUAUGACAUAUUGGCCCCACUGAACAUUUGACUAGUCAACGGUCCAGUCAAAUGCUGACCGGACAGUUGACCAGAGGGCCCCACCAGUCAGCCUCUGUGCUGUUCUGCUGGGUACCUUUCUGAGUACACCUAGCAUUUCGCAUUUACAAUAUAUGUUUUAAAAUAAAUUAGAAUAAUUUAAAAAAAUGAUUAAAACUUUUAAAAUUAAAAUAAAAUAAUCCGUAACUCGGAUGAAAUUACUUUAUACAUGGAAGUUGCUCAAAAAACGAGACGAAUACGAAUACACAGUCCGUUCGUCUGGCACACGUCCCUAGCAUAGCGAAAAUGCAACCACCCCCCUCCGGUUCGACUGUCCGAAAAUGUCAAACACCGGGAAUAAGUUUCCGGAUGUUUCUCCCUUCACCAGUAGCACCUAGUACCAUGUGAGGGCAUACCUAGCACCACUUAUUGUCAUGUCAUGCAUCGUCAAGCAUCUGUUUGCAUUGUAUUCAUUGUUUCUUCCUCCUCUUCUCUCCGGUAGACUACGAGACCGACGCCGCUGCUGCCCCGGUCGACUAUGGUGUUGACGACCCCUCCUUGUCAGCAGAGCUUCCAGGCAAGCAAACCCCCUUGAUCAUCCCAAUAUUGCCUACUCUUUCCCUCUACUGCUUGCAUUAGAGUAUUGUUACUGUUUGUCAGUUUGAUCCUAUACUGCUGCAUGGCCUGUCUUUGAUACUACUUUUGAUACCUUUACCUGCAAUCCUAAAUGCUUAGUGUAGGAUGCUAGUACUUCAUCAAUGGACCUACAUUCUUGUCCGUCUGCCAUGCUAUACUGUCGGGCCGUGAUCACUUCGGGAGGUGAUCAAGAGUAUAUACUAUAUACAUAUUAUACUUGACACAUGAUGUGACUAAAAUCGGGUCGGCACGUAGAGUACCCACGAGUGAUUCAUGACCUAGGGGCUGAAGGGGCAUGUGGUUCCAUCCAGGUUGUGAUGGGCCUGGGUUCCCGACGCCCCCCCCACCCCGAGUGAUUCUUUGUGGCGGAGCGACAGGGCAGGUUGUGACCACCUAGGAGAUAGGUGGGCCUGGUCCUGGUCGGCGUCCGUGGUUACUUCAAAAUAAUACGCUUAACGAGGUUGGGUAUUUGAUCUGAGUUGGUCGUUGGCCUUAUUCGCACUAACCGCCACGUGGGACAAGAUAUGGGCAACCAGUGUCGUAGUAUCAGCCAAAGCUCUUCAGACGUCAGUGACUGAGUGGUGCGCGCCGGGUUGGACCGCGUAAUGCAUCCUCCUUUGUAAUGGAGGUUCCUAGCUCUGCUCACCGACGAUGUUCGCAACAUGCAGGAGUGCAACGGGCGAUGGGCCCAAGACCCCUGCGCGCUUAGGAUUUAGAUCGGCGUACUGACCUCUCUGUUGGGCCUAGGUAGGGUUGCGACGUGUUGAUCUUCCGAGGCCGUACGUGACCCAGGAAAGUGUGCCCAGCCAGAGCGAUCGAGCAUUUUCGGGUAAUGUGGUGCACCCCUGGAGGGAAGAUUGAUCUAUUCGGAUAGCCGUGUCCACGGUAACAGGAAGACUUGGAGUUGCAUUUCGACCUCAUGACAACUAGAGCCGGAUACUUAAUAAAACUCACCCAGAUAUGUUCCAGAUACAACCCGGUGAUCGCUCUCUCACAGGGUGACGAGGAGAGGAUCGUCGGGUAGGUUUAUGCUAUACGAUGUUACUUGGUUAACUUACUAGCUACUCUCUUCUAUAUGCUUCAAGAUGGAGGCUGCAGAAGCGUAGUGUUUGAUAGGACUAGCUUCUCCCCCUCUUAUUCUGAAAUUCUGCAGCUCAGUCCACAUAUACUACCCAUUUCAUUGAUACCGAUGCAUAUGUAGUGUAGAUCCUUGCUUGCGAGUAUUUUGGAUGCGUACUCACGGUUGCUUUGCUCCCACUUUUCCCCAUUUUCCAUUCUUCUCGGACGUCACAACCAGAUGCUAGUGCCUCAGAGCCAUACGCCACCUUCGACGACUCCUACUACACCGAGGGUGCCUACUACUACGUGCAGGCCACUGACGACCAGGAGUAGUUUAGGAGGAUCCCAGGCAGGAGGCGUGCGCCUCUUCGAUCUUUAUCCAUGUUUGUGCUAGCCAUCUUAUGGCAACUUGGUUAACUUAUGUCUGUACUUAGAUAUUUUUGCUUUGGCUGACUUGUCUGUGACAAGCUUAUGUAUUCGAGCACUCGAGGCCCCUGGCUUGUAAUAUAAAGCUUGUAUUAUUUUAUUCAUGUCUAGAGUUGUGUUGUGAUAUCUUCCCGUGACUCCUUGAUCUUGAUCGUACACAUUUGCGUGUAUGAUUAGUGCAUGAUUGAAUCGAGGGUGCCACAGCUUUGGAGAUACCCCUUACUUGGCCCCUCGCUCCGAAAACACGUUUGACGAUAGUUUUCUCUCGGAUCAAAUAUAUGUCAAGUUUAACAAAGUUUAUAUGAAUUAUUUUAUCAUAUCUAUAGUACCAUACAAAUAUACCAUAGAAAAAAAACAUAUUUCAUGCUGCACCAUGAAUUGGUCCGGUAAAUGUCGGGUAUGGAGACUCUAUUCUCUUUUGGCAUAAGUUGCCUCGGUCUCAAAAGUUUCAUGAACCGUUCUCUUUUGCCAUUAAGAAAAAGCUCUAUUUGGCUGAUUUUAUUCAUAGUGACCAUCUGGCUCUCCAUUUUCAUAGGCAUACCACCCUGCAAGCUCUUGCUCAAUUCAUUGACAUCAUUGACUUAGUUCAUAAAAAAAUCAACAAAUGGAAUAAAAUAAUAUCACGAAGAUACCAAUUACACCCGUCCUCUCUAUCAACAAGAUAUCCAAAGACAUCAAGGGUACACACAGCCAGAAAAAGGAUUAGAAGAAAAAAGACCCCCCCCCCUCCCUGAGGUGAUAAAUCACUAGCAUUAGUAGCACUCUCACCACACCGAAGACAACGCCCGGAUUACAAAAAAAGUUCUCCAAAAUCAACCCCCCAAGAAGGAAGCAAUGCACAAGUGUUGUCAUUGUCCGAUCGAAGAUCGUGGGUUUUCACCCUAGAAAAAUUCCAAGCUCAGCCAAAAGCAUUGCCUUGAAGGCCAUUUCCAGGUACAACCAAUAAAGGCUAGACCUUGGAUUUUCACCCUAGGAAUUCAGACUCAGUACUCGAGAGGUACCACCAAAAAUGUAGUCCUCCAGUGAUGGUGCCCCGCACUUCCCCAGCCCGCUGUUUCAAGUCACCAAACACCCCGCGCACAUUCUUCAUCGCAUUAAUUACAUCAUUCCACCAAAGCUUCAAGACCUCCAAUCACAGCCGCCAUGACUUCAUCCACCUCUAUCAAUGCCUUGAGAAUCCUGACUUAGACAUGUCCCAUGACACCAAUAAGAAAUCAAAGCUUCUUGCCAUGCCCUCUUGAGGUCGUGUUGGCUGAUAAUAUGAGCGUGCGCGACCGAAGCCUUUCCAAUCUAGAUAUCCAGGGGCGACAUACACCAAUUCAUAUAGAUAUCCGAUGGGAAAGACCGAAACUCGUCAGCGGCUAGAUCUAAGAGGUCGACGUAUGGCAGAAAGACGACUUGGCGGAAGAAUAGUACUAGGGCCAAACCACCAUUAUUAGGCCGAAGCUAACAUCCCCACACGCCGUCCUCCCCUCAAUCUAGACCUACAGACAAAGAUCAGCGACGCCGCAUCGUGCCACCCACAUGCGUGGAGGCCCGAACAUGGCAAGACGCCAACCAUGGCAGGAGACUAGGACCAGCCACUCCUGGGCUGAUCCGGCGACUCCCAGGCCCACCCCUGCCACUAUGGUGGCACCACCCCUGCCUACAAGCCCAUCCACGAUGAUGCCUGAUUAGAAGGAUACAUGGAUAUACAGAUGGAAAGGCCCUUUUUUUGCGAAUGAAUUCUUUCAUUACUCAGGUAUCAAAGAAUACAAUUCGUCCCACAAGUGCCAAAACAUCUUCCGGACCAGAUCCUAGCCAAACCAAAGUUCAGCGUUGCAACCUACCAAAAUUUGCCAAGGCAUGACUAACCCUAUUACAGCUCCGGCGAAUAUGAGUAAUGCAAGAAUUCCUUUCUCCCAAACUACUAAUGAUCUCUCUGAUGAUGAAAGCAUAUUUAGAUUUGUUGCUAUUCCCUCUCUUAAUCAUAUUGACAGCCUCUAAACAAUCAGACUCCACGUCUAUUGGUAAGAUGCUCCACUGAAGGGCCAAAGAAAUUCCCUCCCUUAUUGCAAGUAACUCUGCCUCCAGUACAUCAUCACAUGCAUAGAGAAAUCUGCAAGCAGUGAAAACAAUUUCUCCUUCCUGAUUCCUUAGGAUCAUUCCGGCUCCCGCAGUAGAGCCCAGGACCGAAGCAUCCGUGUUGAGUUUGACUCUGCCCACCGCUGGAGCGGACCAAGAGCCCUGCACUUCAUCAACUUUGUAUAUGUCCUGAUCGGGAAUCUGAAAACAUGCAGCUGGCAUUUUUCCUUUCACUAAAGCAUCACUUCAGCAUAUGUGAAUGGAGUUUAAGGAUGACAGAUAGCUGGACAGGAAGCACACCGAAACAUCCACGGGCGGUGGUUGUUUUGCAUGCACAAUUUCGUUACGCACAUACCAGAUUUGCCAGAAUAGCAUCAUGAUCCUAGCUCUCUCCUCUUCAUGCAUUUUCGAUAGGAGAUGAAGGAACCCAUCACGACCAACAUGUACAAUGCUUAGUCGGUCCGGCAAUGUCCAUUCCUUCACCAUGGCCUUCCAUAGGAUCGCAGCAUGAUUACAAGUGCAAAAAACAUGGAACGAGUCCUCCUCCUCCGUACCACACACAGGGCAUGUACCUGAGACUUCCAAGUUCCUUUUCACUUUAUUUGUCCAAUUUGCUAGCGAAUCUGUAGCUAAUCUCCAAGCAAAAGACUGAACCUUUGGUGGUACAGUACUUUGCCAUAUAAAGUUCCAUGCUUCUCUUGUUCCAUCCGGCCGGGAACUUGUAGAAACCUCACUAGGAUUUGAGCAUUCAUCACUAGCCAGUUUGUACGCACUACGUACCAUAAAACCUCCACCUUUUUCAGGCGCCCAAGGAACAAAGUCUUCAUCAAGCCGAGCAGAUGGUUUUAUUUUCUAGAUUUCAACAAUGCCGCCCGGGAGAAAAAACUGAUUUAUCUUGUCAAAGUCCCAAUUACCAUGGAUAUUCAGUAGCUCCGAGACCCACCUCAGGCGGCACCUACCACGCUGUGUAAUCAAGCCUCCAGUUGGCUCGCGUGCUAUCCAUCGGUCUCUCCAUAUACGUACAUUUUGACCAUUUCCGAUUCUCCAGACCACGUCUUUUUUUCAGAACUUCGAGACCAUAGGCAAUGGCCUGCCAUGUAGGUGAUGGGUUACUAGUGAACACCGUAUCCAGUAAGCGCCAAUUUGGUAAAUACUUCACUUUUAAAAGCCUUGAGCAUAAACUGUUAGGGAACUCUAGUAUUCGCCACGCCUGACGAGCAAGGAGCGCUUGGUUAAAUAGACAAAAGUCUUUAAAACCAAGGCCGCCUUGCUUCCUUGGCCUAGUCAUUUUCUCCCAUGCAUACCAAUGUGUUUUCCUCUUCCCUUUCUCUGCACCCCAAAAAUAGUUCCUAACCAUGCGGUUUAGAUCAUCACAUACCUCCAGCGGGAGCUUGAACACACUCAUAAUAUAUGUAGGGAUACAUUGACCAACAACACGGAUUAACACUUCCUUUUCCGCUUGAGUAGGGUUCUAAGACUGACAGUAGAAUGGGGGUUAGGUAUGAAGAGGCAAGAUCCCAGCUGUGGUGAAGUUGUACACACGAGAUUUACGAGUUCAGGCCCUUCACGGUGGAAGUAAUAGCCCUACGUCUCGGUGUCCGGAGGCGGUCGACUGGAUUAUAUGUGUGUGGAGUUACAGGGGGUGCGAACCCUUAUCCCUGAGGAGGGGGGUGGCUUAUAUAGAGUUCGCCAGACCCCUCCCGCCCUCAGUUACACAGGGUUUAAGGUACAUAAAGAUGGGGCGUUUCUGGUAACGCCAGUAAUAAAGUGACAUAAAUGUCCAUUAAGUCUACAGACUAAACGUCCGACCUUUGCUAUUCAGAGUGACUUUAGGUCUCCUGCCUGUCGAGGCAUUCCUGUUACGAUCGAGUGAGCUUGAAUCUUCCGAGUGGAAUGCCUCUAGUCGAGUGGAUGAUGAUAUCCCUUGAAUGCUUCUGACUUUAGGGUAAUGACCUAGGGGAGGGUGUCCAGGUCAGGUCUAUGACCCUACCCUAGGUACAUGUCUUCAUCAUUAGCCCCCGAAUGGUUCAGGGUUUGAGUGGAGAAGGAGUUGAUAAUAUUUUCGACUCAAUUUUUGCGCUUCGGAGGCGUCUUGUUGGGAUCAAUGAACAACAUGAUGACUUCAUCUUCUUUUCCAGCCGCCUUGACCCAUUCUUAAUUAGUCAAGUGAACUUUUACUGCUAAGCUUCGAGUGUUGGUAUGGAAAAAAAUCUUCAGUCUGACAGGUUGUUCUGCUGCUCGCGGAUCUUCCGGGAUUCGAAUUUCGGGAAGCGCGCGGGGUGGAGGAGGCCGCGGUAAUCAGAGAAGAUUAGGCAGGGAUGCCUCGAUAUCCGCGCCACCUUUUUCGCCACGUGCUGCGCGCGCAACUGUUGCGGGUUUGACAGGAUCGCCUGGGCCCACAGGUCAGCCACUCGGAAAUGGUUCCAUAUAAGGCGUCGCGGCUGGGGUUUUCUGCACAGUACACCUCAUCUCCUCUCUUCCUCCUCUGUUUUCCAUCGCAUCCACCUCCUCCCUCGGCGCCGCCGCUCUGCCCGAAAUCGACCCUCCGCAAUGGGAAAGGAGAAGACGGUGGCUCUGGAGCGCACGAAGAAGGCGACAGCGAAGGCGAAAGGGAGAAAGACGAGCCGGGGAGGGUCCUCGUCGAGAUCCGGUUUACUGCCCGGCUCAUCCAGGGUGAUUGGAUUCCGUGGACGAUCCGGCAAGUCGACGUCGAUGAUUUGGUCGAGGGGGGACUGAUUCCCCACGGAUCUGGGUGGCUCCCGGAGGACGAGACUGAGCCGCGGCCGCAGGAGGGUGAGUGUGUUCUCCUCGCCACCCAUGUUGACCGUGGUUUUUCUUUGCCUCCCCAUCCUUUCUUCCGAGGCUUCUUGAACUUCUUUGGAGCACAACUUCAUCACUUUUCCCCCAACACAAUCACGUACCUCGCUGCAUUCAUUUCUAUGUGUGAGAAUUUUCUGGGUUGUCGACCACACUGGGGUCUCUUCAAACACAUUUUCACCUGUCGUUCUCAGUCGGUCAAAAAGGCCAAUCCGAGUGACGAGAGGAUGCAUGUGAUCCAGACGUGUGGGGGUCUUGGGAUCCAAAUGAGAGGCAAGAGUACUUUCCCAGCCAUGAUUCUUCCCGAGUCAGUCAGAGGGUGGUAGUCGACCUGGUUCUACUGCAAAGACCAGCCGACUCCAGGCCAGUCGACUGGACUUCCCCCCUUUUCCAUGGCUCGAGUUGAGAAGCCCUCUGCCUUGAAAGUGACUCCAGCAGAAAAAGCGGAGGUGAAGGUGUUGGUCGAGCGAGUGGUCCAGCUCGUUCGUGACGGCGUGACUGGCAGGGAUCUGUUGGAGGUCUUCCUUAGACGACGCAUUCAGCCACUUCAAGCUCGUGACCAUCCGAUGUGGAUGUACUCCGGCAUUGAUGAUACCACUCGGAUCCACCCGGAGGAGGUCGACAAGGAUACAGUGGCACAAUGGCUGAGGGGCAUCACUGGUAACAAGGAUAACCCAGGGGGUCCAGGAGGAUCCCUCCACUCGACAACUCGUAUGAACCAGAUAAGGUCCAACUCUAAAUUUCCGAGUGUUUUCUUGAUCUACCGUGUAAUUACUUUUUGCCAACCGACUGACAUUUGUUCCACCUAUUGUCUUUUAGGCCCUCACUGAGAUGUACUCGAUGCCCAACAGAGAGCAGGAGCAGGAUCCGGAAGGGGAGGCGAGAGCGGCGAGUGGCACUCUGAUGGGGGAGAAGAUGACGAAAGUGACGACUCUGGUGACGGCGAAGAAGUCGACUCACCCCCUCGCACCGAAAGGCGAUCCAAAGAAAUCCACGACCCGGCAAGUAUCUGAGGCAAAGCGACCGCGCAGACUGGGCGGCAGACCUCAAAGUGCCCUCGGACGUCUUCUCCAGCGCCGACUGAGAGGGCCCCGAAACAAUCAAAAGCUACGCCGUCAAAACCGCGGAAGCCUUUGCCCAAGAUCAAAGUGGUCGUGCCCCUUGAUUCCAGGUAAUAAUUGGACUUGAUUUCUUGGUUUAGCAUGAAUUGAAUUUUGGUCGACUCAUUUCGGCAGACAUAACCGACUGAAUCUUGAGAUUUGCAGUGCUGCUACCUUUGAGACUUCUGUUUAUAGGAAUGAAGACGAGUAAAUGGAAGAUGCAGUCACCUCUAAUCCGGGUACGACUCUCGUAAUCCUAUUUUUACUUUCUCGGCCGUUUUAUUGGUCGACUGAAUUCCGGCGAUUGAUUCUUUUUGCAGCUCCUCCCAAUGUCAUUGAUCUUCCAGACGACGACGAGGAUGUGCCGCUGAGGCCUCUGGGAAGAAGAAACAGGAAGACGUCAACUGGCAGAGCGCCUUAGUCGACGCCGGUGACGGAACCGGUAAUCCAGGAGGGCGGUGAUGCCAAUCGGACUUCCCUGAUUUUCGCCGUACCAUUGACGAGUGCCCAGCCCUCAGCGUCGACUGCGCAGACUCCAGCCGAUCCAUCUUCACUCUUUACUGCACAUCACGUCCCAGAGGACCAAGUGGGCGCUGCCAAGGAGGCUAUACACCAGGCGGGCAUCAUGAUGGAGCAGAUGAAGGUGGUACGGGAGACCAGCCAAGCUGCUUAUGACGCCAGCUCAGCUCUCCAGAACAAUGUCCAGGUUAGUUGAUCACCGACUGACUCUUUAGCUUGUUGCUUGUUCUGUUAGGAUAUGCUACCUGAAAACUUUCCUUGAAGGAUCUUUCCAUCAGUCUGCGUUUUGCAUUUGUACACCCACUGGGUGUUUUGAUAUGUCACUGAGUAGUCUUGUAUCUUGAAUCGACUAAGUUGUCUCGAUUGAGUCUUUGAACUAGUGGGGGCACGCUGAGUGCACCCACUGGGUGUAGUCCCCAAGACCAUAGUUGACUACGAGCAGUCAACUAUGGUGUGAGAAUUGGAAUUUUCUCACUCGGCCUGCACAGACCAUGUCGAGUGGAACUUGAGCCAGUGGCGGCACGCUAAGUGCACCCACUGGGUGUAGUCCUCGAGACCAUAGUUGACUACGGGCAGUCGACUAUGGUCUGAGAACAACUUUUUUUUACACUCAGCCUGGACAGACCAUGUCGGGUGGAAACUGGACCAGUGGUGGCACGCUAAGUGCACCCACUGGGUGUAGUCCCCGAGACUACUGUUGGAUGUUCGAUUCGGCAGUAGUCUUAGAACUUGUUGAAUUUAUCACUCUAUUGCUCUGAAGUAACCAAUAUUUCCAUCCGUCGACUGACCGUCUUUUGAUUACAGAAAUCCUGUGAACUUGGAGCCCGUUUUGCUGACCUGGAGCAGAAGCAGAUUCAGCUCAACCUCGACCUAGAGCUGGCCAAGACAAACUUGCAGAAGGCCAAGGAUGAAGUCACUGGUACAAAAAACUUGCCGACUGAUUUGUUUCCGACCCGGGUGUUAUUUGUUUUUUCUGAACCAAGCAUCAUUUCUUUCAGAAGCAAUGAACCAAGCUCUGGCGAAGAAGGAUCUGGACCUUGCAGCCGCGCAGAAAGCAGCCGAAGAGAAAACUGCACUCGCCGACCAGAAGCUGGCUUCAGUCGGCAAACUGGAGGAAGAGAACACCAAGCUGAAGACUGCCUUGGAUGAAGCCAACAAGGAGGCGACUCGUCUGAAGAAGGACAGGAACAACCUGACCGAAAAGGUGGAAGCUAUUGCCCGCAAGAGAGAUGACUUGGAAAAUUAUCUGGGAGGUCUUGCCAAGAAGCUGUUCGUCAUGCUUGAAGGUGCUUUCCUUUGUCCGACUGACUUGUUGCUGUCGACUCGAUAUAUAACCAUUGACUCAUCCUUGUAUUGUGUGCGCAGAAUUUUGCCAGAACUUCGAGGAAGAGACUGGGCGAGUUGAGACAAGCUUGGACCCCAUCUCUCUCCUGUGAAGGAUGAAGCUGCCAUGAACGUGCUCUGACUGGAAUCCCGUGUCGCUGGCAUUAUCGAUUAUCUUGCCCGAUUGAAAGUCGCGGUGUCGCGAAUCGACACAGCACUCUGGCCAAGGGCGACGCUCCAAAAUGACCUCGAGUCUCUGAUGGCUCGACUUAAUGAAGUUCACGGUCGAGUGCAGGAAUGGAAGAAGUCUUCUGCUCCAUGCGGUGCUGAUGUGGCUCUGUCCCUGGUUCGUGUCCACUACAAGGAAGCGCGAGAAGAGAAGCUAGCAGCAAUCAAGGUUGCCAAUACCAAAAGGCACGACUUCCAAUCCUUCAUGGAAUCCUUUAUUGCUGCCGCCACUCGGAUUGCUGACGGAAUCGACCUGGACGAGUUCGUCGAGCCCGCUAGCCCACCUCCUGCGGAGUGAACAAACUUUAUGCCUCACCUUAAAUUUGCCUCGGAAUGCCGAGUGAUUUUGUAACCGUUAAACUCCUUCGGGCCUGACGCCCGAGUACUUUAAUCCGUGGUCUGGUACUUUAGGAUUCAUCUGAACUUGGUUUAUCUAAGAAUAUGCUUGUGUUUGUCUUCGGGUGGAACUUGUUGUUCACUCGGAAUAGUCUUUGUACUUGUGAUGCACCUCCGAGGAGAAGGUCGCAAUCGACCUGCACCUCGUUGUCCUUGCGGAUCGGGAUGGAGCGCGCAUUGUACUUAUGGCGCAGCUCUGAGGAGAAGGUCGCAGUCGACCUGCACCCCAUCGUCCUUGCGGAUCGGAAUGGAGCGCACAUUGUACUUAUGGCACAACUCUGAGGAGAAGGUCGUAGUCGACCUGCACCUCGUCGUCUUUGCGGAUCGGGAUGUGUUUUUAAAGUUAGGCGAGUACUGGACUGCAGCUAAGCCCCCGAGUGAGAGGUUUUCUCUCCACUCGGUAAGAUUUUUCAGACUUAGGCGAGUACUGGACUGCAGCUAAGCCCCCGAGUGAGAGGAUUGCUCUUCACUCGGUGGGAUUUUUCAAACUUAGGCGAGUACUGGACUGCAGCUAAGCCUCCGAGUGAGAGGAUUGCUCUUCACUNNNNNNNNNNNNNNNNNNNNNNNNNNNNNNNNNNNNNNNNNNNNNNNNNNNNNNNNNNNNNNNNNNNNNNNNNNNNNNNNNNNNNNNNNNNNNNNNNNNNNNNNNNNNNNNNNNNNNNNNNNNNNNNNNNNNNNNNNNNNNNNNNNNNNNNNNNNNNNNNNNNNGAGUGAGAGGCUUGAUCACCACUCGGUAGGAUUUUUCAAACUUAGGCGAGUACUGGACUACAGCUAAGCCCUCGAGUGAGAGGCUUGCUCACCACUCGGUAGGAUUUUUCAAACUUAGGCGAGUACUGGACUGCAGCUAAGCCCCCGAGUGAGAGGCUUGCUCACCACUCAGUAGGAUUUUUCAAAGUUAGGCGAAACGGAUUCGCAGCUAAGCCUCCGAGUGAGAGGCUUGCUCACCACUCAGUAGGAUGUUUUAGACUUAGGCGAAACGGAUUCGCAGCUGAGCCACCCACCGGGGGAUUUUAAACAUAUGAAUAAGCAACGACAAUCAUUUUAGAAGACUGUAAAACUCUGUCUUUGAUAAACAAACUAAAAGUUAUUUCUUAUUACAUCUCAACAGACUGAGUACUUAAGUAUAAAAACGACGGAGCAACUCUCCAUUCCAAGCAUGUGGUUCGCCCUUCUUAUGCUCGUUGUUGUAGAGGUGAUACGCUCCGUUGUGGAGCACUUUGGUGAUGAUGAAGGGGCCUUCCCAAGCAGGAGUGAGCUUGUGUGGUUUCUGCUGAUCCACUCAAAGAACCAGGUCUCCCUCUUGAAAUGCCCGACCUUUCAUGUUUCUAGCGUGGAAUCGACGGAGAUCUUGCUGAUAGAUGGUCGACCUGAUCAAGGCCAUCUCUCUUUCUUCUUCCAGAAGAUCAACGGCAUCUUGCCGUGCCAGCUCUGCUUUGGCUUCUGAGAAAAGUUCUACUCGGGGUGCAUUGUGAAGCAAAUCACUCGGAAGCACAGCCUCAGCUCCGUAAACAAGAAAGAACGGGGUUCGACCAUUCGACCGAUUUGGAGUUGUUCUCAAUCCCCAGAGUAGUGACGACAGUUCAUCAACCCAAGCUCCUGCAACAUGCUUGAGAUCACGCAUCAGUCGGGGUUUUAGCCCCUUGAGGAUCAAACCGUUUGCUCUUUCUGCUUGUCCAUUCGACUGUGGGUGGGCGACUGAAGCACAGUCGACCUGAGUGCCUUGGGAAGCACACAAAGCUCUGAAUUCAUCUGAUUCAAAGUUUGAUCCAUUAUCCGUGAUAAUGUUGUGUGGGACUCCAUAUCUGAAAGUUAACUCUUUGAUGAAGCUGACAGCGGUACUCGCUUCGAGGUUCUUGAUGGGCUUGGCCUCAAUCCAUUUGGUGAACUUGUCGACUGCUACGAGCACGUGAGUGAAACCACUUCUGCCAGUCCUCAAGGGUCCAACCAUAUCUAAACCCCAGACAGCAAAUGGCCAGACGAGUAGAAUGGUCUUCAAGGCUGAUGCGGGUUUGUGUGACAUGUUGGAGUAGAACUGACAGCCUUCACAUUUGUCUACUAUUUCUUUCACCAUCUCAUUGGCAUGUGGCCAGUAAAAUCCGGCUCGGUAUGCUUUGGCCAUGAAGGUCCGAGAGGACGCAUGGUGACCACAGGUCCUCGAGUGAAUAUCAUUGAGGAUCAUUCGGCCUUCUUCUGUCGUGAUGCAUUUCUGGCUGACUCCAGUUAAACUUUCUCUGAACUGCUGUCCUCUUAUCACAGUAAAGGCCUUGGAUCGACAGACGAUCUGUCGAGCCUCUUCUUCAUCCUUUGGGAGUUCCUUCCUAAGAAUGUUUGCAAUGUAUGGCACUGUCCAGUCGGGAGUGACGACCAAAACCUCCAUGAUCAAGUCGACCACGGCUGGGACUUCGACUUCAGUCGGAUCAGUGGCACUCUUAGGCUGUGGGGGCUCUUCAGUGAAAGGAUGUUCCUGAACUGAAGGUGCGUGAAUAUGCUCCAAAAACACAUUGCUGGGAACGGUCUCUCUCUUGGAACCUAUCUUUGCCAAGUCAUCAGCAACUUGAUUUUUUAGUCGGGGUAUAUGGUGGAGCUCUAACCCCUCAAACUUCUUUUCCAGUUUUCUCACUUCAUUAUAAUAACCAGUCAUAGCCGGGCUUCUGACGUAUUACUUGAUUAACCACCAAAUCUGAGUCGCUGUAGACCAUUAGGCGACGGACGCCGAGUGAAAUGGCCAUACGCAACCCGUAUAGAGGUGCUUCAUAUUCAGCUUCGUUGUUGGAGGAAUCAAAAUGAAUCUGAAGAACAUAGCUGAGUCUGUCUCCUCGGGGGGAUACCAAUACCACCCCAGCACCAGAACCAUUCAGCAUCUUGGAUCCAUCAAAGAACAUGGUCCAAUGCUCCGAGUGAAUCUGAGUCGGUUGUUGCUGCUCAACCCACUAGAAGAGGAAAUCUGCUAUUGCUUGGGACUUGAUAGCUUUCUUUGCCUCAAACUUGAUAUCCAAGGAACGGAGUUCAGUCGCCCACUUUGCCCCUCAACCAGUUGCAUCUCUGUUGUUCAGAAUUUAUGACAAUGGUGCGUCGCUAACGACUGUAAUGGAGUGAUCAGAGAAAUAAUGCGCAACCUUCUUCGUGGUGAUGUAAAUUCCAUAGACAAGCUUCUGAUAAUGUGGAUAUCUUUGCUUGGAUGGAGUCAAGACUUCAGAAAUAUAGUACACUCGGAGUUGAACUUUAUAGGCUUUUCCUUCUUCUUCCCGCUUGACCGUGAGCACUGUAUUGACAACUUGUCCAGUGGCUGCAAUAUAAACCAGUAAAGGCUGUUUGCUGAUUGGGGCAGCAAGCAUCGGCUGUGUGGAAAGCAGAGUUUUGAGUUCUGCAAACGCUCCGUCAGCUUCAGGAGUCCACUCGAACUUAUCAGAUUUCUUCAUCAGUCGGUAAAGAGGCAAUGCAUUUUCACCGAGGCGAGAGAUGAAUCGACUCAAGGCGGCCAAGAAACCAGUAAGCUUCUAAAUGUCAUGCACAUGCACAUGGCGUUUCAUCCGGAGUAUGGCCCCAACUUUCUCUGGGUUCACGUCGAUCCCACGUUCGGAAAUGAGAAAACCGAGUAACUUUCCUCCUGGAAUUCCGAAUGUGCAUUUCGUCGGAUUAAGCUUGAUAUCAUAUCUUCUCAGGUUGGCAAAGGUUUUAGUGAGGUCAGUCAGCAGGUCGGAACCUUUACGCGACUUGACCACAAUGUCAUCCAUAUAUGCUUCCACAUUUCGACUGAUUUGAGUGAGUAGACACUUCUGAAUCAUCCUCAUAAAUGUGGCGCCAGCGUUCUUGAGACCGAAUGGCAUGGUGACAUAACAAAAGCACCCGAAUGGAGUGAUGAAAGUUGUUUUUAUCUCAUCGGGUCCAUACAGUCGGAUCUGAUGAUACUCGGAAUAGGCGUCCAGAAAAGACAAACACUCACACCCCGCAGUCGAGUCGACGAUUUGGUCGAUACGGGGGAGAGGGAAAUGAUCUUUCGGACAGGCCCAAUUGAUAUGCUUGAAGUCAAUGCACAUACGAAGUGAGUCGUCCUUCUUGGGAACCAUGAAAACAUUGGCGAGCCACUCGGAAUGGUAAAUCUCUCGAAUGAACUCAGCCGCUAGGAGCCGAGCCACUUCUUCACCAAUUGCAUUUCUCUUCUGUACGGCGGACCGUCGAAGAUGUUCCUUGACUGGUUUCACUUUCGGGUCGACUCGCAAACGGUGCUCAGCCAGUCCCCUGGGUACACCCGGCAUGUCAGAAGGUUUCCAUGCCAAGAUGUCCCAGUUCUCACGGAGGAACUGGAUGAGCGCUUCUUCCUAUUUGCUAUCGAGUGAUGUUGAAAUAUGAGUAGGAGCAGCAUUAGGAUCGGUUGGGUGAAUAUGAAUUGGCUUUGUUUCAUCGGACGACUAAAACGCAGAAUCUGUGGCAGGCUUCUUGGCUCGCAAUAAAUCACUCGGAUCCGCAUUUUUCUGAUACUCUUGCAUUUCAACUGCUGCAAUUUGUGCAUCGGCAAUUUUAGAACCCUUCUUGAAGCAUUCUUCUGCCUUCUGCCGAUUGCCAGUGACUGUGAUCACUCCUCUGGGACCAGGCAUUUUCAACUUGAGAUAUACAUAACAUGGCCGAGCCAUGAAUCGUGCAUACGCCGACCUCCCCAUAAUAGCAUGAUAAGCACUCUGGAAAUCCACUACUUCAAAUGUCAACUUUUCCUUACGGUAAUUCUUUGAAUCACCGAAAACCACGUCAAGGUUUAUUUGGCCGAGUGAUUCAGCCUUCUUGCCAGGGAUGACGCCGUGAAAGGUCAUGUUGCUCUCACUAAGUUUGGACAUCGGGAUGCCCAUCCCCUUCAAGGUUUCAGCAUAAGGGAUAUUCAGGCCGCUACCACCAUCCAUUAGCACUUUCGUCAGUCGAGUGCCUCCAACCACUGGGUCGACCACCAACGCUUGCCUCCCAGGGCUGGCUAUGCGAUCAGGGUGAUCAGACUGGUGGAAUGUGAUAGCUGUUUGUGACCACUUCAGGUAUGUUGUCGUUGCCGGAGCAACCAUAUUCACUUGUCUAUUGAUCACUUUCAGUCGACUUUUGCUGUCAACAUCAGCAAAAAUCACUAGGAUGGAAUUGACAUUGGGAAAACCAUCAUCUUCCUCUUUGUCCUCAUCCUUGUCUGAUUCCUUUUCCUUCUCAUUAGGCUGUUUCUCUCGGAAUUGCUGGAUCAGAACCUGACAUUGUCGAGUGGUAUGCUUAGGAUAAAUCAGAUUGCCUUCUUCAUCCUUCUUGGUGUGAAUGUGACAUGGCAAAUCCAACACAUCAUUUCCGGCUUGAUCUUUCACUUUCUUGGGGGUCCAGGGCCCCUUAGGUUUCCCUUUAAAUUUUCCUUGAAUCACUCCGCAGUUUCACCAGGUCCCGCAGGUUCAGCUUUACGCUUCUGUUUCCGAUUGGAAUUGCCUCCACCUGUGUCCUGAUCGACUGGUUUGCUCUUUCCACUGCGGAGUCGAUCCUCUUCUUCUCCAUUAGCGUACCGAGUGGCUAUUUCCAUCAUCCAAGUCAGAGACAUAUCUCCCAUCCGAUAGAACUUCAGAACCAGUUCUCGAUACUUAACGCCUUCCUUGAAGGCACAAACUGCUUGAUGCUCGGGUACAUUUUCCACUGUGUGAUGCAAAGUGGUCCACCGCUGAAUGUAAUCUCUCAGAGUUUCAUUCGGUUUUUGCACGCAAUGCUACAAUUCUGUUAACCCCGCUGGCCGCUUGCAUGUACCCUCAAAUGUUCUAACAAACACUCGGGCGAGUUCCUCCCAACUGAAUAUACUGCUCGGUGCUAACUGAGUCAACCAUGCCCUGGCCGAGCCUUCCAACAUCAUAGGUAGAUGCUUCAUGGCCACUUCAUCAUUGCCGCUACCAAUCUGCACAGCCACUCGGUAAUCCUCAAGCCAAGUAUCAGGCUUGGACUCACCAGUGAACUUGCUGACUCUAGUCGCCAACCUGAAGUUGGGAGGAAUCACCGCAGCUCUGAUGGCUCUGCUAAAACACUCUGGACCUGAAACAUGAACUCUGCUGCGAGUCGGGUCAUCUCUAUCAAGGCCCUAUCUGUGUGCCCUGUUCCUGUUGACUAGACCUUGAACGAGAAUAGAUCUCGCAUCAAAUCCUGGCUCUCUUGGGUCGACUGGUAUUCUUCGCUCACCACUGUGAGGGCGUCUGUCUUCAUAUUGCCGAGGCACAUAUGACCCACUCCUCGGAGGAGGUGUGGUCACUCGACGACGGUCAUCAUGGCCGAGUCAGUGAUCAUAUUGCUCGUGGUUUCUGUACUGAUCUUGCUGGUGCCCACGUCCCUCACGCCGAGGGGGCGGUCUUGGGCUGUGGGCGGACUGGACUAUAUCUGCCAUCACAGAUCUGCUAUGAAUCUUAUUCGGCGACUGAGACACUGCUAUGUUCUGCUCUCCUGCUGCCCGUAGUAAGGCCCGGAUCUGCAUCAAACCUCUGCCAGCUUCCGACUGGGAAGGCUGAAUUCACACUGCGACAUGGGCUGUAGCUGUGAGAUUUUGAAUCGGAGUGCUGUAUACCUGAGGUUGUGGUGGAAAAAGCUGUCGUCGACUAGACUCAGGGAUCCGCUGCCGAGCACGCUCGUCGAUGCAUGGUGAAGGUUCUCCAGUCGAGUGCGCUCAGCCAAGUUGGCCAGGCGCGCCUCCUCCAAGGCCCGAGCCUCGAGGGUUUCCCCAACGAUGGGCGUGUGGAGUGCAUCCACGUUGCGGCGGCGAAGCUCUUCCCUCUGCUGCGAAGAAAGGGGUUCCGGGCGAUACUCCUCGUGAACGCGUGACGGAUCGACGCCACCAUCACCGCCGUCAUCGCGGCAGAAGCCAGGCGGACUACAUGGUCCGUCGACCAUCAAGACUUCAGCUGCGGGGUCGCUGCUAUCGCACUCGGAUGCGGUCUUGAUGUCUACUACGCAACCUUCUUCUUGUAGACGUUGUUGGGCCUCCAAGUGCAGAGGUUUGUAGGACAGUAGCAAAUUUCCCUCAAGUGGAUGACCUAAGGUUUAUCAAUCUGUGGGAGGCGUAGGAUGAAGAUGGUCUCUCUCAAACAAGCCUACAACCAAAUAACAAAGAGUCUCUUGUGUCCCCAACACACCCAAUACAAUGGUAAAUUGUAUAGGUGCACUAGUUUGGUGAAGAGAUGGUGAUACAAGUGCAAUAUGGAUGGUAGAUAUAGGUUUUGUAAUCUGAAAAUAUAAAAACAGCAAGGUAACUAAUGAUAAAAGUGAGCGUAAACGGUAUUACAAUGCUAGGAAACAAGGCCUAGAGUUCAUACUUUCACUAGUGCAAGUUCUCUCAACAAUAAUAACAUAAUUGGAUCAUAUAACUAUCCCUCAACAUGCAACAAAGAGUCACUCCAAAUUCACUAAUAGCGGAGAACAAACGAAGAGAUUAUGGCAGGGUACGAAACCACCUCAAAGUUAUUCUUUCGGAUCGAUCUAUUCAAGAGUUCGUACUAGAAUAACACCUUAAGACACAAAUCAACCAAAACCCUAAUGUCACCUAGAUACUCCAAUGUCACCUCAAGUAUCCGUGGGUAUGAUUAUAUGAUAUGCAUCACACAAUCUCAGAUUCAUUUAUUCAACCAACACAUAGAACCUCAAAGAGUGCCCCAAAGUUUCUACGGGAGAGUCAAGACGAAAACGUGUGCCAACCCCUAUGCAUGGGUUCAUGGGCGGAACCCGCAAGUUGAUCACCAAAACAUACAUCAAGUGAAUCAAUAGAAUAACCCAUUGUCACCACGGUUAUCCCACGCAAGACAUACAUCAAGUGUUCUCAAAUCAUUAAAGACUCAAUCCGAUAAGAUAACUUCAAAGGGAAAACUCAAUCCAUUACAAGAGAGUAGAGGGGGAAGAAACAUCUUAAGAUCCAACUACAAUAGCAAAGCUCGCGAUACAUCAAGAUCGUAUCACCUCAAGAACACGAGAGAGAGAGAUCAAACACAUAGCUACUGGUACAUACCCUCAGCCCCGAGGGUGAACUACUCCCUCCUCGUCAUGGAGAGCGCCGGGAUGAUGAAGAUGGCCACGGUGACGGAUCCCCCGUCCGGCAGGGUGCCGGAACAGGGCCCCGAUUGGUUUUUGGUGGCUACAGAAGCUUGCGGCGGCGGAACUCCCGAUCUAUUCUGUUCCCUGAAGGUUUUAGGGUAUAUUGGUAUAUAUAGGUGAAAGAAGUACAUCAGGGGAGCCACGAGGGUGGAGGGCGCGCCCAGGGGGGUGGGCGCGCCCCCCUGCCUCGUGCCUUCCUCGUUGCAUUCUUGAUGUGGACUCCAAGUCUCCCGGGUUGCUUUCCUUCCAAAAAUAACUUCUCCAGAAGGUUUCAUUCCGUUUCGAAUCCGUUUGAUAUUCCUUUUCUUCAAAACACUGAAACAAGGGAAAAAACAGGAACUAGCGCUGGGCUCUGGGUCAGUAGGUUAGUCCCAAAAGUAAUAUAAAAGUGCAUAGUAAAGCCCAUAAAACAUCCAAGAUGGAUAAUAUAAUAGCAUGAAUACUUCAUAAAUUAUAGAUACGUUGGAGACGUAUUUGCAUCCCCAAGCUUAAUUCCUGCUCGUCCUCGAGUAGGUAAAUGAUAAAAGAAAGAAUUUAUGAAGUGUGAAUGCUAGCAGGUGCAUAGGUUUGAUCAAUGAUAAUUUCAAUCACCUUUCCUAGCAUCAUUAUAUGUCAUAACAGUAGCUCAUACCAUAAAACUUUGCAUGAUCAAGUAACAAACUAUUCACAUGUUAAAGCAUAGACCAUAAACUUUCUUGAAAACUAACAAACCGUGUUAUUAGUCAUCAAACAAUUACAAUUCAUCUUAUUUUCAGGAAGAGUCUAUGUCAGAGCUUUGAUUUAGCAAAUCCCACAUACUCAACUAUCAUAUAGUCUUCCAUGAUUGCUACCACUCAAAGCAUAUUUUUAGAACAAAUAGCAUCCAUCGAACACAUAGAAAGAUAGGGGCUUAAUGUUUCGCCUCCCAACUUAUUCAUCAUAUAGAUAAUUGUCAACAAUAUAAUUCAUGAUCAAAUAUAUUUGAAUGGCCAUAUAUGCUCAGAUCUUUCCAUCACAUGAUGCUUGCCAACUAAAGAGUAGGUUGGAAUGAGAAGGAAUACUACUGACUCUUGCAUAAAAGUAAAAGAUAGGCCCUUCGCAGAGGGAAGCAGGGAUUUGUAGAGGUGCCAGAGCUCGAAGCAAAAACAGAGAUGAAAAUAAUUUUGAGAGGUAUGCUUUCAUUGUCAACAUAACGACCAAGAGUUCCCAAUAUCUUCCAUACUACAUACAUUAUAGGCGGUUCCCAAACAAAAAGGUAAAGAUUUUUACUCCCCCUCCACCAACAAUCAUCAAUCCAUGGCUUGCCCGAAACAACGGGUGCCUCCAACUAACAUCAAUACUGGGGGAGUUUUGUUUGCAAUUAUUUUUGAUUUGAUUUCGAUCUUUUGAUCAUGGGACUGGGCAUCCCAGUUACCAGCCAUUUUCUCGUGAAUGAUGAGCGGAGUCCACUCAUCGUGAGAAUAACCCACCUAGCAUGGAAGAUACUCCUAGCCCCUAGUCACUACAUGAGAGAUUCGGGCAUACAAAACAGAUUAUUAUUUGAAGGUUUAGAGUUUGGCACAUGCAAAUUUACUUGGAACGGCAGGUAAAUACCGCAUAUAGGUAGAUAUGGUGGACACUCAUGGAAUAAACUUGGUUCAAGGAAUUUGGAUGCACAAGCAGUAUUCCCGCUUAGUACAGAUAUUUUGGCUAGCAAAGGAUUCUAAAUAGCAAGCGCCACAUGUUAGAGGAUCCAUAACAAUAUAACUUCUAUACAAAUAUACCCAAGCAUAACUCAUUAUGUUGUCUUCCUUGUCCAACUUCAACUAAUUUGCUCAGGUUUGAAAAUAAUUAAUGGGGAUCACAAUCAUAGAAGAUGUCCAAGAUAGUAUAUUUAUAUGUGAAAUCUCUCUUCCUUCAAUAUUCUUUCAUGAAUUGUUCAAGUGACCAAUACAAUGUUUGCUAACCUUCAAUAAAUUUACCACCUCUACUUCUUAUAUCUGAAGUCAUUACUCCAUGGGAAAGGCAUACGAAACAUAUAUAAUUUCAGAUUUAUGACAUUCAAAUCAUUCAACCAUUUACUCAUAGGAUAUAAGUGAAGCACACGAGUAAAUGACAAACUACUCCAAAAAGAUAUAAGUGAAGAUCAGUGAGUAGUUAAAUAAUUAUGUAUCUAUGUGAAGACUCUCUCUCUCAUUUAAUAAUUUCAGAUCUUGGUAUUUUAUUUAAACAGCAAGCAAAGCUAAAGAAAAUAAAAUGACGCUCAAAGCAAAACACAUAUCAUGUGGCGAAUAAAAAUAUAGCUCCAAGUAAAGUUACCGAUGAAUGAGGGGAUGCCUUCCGGGGCAUCCCCAAGCUUAGGCUCUUGGUUGUCCUUGAAUAUUACUCCCUCCGUUCCAAAAUAGAUGACCCAACUUUGUACUAAAGUUAGUACAAAGUUGGGUCAUCUAUUUUGGAACGGAGGGAGUACCUUGGGGUGCCUUGGGCAUCCCCAAGCUUAGGCUCUUGCCACUCCUUAUUCCAUAGUCCAUCGAAUCUUUACCCAAAACUUGAAAACUUCACAACACAACACUCAACGGAAAACUCGUAAGCUCCGUUAGCGAAACAAAACAAAACACCACUUCAAGGUACUGUAAUGAACUCACUCUUUAUUUAUAUUGGUGUUAAAUUUACUGUGUUGAAACUUCUCUAUGGUUUGUAAACUAUUUUACUAGCCAUAGAGUCAUCAAAAUAAGCAAACAACACACGAAAAACAGAAUCUGUCAAAAACAGGACAGUCUGUAGUAAUCUGUAACUAACGCAAACUUCUGGAACUCAGAAAAAUCUACCAAAAUAGUAAAACCUAGAUAAUUUGAUUAUUGAUCUGCUGCAAUUGGAAUCAGUAUUUUAUCACGUUCUGGUAAUUUUUAACAAUUGUUUUCGUGAGCAGAAAGUUUCUGUCGUUUUCAGAAAGAUCAAAUAAUUAUCAUACAAGGAGAUCCUAUAGGUCUUACUUGGCACAAACACUAAUUAAAACAUAAAACCACAUCUAAGCAGAAGCUAGAUGGAUUAUUUAUUUGUAAACAGAACCAAAAAGCAAUAAACUAAAAUAAAAUUGGGUUGCCUCCCAACGAGCGCUAACGUUUAACUCCCCUAGCUAGGCAUGAUGAUUUCAAUGAUGCUCACGUAAAAGAUAAGAAUUAAAACAUAAAGAGAGCAUCAUGAAGAAUAUGACUAGCACAUUUAAGUCUAUCCCACUUUCUAUGCAUAGGGAUUUUGUGAGCAAACAACUUAUGGGAACAAUAAUCAACUAGCAUAGGAAGGCAAAACAAGCAUAACUUCAAAACUUUAAGCACAUAGAGAGGAAACUUGAUAUUAUUGCAAUUCCUACAAGCAUAUAUUCCUCCCUCAUAAUAAUUUUCAGUAGCAUCAUGAAUGAAUUCAACAAUAUAACCAUCACAUAAAGUAUUUUUUUCAUGAUCUACUAGCAUAGAAAUUUUAUUACUCUCCACAUAAGCAAAAUUCUUCUCUUUCGAAAUAGUGGGAGCAAACUCAACAAAAUAACUAUCAUGUGAAGGAUAAUCCAAUUGAAAAUUAAAAUCAUGAUGACAAGUUUCAUGGUUAUAUUUAUUCUUUAUAGCAUACAUGUCAUCACAAUAAUCAUCAUAGAUAGGAGGCAUGCUUUCAUCAUAAUAAAUUUGCUCAUCAAAACUUGGGGGACAAAAAAUAUCAUCUUCAUCAAACAUAGCUUCCCCAAGCUUGUGGCUUUGCAUAUUAUUAGCAUCACGGGUAUUCAAGGAAUUCAUACUAACAACAUUGCAAUCAUGCUCAUUCACAUAUUUAAUGCCAAGCAUUCUAUGUAAUUCUUCUUCUAGUACUUGAGCACAAUUUUCCUUCCCAUCAUACUCACGAAAGAUAUUAAAAAGAUGAAGCGUAUGAGGUAAACUCAAUUCCAUUUUUUUGUAGUUUUCUUUUAUAAACUAAACUAGUGCUAAAACAAGAAAAAAAAGAUUCGAUUGCAAGAUCUAAAGAUAUACCUUCAAGCACUCUCCUCCCCGGCAACAGCGCCAGAAACUGCUUGAUGUCUACUACGCAACCUUCUUCUUGUAGACGUUGUUGGGCCUCCAAGUGCAGAGGUUUGUAGGACAGUAGCAAAUUUCCCUCAAGUGGGUGACCUAAGGUUUAUCAAUCCAUGGGAGGCGUAGGAUGAAGAUGGUCUCUCUCAAACAACCCUGCAACCAAAUAACAAAGAGUCUCUUGUGGCCCCAACACACUCAAUACAAUGGUAAAUUGUAUAGGUGCACUAGUUCGGCGAAGCGAUGGUGAUACAAGUGCAAUAUGGAUAGUAGAUAUAGGUUUUUGUAAUCUGAAAAUAUAAAAACAGCAAGGUAACUAAUGAUAAAAGUGAGCGUAAACAGUAUUGCCAUGCUAGGAAACAAGGCCUAGGGUUCAUACUUUCACUAAUGCAAGUUCUCUCAACAAUAAUAACAUAAUUGGAUCAUAUAACUAUCCCUCAACAUGCAACAAAGAGUCACUCCAAAGUCACUAAUAGCGGAAAACAAACGAAGAGAUUAUGGUAGGGUACGAAACCACCUCAAAGUUAUUCUUUUGGAUCGAUCUAUUCAAGAGUUUGUACUAGAAUAACACCUUAAGACACAAAUCAACCAAAACCCUAAUGUCACCUAGAUACUCCAAUGUCACCUCAAGUAUCCGUGGGUAUGAUUAUACGAUAUGCAUCACACAAUCUCAGAUUCAUCUAUUCAACCAACACAUAGAACCUCAAAGAGUGCCCCAAAGUUUCUACGGGAGAGUCAAGACGAAAACGUGUGCCAACCCCUAUGCAUAGGUUCAUGGGCGGAACCCGCAAGUUGAUCACCAAAACAUACAUCAAGUGAAUCAAUAGAAUAACCCAUUGUCACCACGGUUAUCCCACGCAAGACAUACAUCAAGUGUUCUCAAAUCAUUAAAGACUCAAUCCGAUAACAUAACUUCAAAGGGAAAACUCAAUCCAUUACAAGAGAGUAGAGGGGGGAGAAACAUCAUAAGAUCCAACUACAAUAGCAAAGCUCGCGAUACAUCAAGAUCGUAUCACCUCAAGAACACGAGAGAGAGAGAUCAAACACAUAGCUACUGCUACAUACCCUCAGCCCCGAGGGUGAACUACUCCCUCCUCGUCAUGGAGAGCGCCGGGAUGGUGAAGAUGGCCACCGGUGAGGGAUCCCCCCUCCGGCAGGGUGCCGGAACAGGGCCCCGAUUGGUUUUUGGUGGCUACAGAAGCUUGUGGCGGCGGAACUCCCGAUCUAUUCUGUUCCCCGAAGGUUUUAGGGUAUAUUGGUAUAUAUAGGUGAAAGAAGUACGUCAGGGGAGCCACGAGGGGCCCACGAGAGUGGAGGGCGCGCCCAGGGGGGUGGGCGCGCCCCCUUGCCUCGUGCCUUCCUCGUUGCUUUCUUGACGUGGACUCCAAGUCUCCCGGGUUGCUUUCCUUCCAAAAAUAACUUCUCCAGAAGGUUUCAUUCCGUUUCGACUCCGUUUGAUAUUCCUUUUCUUCGAAACACUGAAACUAGGGAAAAACAGGAACUGGCGCUGGGCUCUAGGUCAAUAGGUUAGUCCCAAAAGUAAUAGAAAAGUGCAUAGUAAAGCCCAUAGAACAUCCAAGAUUGAUAAUAUAAUAGCAUGAAUACUUCAUAAAUUAUAGAUACGUUGGAGACGUAUCAGGUCUCAACGGAGCCAGUCGAACAGGCCGUAGAGAGUUUCGUCGGGCUUGAUUCCCGCGACUUGUGGGGUGGCCGACUGACGAGCCACCACAUAUUUCACCCACCGCUAAAGCCGCGACCGACCGGAUCGCUUGCGUCGGCGAACAGCGGGGAGCGAGGACAUCACGGGAGCCGACCGAUACUGGGUCGACGGCUGCCAGAGAAGGACGCCGCAAACGCACGCGCGAAAGUGCGUCGCCCCGGGGACGGGGAGCGCCUCGACGUCGAGGGGAGCUUCCUGAAACCAGGCGGAGUCGUCGGCAAAGAAGACGAGCGCGCCGAGACGGAUCUCGCGGCCCUCAGCCAAUCCUCCACCAGAAACCAUGAUGAUGGGAAUCGGAAAAAUCGCAACUUCACCAAAAAGUCGCUAAGACACCUUCCCCACGGUGGGCGCCAACUGUCGUGGUUCUAAGACUGACAGUAGACUGGGGGGUAGGUAUGAAGAGGCAAGAUCCCAGCUGUGGUGAAGUUGUACACACGAGAUUUACGAGUUUAGGCCCUUCACGGUGGAAGUAAUAGCCCUACGUCUCGGUGCCCGGAGGCGGUCGCCUGGAUUAUAUGUGUGUGGAGUUAUAAGGGGUGCGAACCCUUGUCCCUGAGGAGGGGGGUGGCUUAUAUAGAGUUCGCCAGACCACUCCCGCCCUCAGUUACACAGGCUUUAAGGUACAUAAAGAUGGGGCGUUUCUAGUAACGCCAGUAAUAAAGUGACAUAAAUGUCCAUUAAGUCUACAGAGUAAACGUCCGACCGUUGCUAUUCAGAGUGACUUUAGGUCUCCUGCCUGUCGAGGCAUUCCUGUUACGGUCGAGUGAGCUUGAAUCUUCCGAGUGGGAUGCCUCUAGUCAAGUGGAUGAUGAUAUCCCUUGAAUGCUUCUGACUUUAGGGUAAUGUCCUAGCGGAGGGUGUCCAGGUGAGGUCUAUGAUCCUACCCUAGCUACAUAUCUUCAUCAGGCAGUCCCAAAUAUUUCUCUUCAAACCCUGUCGUGAUUACUUGCAAAAUAUGUUUUACUCCAUCUCUGGUUACAUCCGGACAUGAACUACCCACCAUCAUGGAGCACUUGGCAGGGUUUAACAACUGCCUCGUGGCAUUUGCAUAAACUUCCAGAGUGCUUUUAAUAUAUUGUGCUUCUUGGUCACACGACUUGAAAAAUAAGAGUGUCAUCCGCGAAUAAUAAGUGUGAGACUCCCGGUACACUUCUAGUAAUUUUCAGUGGAGAUAUAUUACGGGUAGCAAUCCCUAUAUUGAUAAAAGCAGAGAGACCAUCAGCAACAAACAAGAAUAAAUAUGGGCACAGCGGAUCACCUUGCCGAAGACCACGCGACGGUGCAAACGAAUCCAGGAUGGCUCCAUUGAAUUUUACUGAGUAUCUCACCGAGGUCACACAUGACAUAAUCCAGUCAACCCACCGGUGAGCAAAGCCAAGCUUUUGCAUCAUUUGCCUAAGGUAAUUCCAGUCCACUCUAUCAUAGGCUUUUGAGAGAUCAAGCUUAUAAGCACAAUAACUCCUGGUAGGGUCCUUCUCUUGCUUUAUAUGAUGAAUACAUUCAAAGGCAACAUAGGCAUUGUCGGUAAUCAUACGUUCAGGAAUGAAAGCACUUUGCCAAGGCGAAAUAAUCUCAUCUAAAACAGGCCUUAACCGGUUUACUAAGCAUUUUGAGACCACUUUGUAAACCACAUUACAUAAACUUAUGGGGCAGAAAUCCGUGAUUUUCACCGGGUUAUCAAUUUUUGGGAUCAUUACAAUGAUAGUAUCAUUAACAUAUUCAGGCAUUAUCCCACUUUGGAAGAAAAAUUUUACCGCGGCAAUUAUACCUUCCUUCAUUGUCCCCCAGUUACGCUGAAAAAACGCGCGGGGAAACCAUCCGGACCCGACGCUUUUAGAGGUCCAAUCUGGAAAAGAGCGUCUCCAAUCUCCUUAUCUGAAAAUUCCGCACAUAAAACAUCAUUUAUUUGCUGAGUUACAACAGCCUCAAACAAAUCAGUGACUUGGGCGUGAUCAAGACUUGGGUCAGCCGUAAACAGCUCCUCAAAAUAAUCUGUAACGGCCUUCCCCAUCUCCUUAAUCCCCGUAUGCACAACACCCUGAGCAUCUUCCAACUUCUUAACUCUAUUUUUCCUGGCCCGCCAUACUGAUUUUGCAUGGAAAAUUUUUGUGUUCCUGUCUCCUGCUUUUAACCAAUCUAUCCGUGAUCUUUGCAACCACAUCAAUUCUUCUCGGUACAGUAACUCAUUCAUCUUGUCUGUAACUUUACGUAUCUCGCAUCUGUCCGCAUUCAUCAACAUCAAUUCCUCCAGCUGGGAUCUAGAUUUCUCGAGCUCAUUUUUUAUACUUCCAAACUUAACUCUACUCCACUCAAACAGUUUAGACAUGGUUGACCUGAGCGCAGCAUGUACGUCGCCCAAACUUGUUUUCUGCCCAGCUGCCUCCCAUGCUCGUGCAAUGAUUUCCUGAAGGGCCGGGUCCCUCUCCCACAUUACUUCAUAUUGGCGGAUUUUUUUCUUUAUACGUACAUCCUCCAUACGAGCACAAUUAACAUGCAGAGCCACAUGAUCAGACACGGGCGAUACCAGGUGGCGAACAACAGGAGAUUCAAAAUUAUCGCGCCAAGCCGGGGUAGCCACAGCCCUGUCCAAUCGCACUUUCACAUUUGCCAAACCACCUCUCUUGUUGUCUUAUGUGUGAGGAACACCCGAGAAUCCCAAGUCUGACAACUCACAUAUCUCCAGUACAUCAUGAAAAGCUUGCAUCUGACUCAUUGGCCUCGGUGAUAAGGAGAAGUGCUCAAAGUCCCACAUGCAUUCAUUAAAAUCACCCACAACUAACCAGGGUAGAUUAGACUAGGAGCUGAGAUUAUUAAGCAGAGUCCUCAUGUUAUGUCUAUCUUCCGCCCUUGGCUCUCCAUAGGUCAGUCUCCACAUAAUUUCAUCCGGCCCCAAUCUAACGUGGGCAUCGAUGCAUCUCUGUUUUGAGAACACCACCUCCACUUUGAGGGAUUCAUACCAGUAAAGGGCCAAUCCACCACUGUUUCCCAUACAAUCCACUCCCUCAAAACCUUUCAAACCAAACCGAGAUCUGUAUUUUUCAUCUUACUUUUUUGUUGCCUUGGUUCACAUAAAAACACCAACAUGGGGGAAAGCGACUGAAUGAAAGUCGCCACUUCGCGAACUGUCCGGGAGUCCACCCCCCCUGGCGGUCCCUGACGUGGAGGCCGCCACUGCAACACUUGACGCCCUAUUGAUAGCCGUUUCGUUUUCUCCUCUCAGCUUUUUUCUGUUGGCACUUUUCUGUGGUGUACCAUCCACCCCUUCCCUGGUUAUUUCUUCAUCUGCACCUUCAAAUUGCUCAACAAUUUCAGCAGUAUUACCUACAGGAACAAUAUCAGUGCUACUCACCCCCAAGUUGUUUGUAUCCGGCAUGAGAGUCACUAAAUCAGCAGCUAAUCUUUUCCCAAGGGUGUUCAGAUCCUCCUUAUACCCAUUCUCCCUUUCAGCUGGGUCAUUGACACCCUUACUUGGGUCUAUUACCAAGGGAUUAACUGCGUUAUGUGGCCAGCUCCUCACCCGGUGUUGGCCAUCUGCUGCAUCAUCAGUCCUUUUAUCCCCAUCAUAAUUAUAUGUCCCACUGUCCCUCCAUAAUUCUCGCUGCACUCCAGUCCUACCAGCACCCCGCCCCCUUCCAAAGGCUUCAUGCUGGGUAGCAGAUUGAAAGGCAUCACCUCUGCCAUACCCAUGGCCAGCUCCCCGGCCCGUGCCACGUCCACCCCCACCACGGCCUCUCCUUGGUGCUAGAACGAAGGGGCCCCAUUCCAUCUCUUCCUCCUUGUGAUCACCAGUACCACAUUCCUCAUGCCAAUGGCCCAAAAGACCACACAUAUAGCAAAACACUGGCAGCUUUUCGAACUUAACCUGGUACCAUUCAGUUUCCCCAGCCUUUGUGAAGCUAACAAACCUUGUAAGCUUUUUAUUGACAUCUAACUUCACUCUUGCUCUUAUGAACUCUCCCACGAAACCAUUGGGAAGGAUAUCUGAAGCUCUAACACUUCGCCAAUGCGUGCUGCCAUAUUCUUCACAAACUGCUCCCUUUUCAGUACCAUGUCAGGAAGCUUAUGUAUUUGGCACCAGGUCUCGAUUUUAUCGAGCUUUACUGUCUCCGGCUUCUUGAAGCCAUCAUACUCCUCGAUUAUAAGCGCCAUGCCUUUGAAGUCCCAAGGACCUUGGUGGAUAGCUUUGUUCCAAUCCCCCAAACAAUUGAACUGUACUGAGAACAGAUUUGGAUUAAUCCUACGCCAGAUGGAAAGGCCCUUGUUAUCGCUGAAGCAAUAUAUAUAAAGCUUAAUAGGGCCUAAGAAAGCUCACACAAUUUUGCAGUGGCUAUGGAAAUGUGUUGCCAAACUGAGACAUAAGAUUUUCGUUUGGCAUCCAGACCGUUUGUGUCAUCCUUAAUCUAUGGUUACUCUAAUUUUUUCCGGCCAGGCCUUCCCUGUGGUACCGCAUCAAGGCAUGCGUGUGUAUACGUUUCCUUUAACUACCAUGUGCAGGAUGAGGAUUUACUGCACGCAUGUGCGGCGGCACUCAGGUCCUGGUGCCGGCUUUUUAUUUUGGCUUUAGAUUUUCAAACUUCUAUAUCUUCUAUACAAAAAAUUUAAUUUAAGUUAUGUUUUCAUAUUCGUGUUUCUCGCAGCCAGCACUUUCAAAUAAGAUCCAUUUUGAAUACAGUUUGGCGAUUUUUGAAAACAAUGUUAAGUUUCAUUGUUUGAAACUUAGUACGAGCGGCUGAUAGAAUUCAAUUAUUUUGUGUCUACGACCAACACAGAAAAUUUCUUAAAAUUACAUCUUUGAAACUAGUUUGUAAGUCAUGGACAGUUUUUGAAUUUUUAGGAUAUUUUUUCAUUCAUGAACAUUUUUUAAAUUGGUGAAAUUUUGUUUAAUUUCAUUAACAAAUUUUAGUCACAAACCUUUUUAAAAAAUCAUGAACAUUAACUAGUUCGUGAAAUCCCAAAUUACUUAAAGCAGAAAAAACAAAAACAGAAAAGAGAAAGGAAUAAUGGAAAACAAAGUUAAAAAAUAGGCCAACCGAACAUGGGCCAGCCCAAACGGGCGCACUGCGUCUUCUCCCAGCGUGUGGCCCAAGCGAAAGAUUUCUCUGUAUGAAACUUUUUUUAUCACUUAUUGAUGGCGUUGGUGCGUAAUGUUUUGCAUCUUUAGUGACAAUUUUCAUGACGUACUGCCAGAAGUUAUUGCCACUUUAUUAUUAGGUAGAGAUUAGGUAUAGAUAGGAACUACCAGUAAAUUAGGUAGAUGAUAGAGACGAUGACUCCGAAGAAGAUCACAUGUGUCGAGCUUGGAACAUGCUAACAGAUCUUAGGGCAUCUCCGAUGUAAACCCAUAAAACAGACAUCGCAAAUGUCCGCGAACACGCACCGGACUGGUUCGCGGACACGAUAGGGGAGGGAGCCAUCCAACCUUGAUGGAUGCUACCCGUAUUUCUCUCACAUUUCUCCAGCAUUUCAUCGAACAAUUGAUGUGCAGAAGUAGGACACGUCUGGUUCAUGCAGCUGGGGCGUCCUGGGAGUUCUGCCUCAUCGGGCACGAUUGAUGUGUCACAGGACGAUGGGUGCGGUCUCGGGCGCGUCGGUAGCGGCCACGACGACAAGAGGAGGUCGCGCCACGAGCAGAGCUAGCCACGGGAGCCGCCAUUGGUGCAGCACUUGGCGCAGCCAGCCCACGACACGCCGGGCAUGGCGGCAAGAGAGCUUCAUGAGGCCAGAGCCGAGCUCGGCCUUGAGCUACUUGCCGAGCAGCCAUGGAGGGCAUGGGGAGAUGAGAUGCGCAGGGAGAAGGGAGAGAGGACAGGGAGAAGGGAGAGAGGAGUAGAGAGAUAGGAGGAGGCGGCGAUGAGGAUGGAGCGCUCGCCUGCAGCUGCCCUCACCGUUGUCCGUAGCCGGCAUCGGUGCUCUCCGUUUAGUGUUAUUUGUAAGGAGAGGGUGGGAGUGGAGACGUGGUGUUUUUUUGGUUAGCUGGAUGUUCAGACUCUCACAUAGUCCCUCAAAGUUGUUCGUGUGAUAUCGAAAUUUGAACAUGUGGGCUGUUCCGCGGAUAUUUAGAGGACCCCACUUGAAGAAUAAAAGUGGUCCAAACACUACUGUCUGACAUUUUGCCCUUAGUAGUUGGUGGAUGUCGAUGUGCUAUCCCUCCAACCUAUAUCAAGAGAUCCAUUCACCGUCUGAUCCCUUCUACCAAACACGUCAUUGCUUUCCAUGGUUCUCUCUUGUCGAUGUGUGAAAUAUUAGAAUUUGAGUUGUUUGGUGAAAUGUACGAGCUGACCGCCAAAAGAACAAAAAAUUUCUUUCUUUUUCCUUUUUUUAUAGUUUUGGCAGGUGCAUUUUCAUAUGGUACAUGUCUAGACCAUUUGAACAGUUUAUUUUGAAUUUGUUUCUUCCAUUCUAGCUAAAUAUAAGAGUUUACAAUGUUCGUUUUAAUCCUUUGGAAUAAACAUUUAUUACUAGUAUUAAAAAGACUAAAUUAGCUGCCGCAUUUUUUUCCCUAAUCAACUUGAAGGCUAUCUACACUUUGAUUAAAUUGUCAUUUAUACAUUUCGUGAUAUAUUAUUUCCAUUAUGUAUAUUAACUGCAAUAAAAAUGACGAUAAUCUGUUUUUCCUUAAGUUUUAAUGAAUGUACUAAAUAAUUAAAUAAUAAAAAUUUACUUACAAAAUAUUAACAUGAAAACGUGCCCUAUGAAUAAAAGGUAGAUAUCUAACUCAGGCACUUAUCUGCAAAAUAAAUGUUUUUUUAACAAAAUUGAAAGUAUUUAAAUUAUUUAAAAUGAAUAAAAAGUACAUGGUCCAUUCUACUUUACCGCUCGAAACACACUGAUUUGUUGUGGCAAUAGAAACACUGAAUUUCAGUCCCACUUAUUAAUGUUUGCUAAGUGAUAUCUGACAAUAAAACGUAAAAUAAAUAUUUUUUAUAUUAAAAUUUUUAAUUAUUAAAUUAAUCAUUUUGUCUGUGAUCUUAAUGUGUAAUUUUCUAUUACUUACGUAAAAUAGUUAACCAUAUAACAAUGUUGCUAAAUAAGAGUUAUAAUGUUUCUUUGUUAUGUAGUUGCAACAUAUAUCAGUAAAAUAGUUAAUUCAUAUUUAAAAGGUAUGAUAGAACAAAAGUUAUUUUUUCAAUCAAGUCUUGAAAUUAAAUAAAUUUAUAAUGUAUAUACAUAUAUUUCCAUACAUUUGUAUGUGUUCAUCGAGAUUUUAAUGUCAUUAAAUAUCAUGUUAGAGAUUUCAAAAGUGUGCUUUCUAACAUGUAUCUUAGUAGUAGUUUCUAGUGUAAUACUAUGUAAUCAUAUUUACAGAAAUUUCUAGAGCACGAAAUAUAUGUCUUGCAAGUUGGAUUCGGUAAUAAGUUGGCAUCAUGACCAUGCUAUUUGUUACAAUUAUUUUUUAUUUUAAAUAAUAACAAAUAACAAAAAAAUAUAAAAUUUAUGGGUGAAUCAUGCAAGUGAGGAGAACACACCAAUGAUGAAAGACAGUGCAUUUCUACGUGGAAUUCAUAUUGACAAACCUUAAGAAUCACAUUCAUUUCUAUGUUUUUAUAGAUUAUGCCCCAUUUGCGGGACUCAGAUACAAGUCAGUUCAAGGUGUGGAGCACGAGAAAACAUAGGAUUCAAGACCAGAUCAGCGACCGACUUCAAAAACAAAUAAGUAAAAAUUGCACAUUAGGUAUCAAGAUUAGGAGUAGAUGGAAAAUUAAUUGAAAGAAAUGGAGCAAAUAGCUCUGCAAUAAGUGCUCUCGCUAGAAAAUAAAUGUUGCGUUAGACGAUCCACUUGAAAACACACAUAUGAAGUGGUGGAGCCGGAAUUUUCACAAUGGGUAUGCAAAGCUAUAAAAAAUUGAUGGGCAACACUAACAACCAUGAAACUGCAUAUUAUUCUCCCUUUUUUUCACAUAUCGACAAUUUAAAUAAAAAAUGACUAGUUAAGCUUGAUUGAAUACUACAAUAAAUUAAACAACAGAUUGAGGAUCAGCCUCUGCUCCGAGUAAAAAAAUAAAGGGAAACUCUAUACAUCAGUAGUCUGCUGUUUCAUCCAUCGGAAUCCUCCACGGCCUUAGAUUCAUUUUCCAUUUGACAUACAUGAUGCUCAUCUAUCCUUAGCUGCCAGCCUCUGGGCCAGAAUGACUACCCUACCCGUGCCCCCACCUUCACCCGAGAGACACCCACCUUCACAUUCUUCCUGUCCAGGAAAGCGACUAAAUUUAGCUUCUCCUCCCACACCAGCAAAACUCCAUCCACCUCGGCCAUCUCUUACUUCACCGAUUGAUCUCCACCUGGUCGCAUGAUAUAAGCUCAUUAUCCUUCGAUGGAAGCAUAAUUAACUUGUAGUGCUAAAAACAAACUUGAAGAUCGUUGGGAGCAAAAUGUGCUCCUUAAGAUAGCAAACUAGUACAAGUAUAUUGGGAAACUCAUUUUAGAGUCAUUAAUUUCCGUAACACUCAAAAUCAGUUUCCUAGAAUUUUGGGGGCAUGAAUUAAGCGAUCAUGUUAAUAAGGGAUCUCAUGUAAUGUUCGAUUCCUAAAAAGCUAUAACCCACUACCUAUUUUCCCUUUACAUGCAACCAUUCCACAUAAGCAAGUCAUGCAUGCAAGUCAUAAAUUACAUUGUUUUUGCAUUACUCUAUGCAUACAGCGUUGCCACAUCAUCAACUCAUGCAUGUUAGUCAUAAUCUAUUGUUUGCAUUAGAUUUUUAUUUUUGGGAAGCAAGAGCUUUGAUUCAUUAAUUAGUGGGCUUACAAUCGUUUUGUAGACAGACAACUAAAAUGGUAUGCACAUAAUUGAUCCAAAGACAUCUCCUUCUACUAGCUGGCGCUUGUUGUGAGCAAAGAUGUGCCCGUUCAUUGGCCUUAUGUCCAAUGAAGUUCAAUUUGAAAAAAAAUCCAAAUUGCCGCUAAGAUCCUCAAUUUCUUGUAGAAUCGAAGCAAUCACAGACCGACCCUUGGCGCAAUCCAUCCAAAGCUUGACAACUUCACUUGUAUCAAACUUUAGAUAGGCCGAAAAAUGACAGACUAGCUCGAAUCCAUCCCGAAUUGCUAGAGACUACAAGAUCAAAGCGUUAGCUGCUUGGUCGUACCAGAUAGCUUGUCCCCUAAUCAAGCUACCCAGUGGUGUUAUUACGGCCCUGGGGUGCCUCACUUUGUUAGUUGUCGGCCCACUAGGUUAGUUCCACGCUCAGUCAUCAUGCCGACCCACGUGCCCUAUACAAAGAAGACUCCAGAAGCCUUGCCAUUCAAGACAAGGAAGCCGGAGUGUUGGUGUACAAAAAUAGGGGUCUUUCUGUACCCCUUUACUUGUGCGCGGACAGUUGUAGCCACACCUGCGGCCACGCUUGGCGGGGCAAAGGAAACGAAGAUACAGGACUGCCAGGGCAGUGCUCAAGCCAGAGGCGCAAAGAGCAAAGGGACAAGAUGGAUUUCCCCCGGCGAGAGCCUUGCCGGGGUGACCUACAUAGCCCCGGCAAGAGCCAUGCCGAGGCAACUUGCCCAACACCUGCAAGGCCGCCACCUUUGAGCUUGAGAGUUCUGACACCAUCGACAACGUCGAGACCAAGACUCAGGGGCGCCUGUGUGAUGGCAAGCAGAUCUUUGUGAGGAACAAAGGCCUGCGAAUCUGGACAGAAACCAGAAGGCGAAGACCCACGGCAAGAGCCUUGCCAGGGACAGGCGGAGACCACCGGCAAGAGCCUUGCCGGGGACAGGCGGAGACCCCGGCAAGAGUCUUGUCGGGGACAGAUGAAGACCCCCGGCAAGAUUUUUGCCGGGGACGCCCGCGAGACCCCGGCAAGAUCUUUGCCGGGGGCUUCUGCGGGGCUAAGGCCAGGCUCUCACUUACCAACGUUUCGCUGCCCCGCACCCGUGCCGACGCGACAAUCAGCCCGCCAACCAGGCAGGCGCCUGCGUGGCAGCAAGCAACCUCUAGGCCAACUAGACAAGCACCUGCGUGGUGGCAUGCAGAUCUUCGUGAAGACCCUGCCACCGUACUAGCACAGCAGCCAGCCAGCCAGCGUGGCGCUGCAUGCCUCGUCAGCUUGGAUGCGCGUCGAAGCAAGGCGAGGCGGCGAUGGACGGGACAAGCUUCUUUUCCGUCCCUAAUAAAGCAAGAGGACACGUAGGCGCAUUAAAUGAGUUUGUGCCACGAUGUCAGGGAUAGACUUGUACACUAUAGACACUUUCCACCUCCCGUGUGCCACUGUGGAAACCCCUUUGACAUAUAAAAGGAGGCUCGAGGCGUACUGAGGAAGGAUUUCGGACUUUUUGAACUAGGCAUGCACCGCAGCUAGUUCAACAGCUCAAGAACACCAAAUAUAUACACCAAAGUAGGACUAGGGUAUUACACAUCGCUUGCGGCCCGAACCUGGGUAAAAAAUCCCCUAGCGCUGAUCUUUUAGUCCCGCUCUUUGCACAGCUCUGCGCCCCGCCAACCGUAGUAGGGAUUCCCCGUGAUCCCAUAGGUGUCGUUUCCCCCGACAUCUUUGGCACGCCAGGUAGGGGGCGCAAGCUGUGAAAAUCUGGUCUAGGUGUUAGCGCAUCGACUUCAUCGUCGCCAUGGCCCCCAAGAAGAAGGGGAUCACAACGAUCUGGUCGUCCGGAGACGGCCCGUCCGCACCGGUGCGGGCAGCCAACGGGGUGGCCAUGGAUGGUGCCGGAGGCGCGGCCCGCGAGCAUCCACGACACUAUGGCAAUCGGAGCCAGGCGAGCGGCGUCGUUCGGAUCCAAGACAACGAGCCACACGCGGUUGGGUCCGGGGGCGGGGCCGUGCUGCCCAUGGGCUACGCGGCAACCUCUAGGACGCCCCAGCUGGCGCCCGCGCCGCGGCCCAGGCCGCGCGCCACGAGCAACACCGCGACGUCGGUGCCCCCGGGCGCCGCCGCGGGAAAAGCCCAUUGCGUCACUCUCAGGACGCACAGGGCCGUCGUGCGCACCUGGACGCUGGCGGAAGCGGCGCGCGACCGCGAGACCGUGAUAGAGCUCCUUCUAACGUGGUUAGAAGUCGGACCGCGUCACAAUCCAUGCAGAUUUCGCCGCCACCCACGCCGGCAGAAGCAUUGGCGGUCGUGCAACUGCUCCUCGACUUUCCUCCUGCCGCGGAGAAGCUUGACGAGUGGAGAGUCACCAUUCGAAGCCUCAUCAGCUUUGCCAAUAAAUAUGAACCAUGACCGGCGGGACCCUCGUGUCGGCGCUCCGUCGAGCCGGCGCACGCCGGUGGUGGGAGGACCGCGGCUGCUGCGACCACGGUGCACUCUCCUCCCCUUGCCAGCAACAGCAGCCACCGGCUCGUCGGGCCGACGCCUGUGACAAUGUUUCCACAACGUCGUCCGACCCGCGAGCCCGCUGCGACCAACAUCAAGUUCUGAGCGAGCUCAGGAGGACACUCGGACCACCAUCGAGCGGCAGCGGGAAGCGUGCCAUCAGUCUGGGGCCCACUAUGGACCGCCCAACGCAGGGGGGGCUCCGGCGACCUACCUUACGAGGUGGGUUGUCCACCCUUUACCCGUGAGCUGCGGCAGUUCAAGUGGCCCACCCACCGCAUGUUCAAGCCUGAGGUUGAAGAGAAGUACAACGGCAAGACUCACCCGUCGGAGUUCCUCAGCAUCUACACUAUCGCGAUGCAAGCUACCGGGGCUCGCGACAAGGUGCUUGCCAACUACUUUCCGUUGGCGCUUAAGACCAACGUCAUGUCAUGGUUGAUGCACCUGCCAGUGGAUUCCAUCUCUUCCUGGUCGGAUCUGUGCCACGAGUUUGUUGGCGCCUUUACCAGAGGCCACCAAGCUCCUGGCCAGGCAAAUGAUUUGCAUGUCAUCCCCCAGAAGGACGACGAGACCCUGCACAAAUACAUACAAAGGUUCAGCCGUGUGCAGUACAACAUCCCAGAUGUUCACCCCACCGCUGUCAUUAGUGCAUUCCAUCAGAAUGUGCGCAACCGCAAGAUGCGUGAAGAGCUGGCGAUGAACAAGGUUAAGGAUGUAGCCGAGCUUUAUGUUCUAGCUGAUAUAGGUGCGCUCGGGCUGAAGAAGGAAGGAAGUACCCCGGCGAGGACGCGGGCGCGGAAACCGACUCCAUGGAUGAAGAUGCCGUUGCCCCGGCAAAGAAGGGUCGACGCCGCAAUAGGAAGUGUAAGGGCAAGACCGUGCUUGCCAUUGAGGGAUCCGGCAACCCCGGCGCCGCCAAGAAGGCCAAGGCUGACGACCACGGCAAGGAAGUUGCCGGGUGCGCCAUCUGCCGGGCUUUGGCGGCUGCCAACAAGCAGUACUGCAAGAUCCAUCGCACCAAGGGCCAUGACCUCCAGAACUGCCAACAGGUUGAGCUGCUUGCGGAGAAGUAGAAAGCUGAAUAUGAAAUGCGGGACAAGGAGAAGGGUCAGGAUGGUGCCGUGGGGUCCGGCAAGGAGCGUGUCAGCCAGGGAGGUCACUGCGGCAAAGAUAAUCAACAAGAGAGGCCCGCUCGGGGCCGUGAUAAGAAAGAGGGGGACGAUGACCAUGAUGGCGAUGACGAGUCCACCAAGCAUGAGUUCUAGAAGGCCACGGAUUCCAUGUGCGUCAACGGUGGUGCCUCGUUUCACACCUCUCACCACCAGCUGAAGCAGUGGGCGCGUGAAGUCACUGCGGCAGAGCCAUUGUUCGAUGCCCAGACGCCACUGAAGUGGUCCAGCACACCUAUCAUUUUUUACACCGAGGAUCGAUAUCACCCCGAUCGCACAACUGCGGUCGGGUGCUUGCCGUUGUUGGUUUCACCAACGAUAAGCAACCUCAAGGUGACAAAAGUGCUAGUUGAGGGUGGGGCCGGUUUGAACUUGAUCCCGCCCGCCGUGAUCAAGAGACUACAGAUCCCUGAUGGAGAUCUCGAGGAGACUGGCACGUUUCAAGGGGUCAACCCGGGGAGGAGUCAGCCGAAGGGUAAGGUCACGUUGCCCGUUACAUUUGGGGGCGAGCUGAAUUAUAGGAUGGAGAAGAUCGUUUUUGAUGUCGCCAAGAUCCCCUUGCCCUGUAAUGGGAUCCUUGGCCACCCGGCACUGGCCAAGUUCAUGGCGGCGUCACAUUACGCCUACAACACGUUGAAGAUGCCCGGGCCAAUGAGCAUCAUCACCGUCCCUCCGACAAGAAGGACGCUCAUCUGUGCCGACCAACUUUAGCGGGAGGCAGUUGCAGCAACUGCCGCCAAGGCACUUGCUCCUGCCGCUGAAGCCCAGGAAGGGAAGAGAACUGGCAAGACCUCCUGCACCCACUCCGGCAAGCGCGCCUCUUCGGAGUGCUGCACUCCCGUCGAGGGCGUGCCAGAGAGCUCCACCGGCAAGAGCAAGAAAUCCAAGGCAGCACCACCUGAGACCAAGAAGGUGCCCAUCAAGGAGGACGGCACGGGCGGGGAUUUUACUAUAAGAUCCACCCUUGACAGUAAAUAGGAAAGCGCGCUCGUCGCCUUCCUGCGGGCGAAUGUCAAUUUGUUUGUGUGGCAAGCACCGGACAUCCCCGGCGUUCCCAGGGAGUUGAUUGAGCACCAUCUUGAUGUCUGUCCUCAUGCGCGGCCUGUCAAGCAGAAGGUCAGGAAGCAAGCUUUGGAACGAAAAGAAUUCAUCGUCGAGGAGAUCAGGAAGUUGGAGGCAGCAGGCUUGGUCAGAGGAGUGCUCCACCCCACGUGGUUGGCGAAUCCAGUGGUGGUGCGCAAGGCAAAUGGGAAAUGGAGGCUGUGUAUUGACUAUACAUAUAUCAAUAAAGCCUGUCCAAAGGAUCCUUUCCCUCUGCCACGCAUUGACCAGAUAGUGGACUCCACUGCUGGGUGUGACUUGCUGUCAUUCCUCGACGCCUACUCAGGAUACCACCAGAUCUUCAUGAUGAAGGAAGACAAAUAAAUGACUGCGUUCAUCACCCAUGUGGUAUGUACUGUUUUGUACGGAUGCCUUUCGGGUUGAAAAGCAUUGGUUCGAUAUUUUCCCGAGCAGUCCAAAUUGGUUUUGAGCCAUAGCUGCAUAGAAAUAUGGAAGCUUAUAUGGACGAUAUAGUGGUCAAAACCAAGGACAAGGCUACGCUCGUGCAGGAUCUGGAGGAAACAUUUGCAAACCUACGCAAGAUCAACCUCAAGCUCAAUCCAGAGCAGUGCGUGUUCGGCGUUCCGUCCAGCAAGCUUCUUGGUUUCUUUGUGUCUCAACGUGGAAUCGAAGCAAAUCCCGACAACAUCAAGGCGAUUGAGCAAAUUGAGGCACCAAGACGGGUCAAGGAUGUCCGUAGACUUUCCGGCUGCGUUUUUGCUCUAAGUAGGUUCAUCCCCAAAUCUGCUGAGCGCGCCCUCACCUUUUUCAAAGUUUUGAAAAAGGCGGGUCCAAUGAAAUGGACUCCGGAGGCAGAGGCAGCGCUGCAAGAUCUGAAGAGGUAGCUCUCCUCCACGCCAACACUGGUCACGCCUAAGCCACAAGAGCCGUGCUACCGUAUCUAGCGGCAACGAAUCAAGUGGUUAGUGCUGCACUGCUGGCGCAGGGGAACUUGAGGAAGAAACAGCGGUAGCGGCCGAGCCGUCGGAUGAUGUGCCAAGGCAUUCCCCAGCACGGCCUGAUAUCGGCAAGGUGGGACCCCCGGCAAGGCCUGAUCCCGGCAAGAUAGAGUCUGCGCAAGUAGGCGAAGUUGAACAGAAGAAGAAGGUGGUGCAGCACCCGGUUUAUUUUGCCAGUUCCCUCUUGCAGGGGGCUAGAUCAAGAUAUUCUAGUAUGCAGAAGCUACUUUUCGACCUCCUCAUGUCCUCGAGAAAGCGGCGCCACUAUUUCCAAGCACAUGAGAUCACCGUCGUCACCCUCCCUUUAAAGUGAAUCUUGCACAACCCAGAUGCGACUGGGAGGAUUGUGGAGUGGGCGUUGGAGCUGUCAAGCUUUGGCCUCAAGUUUGAAAGUACUUCAACGAUCAAGAGCCGGGCCUUGGCAGAGUUCAUAGCAGAAUGGACCGCAACGCCCGACGAAGAGAUUCAAGAGACCACCCUUCCCGGUAAGGAGAUGUCCGUGAUUGGGUUAUGUACUUUGCUGGAGCUUUCCCACUGCAAGGUGCUGGUGCCGGCAUGCUACUCGUCACACCCACUGGAGAGAGCCUCAAGUACGUAGUCCAGAUGCACUUUCACUUGGAAAAAUCAACGAACAACAUGAUGGAGUAUGAGGGAUUGCUUGCCGGUCUCAGGAUCGCAGCAGACCUCGGAAUCAGGAAGCUCAUCAUCAGAGGUGAUUCGCAGCUAGUCGUCAAGCAAGUUAACAAGGAUUACCAGAGCCCGUUGAUGGAGGCCUAUGUGGAUGAAGUGAGGAAGUUGGAAGAGCGUUUUGACGGUCUACAAGCAGAGCAUGUUCCCCGAGCAGAGAACAGCAUUGCCGACGACCUGUCGAAAUGCGCUGCCCUCAAGUUGCCUGUGGAACCAGGUACCUUUGUGCUUCAAUUAACUCAGCCAUCCGUUGAGCCGUCAGUAGGACAGAACAAGCGAAGGAAGGCAGGCCCCGGCAAGUACUUUCCCACUGAGCUCCCAGGAGCCGCGGGCAAGGAAGUUGCCGGGUAUCCCAAGCUUGCCGAGGAGCAGCAACCUCCGGCAGGGCACCAGGCCCUGACCGUAGAGGCAGCUGCCCCUACGGCCGAGAAUGAGCCUUUAGUCCUUGCCGUCGAGCCCCAGGCUCUGGCAUGGGCGCAGCGCACCGUCCGUUUCCUCCAAACGGGGGAACUCCCUGAGGAAUAGGAAGAAGCAGAGAAAGUAGCCCGUCGGUCCAGCACGUACCAGUUUGUGGAUGAUACCCAAUACAGAAGGAGACCAAACGGUGUGAAAUUGAAGUGCAUUCCUCAGGAGGACGGACUGGAGUUGUUGGCGGAAAUACAUGGAGGCAUAUGUGGCUCUCACAUAGGAUCAAGGGCCCUUGCCGGCAAGGCAUUCUGGCAAGGUUUCUUUUGGCCCACUGCCCGCCAGGAUGCAACUGCACUAGUAACCAAGUGUGAAGCGUGUCAGUUCCAUUCAAAGAAGCUCCAUCAGCCAGCUCAAUCUCUUCAGACAAUCCCUCUCUCCUGGCCAUUUUUGGUCUGGGGGCUCGACAUACUGGGGCCCUUUCCCCGUGCUGUCGGGGGCUUUGAGUACUUGUACGUUGCAAUCGAGAAGUUCACAAAGUGGCCAGAAGUGGAACCGGUGAGAAAGGUGACAGCACAAUCAGCUGUCAAGUUCUUCAAGGGACUAGUAUGCCGUUUUGGUGUGCCAAAUAGAGUCAUCACCGACAACGACACACAGUUCACAAGCCGCACCUUUAUGUAGUAUAUUCGAAACCUCGUCGGCAAGGUUUGUUUUGAUUCUGUUGCUCAUCCCAGAAGUAAUGGCCAGGCUGAGAGGGCGAACGCAAAGGUGUUGUGAGGACUCAAGACCAGGAAUUUUGACAGGCUACACAAGUGCGGAAGGCGCCGGAUUGAUGAGUUGCCAACUAUUCUUUGGUCGAUCAGAACGACGCCAAAUCGAGCCACUGGCCAGACACCCUUUGCCCUGGUAUACGGGGUAGAAGCAGUUCUCCCCACGGAACUCAUAUACGGGUCACUGAGGGAGUCCUGGACAAAGGGGUCCUCGGGCGUCCGGCCUGUUAGCCAUGGGCCGGACUGAUGGUCUAUGAAGAUACGCAGACCGAAGACCCUACCCGUGUCCGGAUGGGACUCUCCUUGGCAUGGAGGGCAAGCUUGGCGAUUAAAUAUGUAGAUUCCUUUCUUUGUACCGACCUUGUGUAACCCUAGAUCCUCCCGGUGUCUAUAUAAACCGGGGGGACUUAGUCCGGAGGGGGGAGAGACUCAUUACCAUAGUCAUACAGGCUAGACUCUUAGGGUUUAGCCAUUAUGAUCUCGUGGUAGAUCAACUCUUGCAAUACUCAUAUUCAUCAAGAUCAAUCAAGCAGGAAGUAUGGUAUUACCUCCAUAGAGAGGGCCCGAACCUGGGUAAACAUUGUGUCCCCUGUCUCCUGUUACAAUCGACCUUAGACGCACAGUUCGGUACCCCCUACCCGAGAUCCGCCGGUUUUGACACCGACAUUGGUGCUUUCAUUGAGGUUCCACUAUGCCGUCCCCAAAAGGUUUGAUGGCCCCUUCAAUCGUCAACAAUGAUGCUGUCCAAGGAGAAACCUUCCUCCCCGGACAGAUCUUCGUGUUCGGCGGCUUUGCACUAUGGGCCAACUCGCUUGGCCAUCUGGAGCAGAUCGAUAGCUACGCCCCUGGCCAUCAGGUCAGAUAUGGAAGCUUGAACUACGUCGCGGACAUCCGUGGAGACUUGAUUUUUGACGGAUUUGAGACCGCGGCGACCGCUCCUUGUCGCCACGAUGAACAUGAGUUAAAUCUGUCAUCGGACCGCAUCCAGGAGAUAGCUUCCGUAACUGCUCUGGCUCUAGAUCCGGAGCAGACCGCGCCAUCCGAGGACGGGAAGCUCAACCCCGCCAUGGAGGUCACAGAUUCUGCAGCGUUGGAGCCGCACAUAGACUUAACCUCACGCAAUAUCUGUGUCACCGGAACUCCGGACUCGUCUCCGGCUAUAAGUUCCGAACCAUGUGCGUCCGCAGAGGCCGAGCUUGAUCAGUUAUCGAUCUUCGAAUUCAGUGCCGCAGACAUCUUCUGACACUCGCCCCUCGGCCUUGUGCUGAACUCGUUAAAGAAUCUUUCCUUGGCGAGGGACUCACAGCCGAAUUAUGUCCGGUUUGAACAGGAGGCUGACGAUGGGGGAGAAUUUCGCUUCCCACCCGCCACCCACUUCAUAGCCACUGUCGAGGACUUAACCGACAUGCUUGAUUAUGGCUCCGAAGACAUCGACGUUAUGGACAACAAUGCUGAGGAGGAGCAAAGGCAAAACCCGCCAUUUACUGGACGCUGGACGACCACCUCUUCGUAUGAUGUGUACAUGGUGGAUACACCCAAAGCAACCAACGACGAUGACAAAGAAAAUACAGUUGAGAGUAAACCUCCUGAGACACAGCACAAACGUCGGCGUCCUCGGCGCCGCUCUAAGUCACGUCGUUCAAAAGACAGCAAUACUAGCACCGGAGAAAAUAAUACUCCGGACGAUGCCGAAAACAAUGAAGACCCUGUUGAGGUAACAUCCGAACAGGAGGAACAAGAAAACAGGCAAGUUAGCCCCGAUGAACAGGCCAUGCCCAACGACUCGUAGGACGGUAGUUAUCGUCCGCUCUCCGAGGAUGAGGAAUGCCUCGGCAACGAGGAUUUCAUUGUGCCCGAGGAACCUCUUGAGCAGGAGCACUUCAAGCGGCAGCUAAUAGCCAUUGCAAGGAGCCUGAAAAAGAAGCAGCAGUAGCUUCAAGCUAACCAAGAUCUGCUCGUCGACAGGUGGACUGAUGUCCUGGCAGCCGAGGAAUACGGCCUCAGACACCCAGCCAAAAGUUACCCGAAGAGCAGAUUGCUACCUCAGUUCGAUGAAGAAGCGCCAGAGCCCAUACCUCCCUUGCAUAAUGCGGCCGAUCGACCACUACGCGGUCGGGAUAGUGCGGCGGACCGACCACCAUGCGGUCGGGAUAGAGCGGCAACUCAGGCCGAACAGCAGCCCGCCCCACCGCCAUGUAAAAAUAGAGACAAAACAGUUCGGGGUCAUACAUACGACCUUCGGCAGGACCUGGAUAGUAGAGCAGGAUAUACCAGAUCGAUUUACGGAUCGCGAGGAUGUUCCUCGACACGCGAUGAUGGCUACUUAUUCGGACGUGACAAACCUAGUCACGCCCGGGCCGACAACCGCAGACGGACUCCAUCAGAGCUACGUCGCGAUGCGGCCAGAUAUAGAGGCGCCGCACACCCUCUUUGCUACACUGAUGCAGUAAUGGAUCAUGAAUUCCCCGAAGGGUUCAAGCCCGUGAAUAUUGAAUCAUACGACGGGCAACUGAUCCCGCGGUAUGGAUCGAGGACUUUAUCCUCCACAUCCACAUGGCCUGCGGAGAUGACCUCCACGCUAUCAAAUACCUCCCACUAAAGCUUAAAGGACCAGCUCGGCACUGGUUAAACAGCCUGCCAGAAAAUUCUAUCGGCAGCUGGGAGGACUUGGAAGAAGCCUUCCUCGACAACUUCCAAGGUACAUAUGUCCGGCCACCAGACGCCGAUGACUUAAGCCACAUAGUUCAACAGCCUGGAGAGUCAGCAAGGAAAUUCUGGACUAGGUUCCUAACUAAAAAGAACCAGAUCGCCGACUGUCCGGAUACCGAGCGGCCUUUAAACAUAGCAUCCACGACGAAUGCCUCGCCCGCCACCUCGGCAAAGAAAAGCCAAAAUCUAUGGCAGCCCUUACGGCACUCAUGACCCGCUUUUGCGCGGGUGAGGAUAGUUGGCUGGCUUGUAGUAAAAACACAGCCAGCGAGGCAGGCCCCUCUGAGGUCAAAAACAACAACGGCAAGCUCCGACGUAACAGACACAAACGCCGAAGCAAUGGUGAUAAUACCGACGACACUACAGUCAACGCCAGAUUGAGCGGCUCCAAGUCCAACCAACAGAAGAAACCGUACGAAAGAAACAAUCAGGGACCAUCCAGCCUAGACCGCAUACUCGAUCGUCCGUGCCAGAUACAUGGCACCCCAGACAAACCAGCCAAUCAUACCAACAGAGAUUGUUGGGUUUUUUAACAGGCCGGCAAAUUAAAAGCCGAGAACGAGGAAAAGGGAUCGCAAAGCGAGGACGAUGACGAGGAGCCCCGGCAACUGAACACAGGGGGGCAAAAGAAGUUUCAUCUCAGGUCAAAACAGUAAACAUGAUAUAUGCUACACACAUCCCCAAAAGGGAACGCAAGCGCGCACUCAGGGACGUCUACGCGAUAGAGCCAGUCGCCCCAAAAUUCAAUCCAUGGUCGUCAUUCCCGAUCACCUUUGAUCGUCGGGAUCAUCCGACUAGUAUCCGUCAUGGCGGUUGAGCCGCGCUAGUCCUCGACCCAAUCAUUGAUGGAUUUCACCUAACGCGCGUCCUUAGGAACGGGGGUAGCAGCCUCAAUUAGCUCUAUCAGGAUACAGUGCGCAAAAUGGGCAUUAAUCCAUGAAACCCACCAAGACUACCUUCAAAGGAGUCAUACCAGGUGUAGAGGCCUGCUGUACGGGCUCAAUCACACUAGAGGUUGUCUUCGGAUCUCCGGACAAUUUCCGAAGCGAGGAGUUAAUCUUUGACACGUCCCCUUUCGCAGCGGCUAUCACGCACUGCUCGGACGGUCCGCAUUCGCUCGAUUCAAUGCAGUGCCACACUAUGCUUAUCUCAAGCUCAAGAUGCCCGGUCCACAUGGCGUCAUAAUGGUCAAUGGAAAUACGAAACGCUCCCUCCGUACAGAAGAGCACACAGCUGCCUUAGCAGUAGAAGUACAGAGCGGCCUUCUCAAGCAGAACCUUAAUUCGGCUGCCGAGCCCACGGACACCGUUAAGAGGGUCCGAACUACCCUGCAGCAGGACAGCUCGGCUCGUUAGGAGCUCGACUAGCAAUUCGGCCUCCGUCUCAGUCCCGGUCAAGUGGUGGCAUUCGUACCACGCGUACAUAACUACGCACUCAAAAUUCCAUGGGCAUCGACGAAGGCAUAGCUAGUUUGUGAUCCACAGUAUGGCUCAACCAGCACCGGAUACACACAAACUUUCACUUUUAUUCGUUUCCUUUUCAGGUUUCAAUCCCGCAGGCCCCAUCUGAUGGCCUGAUCACCGGUCCUCUUGAAGGAUAAACACACCUAGACGGCAAGAAACACAGACGUUUGGGGGACUUUCAAGGUGGUUUCAUUAACGAUCACUCUACCUGUUUUUCAGGACCCACAUGCAGCUCUCCCUUGGUUUUUGGGCAUGUUAAAUAGCCUGUUGCUUAUCGCACUACUUGUAUCAAUGCGCCUUGAUGUAUUAAUCAAAUUACAAUGGAAACAGUUCGCGGCCCGAGCUUUAGGGCCCCAGCUUAUCACCUUUGCACCCUUUCUGUUUUCUUUUCUUUUUUUCUCUCCUAUGGGUAACCUUAUCAGGUAGCACCCGUACACUUUGGUACGUUUCAUAUUUGCCAUGGGCUUCACAGCACCCCGCACUACGGCAACAAAAGUCCAAACACUUUUUAUAAUAUAGUUCGGCACCCCGAAUUUAACAAUAUAUGCAUUGGCUCCGAAUCAUGUCUUUGGUCAAUAGUUGGGUUGCCCGGCUCCUGUGCUUGCUACCUUAUGUUCCGCUAUAUCGGCUAAGGUAGUAAAGGGAGAACUACUGCGAUUCGGCCUUGGUUUAUCGAAAGGAGCACCUCAGUAGAGAAUGCCGAAAACUGACUGCCAUGAUGCGGCGAGAGCCGGUCAGCUCUUCGGAGGUCGCAAAUCGUUGGAGAUUUCUUUCGCAUUACGCGAACGAUCGGUACUUCCAAAUCAGGCACUUAUAGCACUCUAGUUCGGAUACUAGGGUCUAUGCCAACAUUUUUAUUAUCAAACUCCUAUGGCUAAGUGAGGGCGUUAAAGCCGCAUAGUCUGAUUACCUGGUUCGUUGCGCUAAACAACUCCUUGAAGGAACAUAUAAUUGGAUCAAGAGUGUUUAGAUUCCAUCCCGAACACCUCCGUACUACCUACGAGGGGGCAGAAGCCGAUGACUGGCCAACCCUCAGAUUUCAUACAACACUGCCGCACAGGAGGUAAUUUUUUUAACAUAACAAACAUUAUAUUACAAACCGAAUUUGUUUUAUCAUACAAGGUAGAGGCAACUCGAAUACAUUCAUUCCAAGAUAAUGUCCUGCGAACACUGCGUCGCUACAAUACGAGACCCCUCCAGGACGUCUCCAAAAUACCACUCGGGUGUGCGGUGCACCUUGCCCUCGGGUGGCCCCUCGGUCACAAUCUUGAUGGCGUUCAUCUUCGCCCACCAGACCUUGACGCGGGCGAAGGCCAUACGCGCACACUCGAUGCAGACGGACCGCUUGACGGUGUCCAGCCGAGGACAGGCAUCCACCAGCCGCUUCACAAGGCCGAAGUAACUACUGGGUAUAGCUUCGGUUGGCCACAGCCGGACUAUUAAAUCCUUCAUGGCCAGUUCGGCCACCCUGUGCAGCUCGACCAGCUGUUUUAGCUGAUCGCUGAAGGGCACCGGAUGUUCUGGCGCAAGAUAUUGCGACCAGAACAGCUUCUCCAUGGAGCUCCCUUCUUCGGCUCGGAAGAACUCCGGAGCAUCGGCCACACUACGUGGCAGAUCAGCAAAAGCCCCUAGAGAACUCCGAAUCCGGGUUAGUUAAAGAUACUUCCUCUUCACAUACUUGCUUUGCAUACUAAAUGCCUUACCCGCCGCGAUCUUCCUGGCGUCCUGGAUCUCCUGGAGGGCGCCCUAGGCCUCAUUCCGGGCCGUCUCCACGCUCUGACGAGCCUUGGCGAGUUCGGUCUCUUGAGCCGACGCAUCAUGCUCCAAGGUCUCGCACUUCCUCACCGCGUCCUGGAGCUCUUGCUCGACCUCGUUGACCCUGGCCUUGAGCUUCUUACGGGCGGCCUGCUCCUUGACAGCCUUCCCCUCAGCUUCGGUCAGGGCCUUUUUUAGGGCCUCGACCUCGGUCGUCGCUCGUAUACAUAUCAUGACACUUCAGUCAAUAAAUAUCAUUUUACUCUUUUCGAAUAUAUAACGGGUUAUUACAUACCUUGCUUCUCUUAGAGCUGCCUCCUCACCUGGUCGAGCUCCUCCUCGGCCUACUCCAGUCUUUGCUUCAGUCCGGAGACUUCGGCACUAUGCGAGGCCGCGGCCAGCAGCGACGCCUGCGUAUUCAUUUCAGACAUAUUUAGUAGUUUCCUGCAAUAAGGGGAUUAUCAUCUGUCCGUCUUUUCUUUCCGAACACCGGACAAUGUCUCAGGGGCUACUGUCUGUAUUGGGAUCUUCUCUUUUUUCGUCGCUUACCUCAAAACCUGUUAGCAGGCUGCUGCAGGCUUCGGUUAGUCCGCUCUUGGCGGACUGAACCCUUUCAAUUACCGUGCCCAUAAGAACACGGUGCUCAUCCAUAAUGGAAGCGCCUCACAGCGCUUCCAGCAGAUUAUCCGCUGCCCCUGGUUGGACAGGGGUCACCGGCGGAAUAGGCAUACCCCUUCUUUCGAAGGAGGUUGCAUGCCGGAUUCCGGAGCCGUAUCGGUCUCCGGAAUCAAGUUCGGCUGAGGGCCGAACUGAAUAUGGCCCUCAUCACCAGUAUCCAUGGGGAUUGGCUCCCCCUGGUGUCCGGCAACGGAGGCUUCACCUUCUGGCGCCUCCUGAACCUCUCCUCGGCCUGGGAAAGUCCUUCAAGACAGCACCUCGGCGUCGCCCUUGGCCUUGGGGGAGUGAGCGGUCGGCGAUGAAUCGCUGGCCAUCGCCUUUGAAUCCAACGAACCUCUUGACGAGGAUCGCUGGGAGCUGUCGUGGGCCGACUUCAAUAGCAUAAUUAACCAUGUCAAUACAAUGAAGAGGAGAGGCUCGAUUUAUGAGUAUGUAUGAGUCUUAGCACUUACGAUGUAGCCCGAGGCUUAGUGCGGGGGCGUCGCUCCGGACUGCUGUCGACAUCCCACGCGGAGUUAUCCGCAAGGGAGCCCUUCCCCUUCUUGGACGUCUCCGCCUCCAGAUUCGUGGAGGCCGCCCUCUUCUUCUUUUCCUCAUCAGGGGGAGGGUUGUUCUCCUCCUCCUUCUCGUCGUCGUCGUCCUCAGCAGCGGAGGCAAGGGUCACUUCGUCUUCGGACGUCACGUCCGAAGCACCCUUGCGACAGGGGCCACCUUUGGCCCCCUUGGCCUUCUUCUUGGCCUUCUUUUUCGGCGGCUGAUAGGGCGCCGGAACCAGCAUCUUCGCCAGGAGCGGGAUGACUGGCUCUUCGGGCAGCGGAGCCAAACUCUGGAUCCGCUCCGCUCUCUCCGUCCACACCUGAAAAAAUACAGCAAAGAUUAGGCAUCCUCCUUGAAUAGACAAGUAGAAGGUACGCCUUAAGAAAAGGAGAACUUACCGCAUUGGCGGAUGGGUGUGAUCGUGCCCACGGUCCGAAUCUAUGACCAGCGGCUUCUUGUUGCCCUUGAAGAGCAACUUCCAGGCAUCUUCAUGAGUAGUUCUGAAGAGCCCUCCUAGGGUCUGGUGCUUCUCCGGAUUGAAUUCCCAUAAAGGGAAGCUUUGGCUUUGGUAGGCGAGAAUCCGGCGAACCAGCAUCACCUGGAUCACGUCGACGAGCUUGAUGUUUUUAUCCACCAUACUCUGAAUGCGCAUUUGCAGCGCUAUCAGCUCGUCCGACGCAGACCAGUUGGGGCCCUUCUCCGUCGAGGAGGUGAGCCGCAUUGGAGAUCCGGCCUUAAAUUCGGGAGCCACUGCCCAAGUGGCGCCGCGUGGCUCUGUGAUGUAGAACCACUGCUUCUGCCACUCCUUGACAGUCUCCACAAAAGUGCCUCUGGGCCAAGUAACGUUGGGCAUCUUGCUCACCAUGGCGCCUCCGCACUCCGCCUGCUGACCAUCCACCACCUUCGGCUUCACGUUGAAGACCUUGAGCCAUAGGCUGAAGUGGGGCUGGAUGCGGAGGAAGGCCUCGCACAUGACAAUGAAUGCCGAGAUGUUGAGGAAGGAGUUCGGGGCUAGAUUAUGGAAAUCUAGCCCGUAAUACUACAUCAGUCCGCGGACGAAGGGGUGAACUGGAAACCCCAAUCCGCGGAUGAAGUGAGGGAGGAAAACUACCCUCGCUAUAGGCUUCGGGGUGGGGAUGACUUGCCCCUUGGUAGGCAGGCGAUGGACGAUUCCUUUCGCCAGAUACCCGGCCGCACGAAGCUGGGUGAUGUCCUUCUCCUUGACGGAGGAGACCAUCCACUUGCCUUGGCCUCCGGAUCCGGACAUGAUUGAGUGCUUCCUUGAGGAGGAGAAGAUGGGAACUUGAGCUGGAGCUCGAGAAUGGAAGGACAGAGAGGAAGAGAAGGCGUGGGUAAAGAAAGAGAAUCCUUAUCUCCUUAUAAAAGCAGUGAAUAUUGAACGCCUCCCCACUCACCUUAAAACUCACCUCUUUACAAGGGCUGUGUAAACAACACGUUGGGUUACCCACCCCCGUAUUGAUGAGAAUCCCGCAAUAAGGGGACACGAUCUCUGCUUCGACAAGACGUGCCAAUGGCAACCGCGUCUCGAAACAUGGAGGAACAGACGAAAAACGGUUCGAAAUUAUGACCGGGCGAACGUGAUGUCAUGUUGCAAAAAGUUGUCAACAGAUUGGACUCGUGGAGUGUUAUAUUCUUUGCGGUUCUGUGUGGUGUGCGUGUUACAGGUUCAUACACGAUCAGUGCGUCCGAAGACUAUCUUGGAGUUCGGAAGGAGGAACCCGCCUUGCAAUGCCGAAGACAAAUCUGCGUGCUGGAUACCUCAUCAUUGAAGCCAGGUUCAGGGGCUACUGGGGGAGUCCUGGACUAAGGGGUCCUCGGGUGUCCGGCCUGUUAGCCAUGGGCUGGACUGAUGGGCUAUGAAGAUACGAAGACCGAAGACCCUACCCGUGUCCGGAUGGGACUCUCCUUGGCGUGGAGGGCAAGCUUGGCGAUCAAAUAUGUAGAUUCCUUUCUUUGUAACUGACCUCGUGUAACCCUAGAUCCUCCCGAUGUCUAUAUAAACCGGGGGACUUAGUCCGGAGGGGGGAGAGACUCAUUACCAUAGUCAUAUAGGCUAGACUCUUAGGGUUUAGCCAUUACGAUCUCGUGGUAGAUCAACUCUUGUAAUACUCAUAUUCAUCAAGAUCAAUCAAGCAGGAAGUUGGGUAUUACCUCCAUAGUGAGGGCCCGAACCUGGGUAAACAUUGUGUCCCUUGUCUCCUGUUACCAUCGACCUUAGACGCACAGUUCAGGACCCCCUACCCGAGAUCCGCCGGUUUUGACACCGACAGUCACAUCGAGUGCUCGCUUAUGAUGAGCUUGAGAAAGAGCAGUUGCGCCAAGACGAUGCGACGCUCGUCGAGGAAGAUCGUCUUCGGGCUCCUGUGCGAGCCGCUCGCUAACAGCACCUUGCGCCGCUACCAUAGCCGGAAGGUUCAUGCCCGAAGCCUUGAGGAAGGCGACCUUGUUCUUCGGCGAAUCCAAUCCGCCAAGAAUUCCAACAAGUUGACGCCAAAGUGGGAAGGCCCUUAUCGGGUAAUACGAGUCACCAGGCCCGACAUAGUCCGCCUGGAGACUGAAGAUGGUAUCCUAGUGAGUAAUUCCUGGAACAUCGAGCAUCUUCGCAAGUUUUACCCAUAAGGCUCGGUUGCCGCCCCCCGGCAAACCACCUUUUUGUACAAGCCUUGUCGGCGAGGCAUGUAACCCUUUGUACAAAGCCAGGCGCAGACCCUGAGCAACAGAUGAAUAAAUGAAGCGCUGGCGCCCUAAGUUUUAGCAUGCAUGUUAGGUUGAGUCUCCCUCUGGUAGGGUUGAUAGUGCUUAGCGGCUACUAACCCCUAGCAUAGAGGUUGAGUUUGUGUCUUUGCGUCCCUUCCAGUCCUUCUUGAUUCACAGGCUACACGGGCGCUUCAGCGGAACUUUUUGGGGAAAGGAGACGAGUUGGCACCCCGGCCCCGACAAGCCAUUCUUGCCGGGGGCAACACAUUCAGAUAAGUCUUUUUCCCAGCCACGUACUUCCGUAUGAAGCUUGAACGUAUGAACCCUCGCUUGAUCCCAUGCCACCAUGCUCCCUCCUCCCUAAAUCCGAAUCCCUUUCGGGUUGGAACUUGAUUGUAGUUGCGGUGGAAGGGAGACAGACGAAGGGCCCAAUCCUACUUUUCCACUACCCUCGCCAAGGGCUUGAGUGUAGUCGUGGUAUAAGGUGGGAGGACGGCAAGGCCUGUUGCCGGGCGACGUUGUUUACUUAAAGAAAAACAAGGAUUCGUUCCUUGGUGUGGGCCUCGCUCGCGCACAAAAAACCUGGCAAACCCCCUUUUCAUUGAUACGUUGAUUAAACAAGUACAGUUCAUACGGAAUGUGAACAUGAGCAAGGGGUUGCAAAGUCUAAAUUCGACAAGUGCGCGUAGGCUUAAUAUCUAGAAAAAGAUAAGAUGCAGGUAAUCCGUUUCUUGUCCCUCUUCUCAGGAGGCGGAUUAAGAUAGCGGCAGGGCAAAAGGAGUGGCUAGGCGAGAUACGAGCAGCAGAUGGCACCAAGUGAACGUCCCGGCAGCCGGCCAGAAGAGGGCUGGUGAUGACGGUGCCGGGGAAGAAGCCGAAAGAUGAGGCAGCGGGCCGACAAUACGAGACGAGGGCGUCGAUGCCAUCGUACUCCCACUUGACGGCCCGCCACCCGCCUUCUUCGUCUUAUCCAGCCUUCUAGCGCCAGCCGCCAGAGGCAACGACCCCGAGAAGUUCAAGGAGCUGGCUCGAGGAGCCGCGCCAAGAACUACCCCCCGGCAAAUCACUCUGUCGGGGAGAAGGCCAGGUGCAGAUGGUGCUGCUGUCGGCGUCGCCUAUGGACGGGGCGUCCGACGUCUAGUCGGACCCGUCCCCGUCGUCCUCCCCACCACCCCCCUCCUCGUCACCGUCGCACGAGGAGGAGCUCUCGUCAUCGGUCAAGCUCUCCGCGGAACACCCUAACCUGAUUCCCGAGCGCCCGAAGACCUUGACGGAGAGCAGGUCGCUCUUCACUAAUUUGAAGUGGGGAACGUGCCCCUUCAUCAAGCAGUGGGUGCGUGCGAAGGUUUUCCAACGCCGACGAAGGAGCAUUACAUGAGGGACGGGGAACCUUGUGUUCACCCACAUGUCGCCGUUACAACAACCCUUCAUGUGGAGCCUCAACCUCGGCGGUUGGUCGAUCUCCAGCACCCUCGCAAACGCCUCGGGAAGACGAAGGCGGCUAUGCGGCGGCUCGCGCAACUACAAGAUGAACUCCAACGCUGUGUCUCCAACAUGGCCGCUCGACGAAGCAUGAGGAGAUGGUGGCGGAGACGGCGGCGUUGCGGGUGUCCCCCUUCUGCCCCCACCUCUGCCUCGACCACUUCGCCGAUCGCGACUCCGUCCGGCGCCUCCGCCUUGAGCGUCUGACUCUUCCUUAACCGCCGUGGCCCUCUGGCGGGAGGAAGACCUAGUCGGCUCCACAGAAGGACGGCCGCGGCCGUGCCCUCUCGGCAUGGCAGUCGAUGGAGAAUGGAGAAGAAGGGUAGAAACGAGAGGAUGCCUCUCCUCCUUCUCCUGGUCCCCUUCUUAUAGCCAAGCAAAGAAGGCUGAAGACUGGCUCUACAUCUCCGAAGAGCCCUUUCAAGUCCGGCUUAUUAAAGCCAUUUGAUAACAAGCAAGGGCAUCGACCGCCCUCCCAACGCCAAUCAAAGGCGCAUGGGUAUCGGCCAUGGAGCGCCUUCCCAUACCCUACACAUCCUCCACCUACCCCAUGCCAUGCAUGCAGCAUACGUGACGAAAAAGGCGGGCGUGGUGGGAAACAUGGAACAGCGGUUCCAAGAUUAGCAAAGGCACAGAGGGUAAAUGAGCAGCACCCCUGCUUUUCCCUCUUUUUUAUGGGGAAGAUGUGGGCCGCCUCUUUACUAUUCGCCGCAGGGUGACGCAAGCACGCUGCAAGAGUCCCAUGCAUGAUCCCCACGUUACGCACUCAAUGCGGGUCGUGGGGAAGCGCAAGGAGUUACCACAGUUAAAACCCUGCCACGCGUGCCCGCGCACCGUUCUGGGCCUAGCCCAACAACGCUUUACGCUUAUGUGUGGCCCAGGCCCGAAGGCUCCUGUCGGUGUACAAAAGUAGGGGCCUUUCUGUACCCCUUUACUUGUGCGCGGGCAGUUGUAGCCACACCUGCGGCCACGCUUGGCGGGGCAGAGGAAGCGAAGAUACAGGACUGCCAGGGCAGUGCUCAACCCAGAGGCGCAAAGAGCAAAGGGACAAGAUGGAUUUCCCUCGGCGAGAGCCUUGUCGGGGCGACCUACAUAGCCCCGACAAGAGCCUUGCCGAGGCAACUUGCCCAACACCAGCAAGGCCGCCACCCUUGAGCCUGAGAGUUCCGACACCAUCGACAACGUCGAGACCAAGACUCAGGGGCGCCUGUGUGGUGGCAUGCAGAUCUUUGUGAGGAACAAAGGCCUGCGAAUCUGGAGAGAAACUAGAAGGCGAAGACCCCCGGCAAGAGCCUUGCCAGGGACAGGCGGAGACCCCCGGCAAGAGUCUUGUCGAGGACAGAUGAAGAACCCCGGCAAGAUCCUUGCCGGGGACGCCCGCGAGACCCCGGCAAGAUCCUUGCCCGGGGCUUUUGCGGGGCCGAGGCCAGGCCCGCACUUACCAACGUUUUGCUGCCCCGCGCCCGUGCCGACGCGGCAAUCAGCCCGCCAACCAGGCAGGCGCCUGCAUGGCAGCAAGCAACCUCUAGGCCAACUAGACAAGCACCUGCGUGGUGGCAUGCAGAUCUUUGUGAAGACCCUGCCACCGCAGCAACGUAGCUGCCAGCCAGCCAGCGUGGCGCUGCAUGCCUCGUCAGCUUGGACGCGCGUCGAAGCAAGGGGAGGCGGCGAUGGACGGGACAAGCUUCUUUGUCGUCCCCAAUAAAGCAAUAGGACACGUAGGCGGCGCAUUAAAUGCGUUUGUCGCACGAUGUUAGGGAUAGACUUGUACACUGUAGACACUUCCCACCUCCUGUGUGCCACUGUGGCAACCCCUUUGACAUAUAAAAGGAGGCCCGAGGCGUACCGAGGAAGGAUUUCGGACUUUUUGAACUGGGCAUGCACCGCAGCUAGUUCAAUAGCUCAAGAACACCAAAUAUAUACACCAGAGCAGGACUAGGGUAUUACGCAUCGCAUGCGGCCCGAACCUGGGUAAAAAAUCCCCUCACGCUGAUCUUUCAGUCCCGCUCUUUGCACAGCUCUGCGCCCAGCCAACCGUAGUAGGGAUUCCCCGUGAUCCCAUAGGUGUUGUUUCCCCCGAUAGGGAGCCGUGGAGGACUCCCCUCCACCGACGUAGCGGAUUAGGUUGAGUAACCAUAGGGGCUCUGGUAUCUUAUAUAAGCCGAGGUUGAGCUAGUCGAUAGAGCACAUUAGAAUCUCUCGGUUCAGUGAGAUCUGCUCACUGAAACAUGGUAUUGGUAUAUUGGAAAUGCAACGCAUCAUUAUGGUAGAAAGAAAAGAUUUUUACACCAGGUUAUGUUUUAGUUGUUUCGCAAAACAAAAGAAGUUUUAGUAGAAUUGGAAGCAACUUUCAGUAACAUAGGAACCAAUUCUUGCUUGAAAAGGAAGCAAAUUGCAAGGCAGGAAAGAUAACAGCAUCUCUAGCAGAUUCCCUAAAACUCAUACUCCCUCUGUUCCUUUAUACAAGGUGUUUGGGUGUAGGGCUGCUAGCUACUGCCGCAUGUCGAGUGCGUACCUUCUGCUGCAGCUGCCUUCUGCUGUUGUUGGAACUUGUCCGGGUGAGGGAGACUGGCGCGCCAUCUGGCUGUCGGACAAUGACAGGUGGUCGGUUAGGCAUGUAGCUUGGCGGCCGGCGGCGAGUAAAAUUUCACCUGGGGAAAGGUGAAUCAUAGACUGAAGAGCUUUACAUUGGGUCACCUAAGAGUAAGAGUGCUUGCUGGGAUUUUAUUUUUUUGGGGCCAAUCUCUAUUCUCCUAUGGUAUAACGGUCAAACCAAAAUAUCAAGGGCGGGCCACGGCACAUCGGGCUUUUCUCGAAAUCACUAAUUAAGGAGCACUCUUUGCAACGGUCACUCCCACCUUCCCAGGUUGCGACAAGUGGUGUCACAACCUGGGAUUUUUUUUCUGUAGAUCCGUUUAUUCAAAAUGUUUUACCUCAUAAAUCGUGCGCCUAAAUCUUGAACCGUUUUCACCAUUGGAUUCCUUGCGUCGAGAUCUUCAAAACUACACCCUAUGUUGAUAGGUUGUAACGAACUUUUUUUCACGAAAAAAACAGGCGAAAAGACCAAAUCGGGAGCACUUUUUUUUACCUUUCUGAAGGCGGCACGACUGUGCCUCUCGCGGAAGCAAAUCCGUGCCUCCAUGAGAAAUAAACUCGUGCGUCUAGUGGAAGGAAAAAAAUUCCGAGAAGCUUGGCCAUGCGUCCCGCGGAAGGAAAAAAUGACAGAAAUCGCGUUUUUUCGUCUCCAGAGACACGGCCGUGCCUCUCGCGGAAGGAGAAAAAACCGCAUUUUUAUUCGUUUCCAAAAGGCACUCGCGAAAGCAAAACCGUGCCUCUCACGGAUGGAAAAAAAUCUGUUUCCGAGACUACCGUGAAAGCAAGACCGUGCCUCUCGUGAAAGGAAAAACACAUUUUUUCCGUUCCUCUAGCGGAAGCAAAACAAAUGAAAAUGAGUUUUUUCGUGUAAAUGUUUUGUCCAAAAGCUAAAAAACCAGGUGGAAAACCGAAAACCCAGAAAACAUCAUCUAAAAACCAAAAACAUGUGCGAAAAAAAAACAAAAAUCCGAAGGACACACACCCAUUGCGUGACACGUGACGGCGAGUGAACUCUCAGGCCACCCCAAGUGAUCCUUGGGAAGGCUCCCGAAGGAGUGCUCCGUCGUGAGUUGCUCACCUUUUUCCUCAAUUUCAGUAUAGGGGAUCUUGCAAAAAUGUAGGAUCAGCUUGACUUCCCAAAAUCUGGGAUUUGUUUUCACAAACCAUGCGAGCAGUUAUUAGGAAUUGUUUGGCUUCCUAAGAUCUCCCGUCAUGGCGUCCAUGCUCUCGGGGGGCCCCGCGACUUGGCCCGCGCCGCCCACCAAGUUGUGUUGGCUGCUCGCCGGGCAGCGCUGGUGAUCGUGGCUCGCCUAGCCCCCUCAGAUCUGCCGAGCGCGACAUGUGAUGGUGAUGUACGUUCAGUGGGAGGAGACGUUUCCCUCGACUAUGAAAUCGAUUUCGUCGAUCUCAAGAUGAAGUGCCGGCUCAGUACCAAGAAAGUGCUCAUAGGAGUUGGUUGUGCAUGUGUGCGUUUAUAGGGGUGAGUGUAUGUGCGUGUAUGCAUGAACGUCUGCAUAGUGUGUUAAGGAUCUAUUUUGCUUCCUAAAAUCUAUGGUGGAAACUAGUGUGUUAAGGAUCUAUUUUGCUUCCUAAAAUCUAGGGUUUGUUUCCACAAACCAUGCGAGCCGUUAUUAGGAAUUGUGUAACGCUUGCAUAUUAAUAUACUUCCUCUGUUCCUAAAUAUAUGUCUUUGUAGAGAUUACACUAUGAACCACAUACGGAUGUAUAUAGAUGCAUGUUAAGUGUAUAUUUAUUCAUUUUGCUUCGUACGUAGUCCAGCUAGUUGAAUCUUUACAAAGACUACUUAUGUUUAGAAACGGAUCUUGCUUUAUUAGUAGGUAGGUAUAGGUAUAGAUAUAGAUUGUGUAACCAUUUAUUGCAAAAUAACCUAAAAACUUAAGACCCGUCUCUUUCCUAAAAAAACAAAAAACUUUAAGACCCGUCUCUCGUCGCCGCCAUCCACAUCUAUCAGAUCCACACUGUCGAUCGUCUCCCGACAUGGCGUCUAUCCUCUCGCGGGCCUCCCGUGACUUGGCUCGCGCCGCCCGCCAAGUCUCGUCGGCUGCUCGCCGGGCAGCGCCGGUGACCAUAGCUCGCCCAGCCCCCUCAGAUCUGCCGAGCCGCCGCCUGUCCGUCCACAGCGGCGCCACCGACGCCAACAUCCCCGGCUACACCAACCCACCCCCCGACGAGCCAGUGGAAUUCGUGGCUUCAGACAACGACCUGGAAUCUGACGAGGCCCUGUGGGCGCUCUACGAGCGCUGGUGCGAGGCUUACAACGAGGAGCGCGACCACGACGAGAUGGUUCGCCGGUUCGACACAUUCAAGGAGGCUGCUUUCAUGGUGGACCGCGUGAACAAGGCCAAUCUGCCCUACACCCUGAAACUAAGCCAGUUCGCCGACGGGAAGCUGGCAGAGUCCGUGUGCAAUAAGUGGUGUGGUGAUAAACCUCGCCCUGAUCCCGCAGCUUAUCAUCGGGAGGGUGAGUUUUACAUCUAUGAUGAUGGCGGAGAUGAUGUGCCGAAAUAUCCCACGAUGAGGUUCCUCUUCUGUGAACGUGGAGGUCCCAUCAUCCCCUUGGAAUGAAUUGAUCAUCCCAUUAGCAGCAACCCUGAAUAAAGUUCUGCGUGUAUGGUGUUAUACAUGCUUAUUUUUACAAUGAUGGGCGUUUGCACACGCUGCUACCGUAGCGAUUGUAAGGCUUCGUAAACCUUGCUGUUGUAAUCUCGCUGGUUCUUCAUGAUUAGGUUUGAUAACCACCAACUAUCCCCUCUAUCCUAAUUUACCGUGUAUUAAAAUAUUUGGUUUAUUCAUUAAAAAUCAGGUGGAAAUACUUUUGCAGGGGAGGGAUUAUUCUCCGACUCAUGCUUGUGGAUUUUCAUCAAAAUGACUUUCAUGCCAUUCAGUUUAUUUUUGAAGUUAUUUAUUAGUUUAUUUUUUUAAAUCAUUAUUUGUGGAGAUGUCGAAGUAAUGGUUAAAGAAGGAAAUUAUACUGUUUUAGGGACUGCACCGAUGUCAAGUACGUUAAUCAGCAUAUUUAAAUCCCAAUGAGUCAUCGACUAUAUAAAAUUCAUAUGCAAUGAUUAACAAAGAAAUCUCGGCCUUGGAUAUUUUAAUAGUUAAAUAAUCAUUUGCAGAGAUAUUGAAGUAGCGGUUGAAGAAGAAAGUUAUAUUUUAUAGAUAAUGAUGAUAUCGGAUGGUCGGAUUCCUUUUGGUGAAAUCUGGCUAUCCGGGAUGAAGGUUUACACUUAACAUGGCAGUGACGGAGCUACAAAUACAUUGUUGGGCGGGAGAAGCCAAAGAACACGAAAGUUUGGAAUCAAAAGAUCAAGUUAGCAGUUGUAAACAAAAGAAGCCACACCAAAAUAUAGCUUCACAUUUAGAUAUUUUAGUUAUCGAUUACAGAAGUAUGGAGAAUUGAGUGAAAUUUUGAUGCAGGGAAAAUUGUGAAUGAACCAAACCAAAUUGGAUACAUGCCUACAAUCAAUCAAUUUGGAUAAAAAUCAAGCUCUAGGUGAAAUUUAAGGCAAGGACAUUGUCAAUGUGUCGAAGAAAAUGAGUUGUGCAGCUGGCAUUCACAGAAAUUGGAGUGUGCCGGAGAUGAGAGGAUCAAAUUCAAAGAAGAAAGUUAUGCGCCUAUGCCUCACUUGUAGCAAGACCGAAGAAGCUCUCACUAAAGGAAUGCCCUCCCAGACGCAAGUAAUGUGCCCGCCCAACUUUCAGUUUAGUUCCUUUUCUUUACGUUUCUACAUUGUUUCGUUUUGUUUUGUUUUCAAAUAUAUUUUUAAUACAUGCAUUAAAAAUAUAAAUUUACUAUAAAAAUAAAACCAAAAUUUGAUUUUUUUUUUAAAAACAGUGUAAAGUUUUUGCCAGCAUAACUUAAAAUAUGUUGGUAGUUUUCAAACAAAUGCUUGUGACAUUCUAAAAAUGUUCCCGUAUUACAAAAACAUGUACAUGAAAUUUUAUAAAAAUAAAUAUACAAAGUAAAAAUAAUCCAUACAAAAUGCUAAACAUGUAUAAAAAAAAUGUUUUCGAUGACUAAGAAAAAUGUAUGAUGUGUACCAAAAAAGGUAGACGUCAAGCCAUAUAUUUAGGAAAAUGUUAAUCAUGUUUAUUAAAAAUGUUAAACAUGUAUAAAAAAUGUUGUAGAUGUAUACAAAAAAAUAUACAAUGUGUAUGAAAACAUUAGGCAUCAAAACAUAUAUUAAAAAACAGUUAAUCAUGUAUUUGAAUAAUGCUAAACAUUAUUGAAAAUUGUUUUAGAUGUAUACAAUAUGUAUGUAUGAAAACAAUAAACAUCAGACAUAUAUUUGAAAAAUAAUAAUUAAUCAUGUAUAUGAAAAGUGUUAAACCUGUAUAAAAAAUUGUUUUAGAUGUAUACCAAAAGUAAAUUCCGUAAGAAAACAAUAGCCAUCUAAACAUAUAUUUAAAAAUGUAAUCACGUAUUUAAAAAUUGUUUAACAUGUGUUAUAAAAUAUUUGAAGUGUAUACGAAAGAUGUACAAUGUGUAUGAAAAUAAUAGGCAUCAAAACAUAUAUUUGAAAAAAGUUACUAAAGUAUAUGAAAAUGAUAAACCUAUAUAAAACUAUUUUUGAAUUAUACCAAAAAUAUACAAUGUGUAUGAAACUAAUAGAUAUCUAAACAUAUAUUUGAAAAAUUAUCUUGACACAUACGAGAAAUGUACAAUAUGAAAGAAAAUAUGUAGACAUGUGUUAAAAAAGGAACAAAGAAACCCGAAGAGAAAAAAGAAAACAAGAAAAGCAGAGAAAAACAAGUGUAGAAGAGAAAAAGGAAAUAACGAAAACAAGAAAAUCAAAGGAAAACUUGAAAGAAACAAAAAAGAAGAGAAAAGAAAUAAAAGUAAAAUGUCAGUGAAAACCAAGAAAGCAACGAAUAAAACCAGUGAGAAAACAAAGAAAAUGGGAAAAUUGGUGAAGAAACAAAGAAAACAAAAGAAAAAAAAAACUAGCAGACGUCGAGCGAACGAACAUGCAAAAAUAGCCCGGCCUAAAUACUGUGGCACAGAGGAAAAAUCUGUAGGCGAGAGUAUCAUACGACUCGCUGUAUGCGCGAGAUAGUCGCCACACAUAGAUGAGUCCUAGCGUAGCGGUGCUAGUCGGUACAUCUCUAUAGGAACACCUCUUCAUUGGACCGGCCUGCGAACUACACUCACCUACCAAUUGCGCCUGUCGCUUAUCUGUAGUCCUGUCGCACUGCACUGCGAUCUUGUUCCUUUUUCAAAAUCUUGUCCCCUUCGUUUACUACAGUCAUCUUACAAAUUCAAAAUGCUUAACUUACAUGGUUUUUUUUGCAAAUCUGAAAAAUGUUUCACUAAAUAUUAAAACAAAUGUUCACCUUUUAAAAUUGUUCACGCAAUUUAAAGAAAAUGUUCAUCUCAUUCUAAAAAUGGCGACAACAUUUAAAAAAAUGUUCACAUUUUUAAAAACUUAGCUAUAGGAGGUGAAGGCAAGGGGGGCUGGUGCGUGGGGAGGGAGACUCCUGGAGCUAGGGAGCACGCCGACGCCAUUGCUCACGGUGCAAGUUCGUUUCAAUCUUCGAUCCUGCUCGCUCUUGAUUCUGGGUACAGUAAAUUUUAGCUAGCUACGCUGCAAACUAAGUGGUGUGCCUCGUAUUAAUCUAUCUAUCUAUCCUAUCUUUUAUUCGGCGAGAUGGUUGCGCCUGUGGCGGAUGUGGCCGCCGCCAUCGCCGGCACCUAACCUGGUCUAGAUCCCUCCACUAUAGGAAUCAGCUACUUGACCGUCUGCCACGGCAGACGGCAAAGGCAAGGAUGGCGGACGGCAAAGGCCUUCGCCGUCUGCCGCGGACGGCAAAAGGCUCCGGCAAAGUAGGCUACGGUAAAGAGCUUCUUUGCCGUCUGCUUUCUGAAGGAGAUGGCAAAGGGGCCUUUGCCAUCGGCGGCGGACGGCAAAGAAAGCCGACGGCAAUAAAUUCGCUGUUAGUCCGUUAGGCGUCUAACGGCAGUCUUUGCCGUCCGCCGCUGACGUCAAAGAGCAUCAAGCCUUUGCCGUCUGCCACUGUAGGCAAACUGACCAAAUGGGCCAGCAGCCAGGAAGCAUAGGUGGUUGCCGUCGGUGGCAGACGGCAAAGAGCCCGUUGCCGUCGGUGGCAGACGGCAAAGAGCCUGCAUUGCCUCUUUUUUCUUUUUUUUCUUAUACCCAUCCAUUUUCACAGCAAAUAGAUGAUACAUAUAUAUUUUUCACAUGGCAAGUUCACAGCAAACAUAUGAGAUAUCCAACACAUAUAAUUUCAUCAUACAUGCAUCGUUCCAUCAACCAUACAUAGCAAGUUCCACAUACAUGCAUCCAACCAUACAUAUUACGAUAGUGUCAUCCUACCAUACAUGCAUAGUUCAUCGAUACAAAAGAAACAUAGUUCAUCCAAACAAGCACUCCAGUUAUAAAAGCAUAAAUGGAAAAGAAGCACUCCAUCCAUGCAAGCUUCCGUGAAUUAAAUCAAAUAUGCAAAAUGAUAAACAAGAUGUUAGAAAAAGAAGAAGAAAAUGAAGAAGAAGAAGAAGAAGACUAUAAGAAGUAAGCAUACUUAUGUAAAAUGGAGCUAACCUAGUGGAAAAUGAAGAAGAAGAAGAAGAAGAAGAAGACUAGAAGAAUACUAGAAGAAGACUAGAAGAAUACUAGAAGAAGAAGAAGAAGACUAUAAUUAAGCUUAUUAUGUAAACUUGGUCAUUUUGUGCUAACAUAAGUAAUUUUGGAGUUAACCUAUAGGAAACUAAGCAUAUUAGAGAUAACUUAGCAUAUUAGAGCCAACUUAGGUAAAAUGGAGCCAACCUAGCUAAUUAUGCCAUCUUUGAGUGAACUAAGCAUAUUAGAGCUAACUUAUAGCUAACUUAUGUCAUUUUGGAGAAGAAGAAGAAGAAGACUAUAAUUAAGCUUAUUAUGUAAACUUGGUCAUUUUGUGCUAACAUAAGUAAUUUUGGAGCUAACCUAUAGGAAACUAAGCAUAGUAGAGAUAACUUAGCAUAUUAGAGCCAACUUAGGUAAAAUGGAGCCAACCUAGCUAAUUAUGCCAUCUUUGAGUGAACUAAGCAUAUUAGAGCUAACUUAUAACUAACUUAUGUCAUUUUGGAGAAGAAGAAGAAGAAGAAUAUAUGACAUUUAUGAGCUAAUUUAGGUGAAAUUGAUAGUUUGUGAGCUAACCUAGGUGAAAUGGAUCGUUUAUGAGCUAAUCUAGGUAAAAUGGGUCAUUUUAGAGUUAACUUGAGUAAAAUGCAUCAUUUUGGAGCUAACCUAGGUAAGAUGGGUCAUUUUGGAGCUAACCUAGGUAAAAUGGGUCAUUUUUAGAGCUAACAUACGUAAAAUGGAUCAUUUUGGAGCUAGUCUAGGUAAAAUGGGUCAUUUUAGAGCUAACUCGGGUAAAAUUGAUCAUUUAUGAGCUAACUAAGGUAAAAUGGGUCAUUUUAGAGCUGACUUGGGUAAAAUGGAUUGUUUAUGAGCUAACUAAGCUAAUUAUGCCAAGUCUAGGUCAUUGUGGUAAGCAUAUUGGAGGAAAUAAGGCUAAGUCUAGGUCUUUAUGCAUUUGUUAAGCAAAACACUAGAUAAACUUACCAUGAUCAUGGAGGUGUAGGGGCGGGAUGGCUCGUGCCGGUAGCUGGAAAAGGAUCGUGCGAUGCUUGUCUGGAGUUACGCUGCACCAAAGAUCAUUUCCAAUGUCUCGUUAGCAUGAUGACACUCAAAUGUUAAGACUAGCAAGUAAUGUCCAUUCAAAUUAAACCCACCAUGGUCCCAGGAGCAAUCACUGGCAUCGGCGGAGCGGUCUGACCGGUCUUCUCGCACACAGACUGCACAUUUGGUUUUGACGACUCAGUCAUACUAGUUAGUAAUGAGACAAACACUACAUGAAUGUUUUGGCUAAUCUGCAGAAGAAACUUACCACAAGGAGCUCGUACAUGGCCCUUGCCUGCAUGUCAUUCCGUGCCCUCUCCUCCUCCAACAUCUUUGUCGUCCUCUCCUCCAACUCCCGCUGCCUCUCCGCCGCCUCCGCCAGAAGAUUCUUCGUUCUAUCUCUCUCACUCUGUAUAGCAGCCUGCAACGCGACUCCUCAUUACCAUUUGUAAUCAUUGAUGGAAGCACACACAAUGUAAUGGAGAAAGAUAGCUGAGUACGUGUAACUAACCUUGAUGGCGAGUUGGACUGGCCGUUCACGAGGCCUUAUCUUAGGAGCGGAGCUCGACUGGCGCGCCUUGAUCUCCUGGAGAGUGCUAGGACAACGGAUAAGUCCAUCUUCAAUGGCUAUGGAGCCAUGGGACCUCCCGCCACCAGAUAUCAUCACCAGCUCUGGAUCAAUGGGACCCUGGCUCGGGUUAAAGUCCUCCCCUUUCCUCGCCUUCCCCUCAUCUGUAUAUUUCACGAGCUUGUCGUGGGAGGAGAUGUUGGUGAAGUUUUUUGCAUCAUCGAGGUCACACGGAGAGAAUGCCUUGACUUUCUUGAAAGAGGCAGUGUGGGCCAUGGCAUACAGGUCGUACACCUCUGGCACCUUAUCCGCCUUAUUGUAGCGUGCCUGAAAGAGAGAAACAAAGUAAAUUAGUAAUUAAAGGGCUCAAGCUAGCAUGAUGAAUGAAUUGCAUGAAUCAUGAAGCAAACCACAUACCCAGUUCUGCCCGAACUGAUAUAAGUUGGCGCUGCCUUGAUGGUGUGGCACACCUUCCAUUUGGGCACGUUUGUCCUUGGCCGCGUUGUGGACGGCUAGCCAUUCUUUUGAGCACCACUCAUUGACCAACACCUCCCAACAAUCCAUCCGAUCCGCACACCAUCUCGGAGGCGCCUAAGUUAGCAAAUAGAAACUUGAGCGCUACGGCUAUGAAUUACUAAAUGAAGGAAGUAAGUACAAGGCCUUAAGAAUUACCUUCAUGUACUGCUCCUUACUUAGGAACUUAUCGCGGCACGCCGGCUUGGGCUUCUUGAUAUAUACCACGCAAGGCGUAGUAGUCUCGAACAGCCUGCACCCGAGCCUCGUGCCGUAAGUUCUGUAGUAGGCGCUUGCAGACGUUCUCGAUAACAUUUGCCGCCUCCUCCUCGUAUCCCUCCUCACACCUGUAGAAUGUCUGCAAUCAAAUGAGACAAUAUUAAUUAGUACAAUUAAUAACUAGCUAGUUGAAGAUUUUUAAAUGUGUAAAGGAGAAAUUACCCAGAACUUUCUGAUCACCACGUCUGCCCUCGUGUCGCACAAGACACCGUCGAUAAUCUCACCCGGCGGGGCCGGGGCAGCCAAGUAGUGCUCCCAGCUCAAUCCAAGCUCUGGAAGCCGACCCUCACCAGGCAACGUGACAAACCCCGGGACGUUUUGCCGGCAAAGCACUCCAAGGACAGAGUUGGGCCGGCGGACACUAUGAUGGUGGUCCCAACCCCUACAGCAUGACAAGACCAACGCAUUAGAUAUUUGAAGAAACGUCAAUGCAGAAGGUACAAAAAGAUUAAAUGCACUUACCUCUCCCCAUCAGGGUAAAUCAACCACCUCUGCUCGCGGGUCGUCGGCACGGACGGGAGCCGUGUACAACCACGCUGGUAGACGGUGCCCCCUCCUCCUCAAUAUCAGUCGGCUCCCCGCCAUCAUCAGCAUGGCCACUCGGCCCCUCAGGCUCAUCCGGCCAGGUACCCCAUCCAGACGUGUGCUCCUCCGGGGUCUCGUGGGCCGAAGGCCCGUCGACCCGAGGCUCGUGGGCCGAAGGCUCGUGGACUGGAGUCCAUGUAGCCUCCUCCUCGGACGAGUCCACCCUAGCAGUCACGUGCUCGGGUGAAACAGCUGGGGGUGGCGGCGAGGAAGGCGCCCUAGCAGUCACCCUACCUCCUCUCCCGCGACCACGUGCUCCUCUCUUCUUCCCUCCCUUACCUCUUCCCCUGCUGGGCACUGCUCUCGACGAAGAAGGGCCCGGCGGUGUCGCCAUACUGUCCAGCAACGCUCGGCGGAGAGGUGCAUGUGGAAUGGAAGACCUCCCACCACGCGCCGACGAAGAAAGGGCCUCGGAGCGCUCCCGACCAGCGCCCAACAUCUUUCAACACCUGCCAUGACAAAGAGUAAACGAAAUUAGUACAACAUAAAAAAAAUACCGACAUUAAUAAUAAUAUAUGAUGUUUUUCAUAAAAAAAUCAAAAAAAUAUAUAUGAUGUUUAAAUCUACCCGAUCAACACAAUUAUAUAUGAUGUUUCUCAUAACAAAAUCGAAAAAUAUAUGAUGUCAGGGUGUCGGGGGUCGGGGUCGGGGUGUCNNNNNNNNNNNNNNNNNNNNNNNNNNNNNNNNNNNNNNNNNNNNNNNNNNNNNNNNNNNNNNNNNNNNNNNNNNNNNNNNNNNNNNNNNNNNNNNNNNNNNNNNNNNNNNNNNNNNNNNNNNNNNNNNNNNNNNNNNNNNNNNNNNNNNNNNNNNNNNNNNNNNNNNNNNNNNNNNNNNNNNNNNNNNNNNNNNNNNNNNNNNNAGGGGGUCACGGGGUAGGGGUGUUUCCUUCUCUCCUUCUUCUUCUUUCCUUCUCUUCUUCUUCUUCUUCUUCUUCUUCUUCUUCUUCUUCUUCUUUCCUUUCUUCUUUUUCUUUUUUCCUUCUCUUCUUCUUCUUCUUCUUCUUUUAUUUCUUCCUUAUUUUCCUUUUUCCUCUUCUUCUCAUCUCUCCUCUUUUUCUUCUUCUUCUUCUCCUCCUCCUCCUCCUCCUCCUCCUCUUCUUCUUCUUCUUCUUCUUCCCCCUUCUACAUAUUCUUCUUUUCUUAUUCAUCUUUUUUCAUCUUUUUCUACUUCUUAUAAUUAUAUAACUAAUUAACUAAAACCCAUGCACUAGUCUAAUCUAAUAUAAUCUAGCACUAAAUCGAACACUAACACAUAUCUAGUAUAAUCUAACAAUUAAACAGCAAAAAAGAAAAAACAGAAAAAAACUCACCGGAGAUGGCGUUGGCUGGGGCUUCGCAGCGGCAGGGUGGCGGUGGUGACGGGGGCCCCAGGGCUUCGGGGCGGUGGCGCCGGGGCGCUGGGAGGUGGUGGGGGCGGCGGGGCACCGCGGCGGUGGGCUGUUCGGGCGGUGGGGCGGCACGGCGCCGCAACUGUGGGCCNNNNNNNNNNAAAAAACUCACUGGAGAUGGCGUUGGCCGGGGCUUCGCAGCGGCAGGGUGGCGGUGGCGACGGGGGCCGCAGGGCUUCGGGGCGGUGGCGCCGGGGCGCUGGGCAGGUGGUGGGGGCUGCGGGGCGCCGCGGCUGUGGGUUGUUCGGGCGGCGGGUGUUGGGGGCGGCGGCGGGUGGCGGUGGUUGUCGGGGAGGAGACAGAAACAGAGAGAUGGAGGGGCGGGGUGGGGCUCGGCCGUUAGUUAGGUUAGCUCUUUGUCGUCCGCCCCACCUUUGCCGUCCGCUUUUUUUCUCUUUGCCGUCUGCUGGUAGACGGCAAAGAAGGGGCUCGUUAAGUUUUUUAUGAUCAGCUCGUUAGCGGGGGCCACCACUCUCUUUGACGUCCGCUAGCGGACGGCAAAGAAUUGGCUGAUGGCAAAGACCUUCUUUGCCAUCAGCCCAUUCGUUGCCGUCCGUUUUCCUGAAGCGGACGGCAAAGACCUUCUUUGCCGUUAGCCAGCAGACGGCAAAGAACUGGCAGACAGCAAAUAAGCUAAUUCCAGCAGUGCUCUUUUGUAUUUGAGAAAAAAAGAUUUCCCUCUUCUCUUGUGAUGAGACUGGGUGGAGAUGGUGAGAGAUGAGGUCGAUGACUUUGGGGAGAGGAUAAGGGCGGACGCCGGCGGUGAGGCGGCGUGAGGAAGACGAGGUGGUUGGCGUCGGCGAGACGUGAGGGGAGGGGAAGGGAGGGGUAUCAGUGUGCGGUGGGAGAGGGUGUGCGGCGUUCCCAGUUCGCGAGAGAGGAGAGAGGUCGGCAAGGGAGCGAUCCAUGGGAGAUUUUUUCCUUCCGAGCGAGCCUAGUUGGGCUAUCUGCGCCGUCCAAGGCCCAAUGCACCACAUGUCUUCAAAUUGGCGACCAGUAGCAGCCCUUAGAACAGACAGGGCCAGUUUGCAAAUUUAAAAAUAUAAGUUCUUAGCACGCAUGGAAAACAUAACAUGUAUCUUUCCAUACAUAAUGAACUAUAGGUACCAGCCAAAAAAACAUAAUGAACUAUAGGUUGUCACAAGAACUCAUGCCAUCCCACAGCCUCCCUCAGACCCUGCCAACAUUGCUGCAGCUGCACUCACAAGCGUUACCGUAGAUGAUCAUUUGCAUGAUUUCACGCAAAACAAAAUAAGAUCUACAAAUGAAUAGAAGCUACACAUACCUUGGUAUGCACACACAUUGCAAGCCAUACUAAGCUGAUAAGUGUUAAUAACUUGUACAACAUAUACAACACUUAAGACAAGUAAAAGCAAUUUGAUUAUUCAUGGUCUAUCAAAGCAAGCUACAUAACUACUCUAAUCUAUCUUAACAGGUCACACAUGAUGACAAUCUUUUUUGUGUGCAAGUCAAGCUUAUCUAGUUUACACGUAACAACUUGUAGAACAUUACAAAAUUGAUGUUUGUUAAUAACUUGAACACUACAACACUUGGCAUGUAAAAGGAAUUUGAUGAGUCAUGACCUACUAAAGCAAGUUACAUUACUAGUGUCAUCUAUCUUAACAAGCCACACAAGAUUACGACCUAAUUUCUGUGCAAGCAAUGCUUAUCUAGUUUACACGUAACAACUUGCAUAACAUUACAAAUUUAGUUUCAGAAAAUUAGGCAAUCUAGAUUUGUGUUUGCGCUGUAAAGUGAAUAAGAUGAGUCAUGUGUGUUAUCACAUCUUUUUGGUCGUGAAAUGAUAGUGCCACCAAACACAACAUACCAAAUUAUGAUUUCGGGAAGCAUCGAAGCACUUUCCAGACAAGUGCCAAUUGUGAAAAAGAUCAUGUCAUGGCAGCUAUAAAUAGGCCUGUAGCAUGAUGAUCAUCCUUCCUCAUCCAUCAUCUCAUAAGUAGAGCGCAUCAUUUAAGCCAAGCAAGCGGGGGUCAAUAAAAAUCCACCAUGAAGACCUUUCUCAUCCUAGCCCUCCUUGCUAUCGUGGCGACCACCGCCACAAGUGCAGUUAGAGUUCCAGUGCCACAAUUGCAGCCGCAAAAUCCAUCUCAACAACAACCACAAGAGCAAGUUCCAUUGAUGCAACAACAACAACAAUUUCCAGGGCAGCAAGAACAAUUUCCACCACAACAGCCAUAUCCGCAUCAGCAACCAUUUCCAUCACAACAACCAUAUCCGCAGCCGCAACCAUUUCCGCCACAACUACCAUAUCCGCAGACGCAACCAUUUCCACCACAACAACCAUAUCCACAACCGCAACCACAGUAUCCGCAACCACAACAACCAAUUUCGCAGCAACAAGCACAACAACAACAACAACAACAACAAAUCCUUCAACAAAUUCUGCAACAACAACUGAUUCCAUGCAGGGAUGUUGUCUUGCAACAACACAACAUAGCGCAUGCAAGCUCACAAGUAUUGCAACAAAGUAGUUACCAACAGUUGCAACAAUUAUGUUGUCAGCAACUGUUUCAGAUCCCCGAGCAGUCGCGGUGCCAAGCCAUCCACAAUGUCGUUCAUGCUAUUAUUCUGCAUCAUCAUCAACAACAACAACAACAACCGUCGAGCCAGGUCUCCUACCAGCAGCCUCAGGAACAAUAUCCAUCAGGCCAGGGCUCCUUCCAGUCAUCUCAGCAAAACCCACAGGCCCAGGGCUCUGUCCAGCCUCAACAACUGCCCCAGUUCCAGGAAAUAAGGAACUUAGCGCUGCAGACGCUGCCAGCAAUGUGCAAUGUCUACAUCCCUCCAUAUUGCUCGACCACCAUUGCGCCAUUUGGCAUCUUCGGUACUAACUGAGAAGAGAAGAACUCUAGUACUAGAUAUAUGAAACACCGUUUUCUUAAUCGACAGUUUGAUCGUUGUAGCGGUGAAAAAAUAAAGUGUCAUGCACUAUCAUGUAAGAACCCGAACUAUACUAGUUCAAACUUGGGAAUAAAAGACAUACACAUGUCUUGUCUGCAUAUGAUUAUUUGUUUGAGUUCCAUUCAUGUGCCCGUUCAGAAGUUCACCCCUAAUUAAAUAUAUUAUGCAUUAACUAGAUAUUUAUGUGGCAUUAAUCUAAAGAUAACAAAAUAGGUUUGAAACUUGAAUUACAUUGAAGUAUUUUCUUGGGCUUUCAAAUUGAGUAUUAUUAAAGUAGUAAGGACUAUCCACAUCCUUGGCUUGCCCUUGAUCGAUUAUUUACAGAGAAGCAUUCAAUUCAUCAAUCAAUUACAUUGAUUUUUGUGGCUGGUACUUCUCCGCAUCAUGAGUAUAUUCCUUGCGGCUACUCCAAAUCGACCACAUAACCGAAGCAUUAAUAACGCCCUU
RNAcentral lists this long non-coding RNA (92355 nucleotides) under Triticum aestivum (bread wheat). RNAcentral describes it as "long non-coding RNA (TAES_LNC019282)". Lineage: Eukaryota; Viridiplantae; Streptophyta; Magnoliopsida; Poales; Poaceae. The record is from RNAcentral.